GUUAGAUCGUUGUUAGGAAGUGUGUGUGCUCGUAGUGUUUCAGAAUGUGCCUGUGUUGUUCUUGUCAUGGUGGGUCUGUUAUGCCUAAUCUGAUGGUACCUUCUUGUUGCCAUCAGCUAUGGAAAUGAAAAAUGUUGGCUUCCUGUUCUCACUCAUCUGCGUUUGAAUGCCUGUUCCCAACCUGUCAGAUUUCUUGCCUGAUUUAGCUAGCUUGUUCUAUUUUGCUCUGAUUUUGAGCUUAAUUAUCAUUAGACUGUCAAUUUUGUAAUGAGUAAUCUGGCUAGCUGCCUCGAAACCCGAUCGAACGAGUAGUUGAGGUGGAACCUGAAAAUUGCUUGUACGCUAGUGUGCUCGUCCUCAGUUCUGUCUGUCGAUCAGUUGCGACAGUAUGUUUGAUGUUCAGUGCACACAAUCUGUUGAAAGCAUCCCUACUGUGCCUAAUUAUAUUGAAACCCUGCAAGUCUAUGAACCAUGCUCUAAACUAAGUGCGUACUGAUAGUACAACUUAAGUGGUGUCCUGUCUUCAGAUCUUACAGGUUCAGCAAUGGCUGCAGGGCUUUGACACCGUGCCUGCAAUAUUAUUGGUUGCAUCAACCACAAUUUCCUAAAUAACGCACCAGAACAUCGAGCAAGCGCUGGCGACGAUUGCCAUUCCUGGUUGUGCAGCUGUCGAAACAGCAGUUGUUGCUUGAUGAUCUGUUCUCAGUGGUCACGUUCAGGAGUAUAAAGAGAGUAUGUGUCCUACUCCUAUCCCAAGCAUGUGAAAUGACCUGCCAGUUUUAGCUACUGUGUUCUUAAUUGCUUCGAUUUUGUAGCUUAAAUGGUAGUAGUACUGUGUCAAAAUCUCUUCGAAAUAACUAUUCCGGUUGGGUGCCUCUGAACCUUAAUGAACAGAUGUAGUAUGCUCGUUCAGUUCAGUUUUGUGUACCUUACAUAAACAGUAGUACUUCCUGAUGGUCACAUCAGUGCUGAAAGUUUUCUCAACCCUGCUUUUGUUCUGUAUAAUUUCAAAACUACAAACACAGUUACAAGGACGCCUCCGACUACAGUUUUUCUUGAUUAAGCGUUUAUCAUGAGGCACACCGCUAUUUCUUAAGAGAAUUUUAGUGGUAUCCCAUGGGUAACUGCUCCCACAGGAAUACAAACGCCAAUUUCUUGGUACCUAUUCUCCAGUCGCGCACACUUAAAGCGAAACACUGUUCAUUCUGGGCAGUUUACAACAGUGCUGCUGUGGGAUCCGGAUGUUUCUGGUGGUAAGCUGAUGUUAGAACAGUCGAGCAUCUCGGAAUCUAAUUUUGUAGGAAGAGAGGCAGUAUUAUGUUUAUGAACUGUAUAAUUAAUUUUAAAUUAUGAAAUUUAUUACUGAUGAACGAUACAAGUUUUUUGACCGGAGAAGAUUUCUAACGGCACUCUGUCGUGUGACUCAAAAUGGAUGCAGAAUAUCGGAGGCCAUUAAGCUUCUAGCACCAAUUACCUGAUUGCUAAGUUAUUAUAUGUAAUACUGUAAAGUGUUAUCUGAAUGCUUGAAUCCUAAAAAAGUGAGCUCCAGUAAGCGAUGAAAAAUGAGAAUAGCAGUGAUACAUUGCAUUCGAGCAAGUUCCUUUUAGAUUGUCUUCAGAUCUCAAAAACAGUUCGGAUGAAGGAAUAAGAAUCUGUCAUUGGAGGACUGCUACAGCAAUGCAGCAAGUAUAUCAAAUUGAAUUGAUAUUCACAGUGAAUUACUGACUUAUCUUGUUUUCUGGGCUUGGAAUACAGCCAUAAAAAAAGUCUGUUCCUUGCAGAAUAACUGAAGACAGCCAUUCUCAUUUCGAUAGAGAAAAUUCCAUAGACACAUUACAAUAUUUUCAAUACAUUCUUCCUUUGAUACCUAUGGGUUUGGAGACCUCCCACAUGAACAAUCUGAAGAACACCGAUUAUGAAACUGAACACUUGAUACAAGGAGACGUCUCAGUAAAAAACUGAAGGCAAUAUACAUGCACAAGUGCUGAAGUGCACAACAAAAAGAUCCGCUAGUUUUGUAAAAUAAACAUAACCAAAAUUUGGCACUCCUGCUAAAAUUAUGCACAAUUAUACUGGUGGAGAAAAGUAAAAAAAAAAUCACUAUCAAAUAUGGGAACAAGAUGACAGAAAUUUCAUAGGUAGAGAAAAGGAGUAUCAAAGUGUUUGGUAUCGUAUUUACUCGAUUCGCAUAAUCCAAUACCAAGUAGCGCAAAUGUGCUUUUCAAGGUGUAUGCAUCACAACAGUUCUGAACUUUAGAUUGCUGUCAUAGAGCAAAAGGAACACCAGAGUCAUAGGAUGAAGGACUGUAGUGCAUUUAAUCUUGAUAAUAGGCGUUCCUCGUUCUUGUAAAUGUUAUUGAUAUGACCACCGUACUUGUGGCAGAGCAAUCUUGUCCUCUUUCCAGAAGCAAACCCCAAAUCGACAGCUCAGUAUAUAUUUUUUAUACCUUCAGAAGUUUAAAUUAUGUCCCAAAGUAUUGAUUUGUGUCUAAUCAGGUAUCAAGAUGUAAAUAUUAGCAAGCUCAAAAAAAUAUAUUAGCAGCUAAUGUCAGCCUGCACUUAAACUAUAGCGUCCAAUUCAACUUCUCGAGGGACUCGCACUCUAGUAUUCCUCACAAACCAUUAUCUCUUGCAAAAAACCGAGGGCUAAUGGUUAUUUGCUUCACUUCACUUUCUCGGAGCUGACGCCCUUUGUAGUUUUUUUUAGACAAGACGCCUUUGUAGGUGAUCUGCCUAUCCCAUGCAUAUAGAGCAAAACGCGCACUGUGUUGCGGUUGGAGCUAAGAUGGGUUAUUCUAAUAAAAAGUAGAUAAAAAUAAACAAACUCGGUUACAACAAUAAAAAAUAGGAGGUCUGAAAAUACUUAUGAAUUAAAAAAAUUGGCACGAGUUUACAAGAAUGUUCACACCUAUAAGAAAAAACAUGAUUUAAAAAAAAUCAUGAAAAUGGAAUUCUUCACAAAUCGUAAUUUUGAAAAAAAAAACUUCAGGAAUUUACAAUAAUGUUCUCACAUCUAAAACAUGUUUAAGAAAUUUUAAAAAUGUUCAUGGAAUAAAAAAUGUUCACAAAUUUGAAAAAACACCAUGUUUUUUUUAUAAAACAAUAGAAAGGAAACAUACAAAAUUAAAAAGAAAAAAUAGUACAAAAAAAGGCGAAUAGAAAGGGGGGGAAAUGAAGGAAAAAACGAGAAAGAAUAAAUAGCAGAAAAACAGUGCACCGACCUAUAGUGGCCAACCCAAUAUCGUCGCGGAGGGUGCAUGUUUGCUUCCACCCAACACACGUGAAACGUCAUUUACCGUGAUCUAUCUACUUGGAGUCCCUCACCUCAAAAGAGAAAAAUCUACUUGGGGUCCCUAGCUAAUGGCUACCCUUAUCAAUUCCAAAAACACCCCCAGCUCAAACAACUUUCGUUUUGGGGGUUUAGCUUAGUUUAGUCUAAUUGAAGCCUAAAGCAUUCUUAACUUUCAAAUUUUCGGGGGGGUGGCACAACACACGCACGCACACACACAACCAAUAUAUGUGUGUCUGGCCCCUUGUCAUUGCAUUGCCAGAUUUUGAUACUCAAGUAUAUUGCCAUGGUUACACUUGUCCUAGCAUGACCCGCUCGAUUGAUGUAGAAGCUUUGUUCAACCCGCCCUGCUUAGUAUGCAUGCUUAUGUUGUGGAAGUUAGCAUGUUACAUUCUUAUGCCAUGGAUCACCUUAAUUUUGUUAUGCUUCUAGAGGUGAAGUGUAUGAUAUGGUAUGAAUAUUACUCCUAUAAAGUAUGAUGGAGUACCCGCCUCCUAGGGGCCUCUGCGGGCGAGAGUCGGUGGCGUCGCGCGGAAGCAUGGCCAGAGCGCUCCGCCCCAUUCGAUAUGUAAAGAGUUCACAAGGCAGAGGUCAAUAGUUCCAAUAGAUAAUCAACCAAGUAGUGUUUUGAUAAGCAACCUUUAGCUGAUAUACGAACUUGUUGGAAUUCAACAUAUGCGGUCGGUUAUACCUUUUAUAGAUGCCUUUGAUGCCUUGGGACAGAAAGACAAGAAGUACAAAUUUGUUCCUUCACCUCCUGAAUGGAAAAUGGCCUAAGUUGUAUGCAGGAGAUAAUCAACCAAGUAGGAUGGUGUUUUGAUAAGCAACCUUUAGUUGAUGUAUGAACUCGUUCAAAUUCAACAUACAUGAUGCUUCAAUCAACUAUACCAUUUAAAGGUGCCUUUGAUGCAUUAGGACAACAAGACAAGAACUACAAAUUCGGUCCUUCACCCGCUGAAUGGAAAAUGGUUGAAGUUGUAUGAAGUUGCUAAAGGUAUUUUACACAACAACCAAACUUCUCACUAGAUCUAACUAUUUAACUAGCCAUGCCUACUCCCCUCAUCCAUGAAACAUUAAGAAAAUCUUGAAGAAAGAGGCAUCAAGUAAGAACAACACAACUGUGCAUAUGGUGGAACAAAUGGAGUCAAGUUAGAUAAGUAUUGGAAAGAAUCCUACAAGUCAAUUUGUGUUCCCGUCUUGUUUUAUCUGAGGUUCAAGUUUGAUCUUCUUGAAUAUAUCUUAAAAGACUUUGGAAGUGAAACAAAAAAUGAUAGAUCGAUGCACAAGUUGAAGAAAAGCAAUCCAAAAGGUCUUUGAUGAAUACUCUCGAGAGACUCCCGCUCAUCACUAACAAGAAGAUCGUGGAGUUCACGAUAGGCGAAUAUGGAAAAGGAGGAUGAUCCACUUGCAAAGUGGGAUCAUUACAUCAGUUACAAAAGGGCAACCAAAUAAUGAGUUGGAUCAUUAUUUGAAGAUGAAUUGUAUACAUAGUAGAAAGAGUUGGACACAUUACAAAGGUGGAAAAUCAACUCAUCCAAAUAUCCGGUUCUCUCUAGGAUAGACAGCGACAUAUUGUCUACUCCGACAUGCAAAGUGCCUUUCAAAUCUGCUUUUACUUGAUCCACUUUCGAGUCUUUGAUUUGCCUACAAGUCUGGCUUAGAACAACUAGUUAGUAAGUAUUUCUUUGGUUAUUCAUGAGAAAUGAUAACCAUAAUUAAUCUUAUAAUUUACGUGUUUUGUGUUUUGCGGACCUAGAAAUAUACAAAGGCACAUCAUAAGAGCUAGAGAGAAAAGAUCAAGGUAUAUGCGAUGCCCCCAUGAUAUAAUACUAGAGGUUCUUCACAAACAUUUUAAUUUCUCUGUCCUGUAUAGAAUAGUAGUAUUGUAACUCAUGAGAUUAUACACACUACUACUUACUCUCAUGUAUUUGUGAGAAUCACAGAGCCUCGGUUACCUAAUUGAAGAGGCAAGCAUCAAGUUUCGAACAAUGGAAGUUUUUAGAACAACAUGGUACAAUCUUGUUUUUUCUUACUAUAAAGAGAGGACAUCAAAUUGACUUUUGUUUUUUUUACUUCUGUACAUGGAUGGGCCCAACCCAAAAAUUUAGUGGGGCUCAAAUGAGUGGGGUACACAAUAUUUGGCUAACCGGAGCCAACUAGCAAAAGUUUGGGCUCUAAGGCAUAAAGACUAUAGAUUGACUGGGCCAAGGCCCCCACUCGGCCUAAUGUGGGUCCGCCCUUGCUUUUGUAUGUGUUUUCCUGAGUACUUAUGCAGCCUGCAGAGUCUCAUCUUUGUGUUUGUACUUAUGCAGCUAAAUUAUCUGGAGAGCAUUUAACUCCUUUCAAAUGAAAAUUAGUUGAGAAUGGUUGUGUGCAUUAGGAGAUGCAGAGGCUGGGGAAUUCCUCCUUUUAGAAAAAAAUAAAAAUUAGUUGGGAAUGUGCAAUAUUAAAUUGGUCGCCAGUUGAUGUUACAAAAUCAAUCAAGUUGAACAUUUAGACUUCCCUGUUUAUGAACAUUUGGACUCGUCAGUUCAUAAACUAAACUAAAAAUUAAAUUUUGGUAGUGCCUCUGAAGAACUGAUAAUGUACCGACAAUAUAGAUUUAUUGGAUGCUUAACUGAAUGCAUCCUUGUGCUCAGUACAUUACAGUGGCCGUCCAUUGAAAUUAUUAGCAUAUCAGCUCUUUUGUUUGAAAAGGAGGAUUCGCUUCGUCCUCUGCAUCAAGCGAUGCACACAGUCAUCUUUAUUGCAUUAUUCAACAAGGUUUUACAAAAUAAAUACAUAGAUCAAUCCAAAGCCACCUUUCGGGCGAAAACGGUCACCCUACCUACAAGAUUGAUGAUGUGCCCUCACCGAGCAUCAUGCACGCCAAGAAAUACGGUGGCCUCACCAAGCCGCCUGCCCGCUAGCCGGGAGCACCAACCGGUCUAGCAGACCCUCAACAUGCACCGCAUGCACACGCUGUAGAAUCUAUCGCCACCUUUUUCCACAGCCCCAUCUUUAGGAUUGAAAGUGCUAGUUAUCGACUAGAGGGGGGGGCGAAUAGGCGAUUUUUAUGAAAGUCUUCAAAACACGGGGGCUUGGAAGACAAACAAUAGAAAUGAACCUAUUGAUAUGCAACGAAAGGUAGACUACACUAGACAAGCCAUAGUCAAGCAAGCAAUGAAGCGAAAGCACGAAGACUAUUAUCAGCUAGGUAGUAUGGAUCAGGAUGGAAGAUAGUAUGAAGCCAAACAAUAACAGUCUUCACACAAUGAAGUCAAUUAGUUAAAACGAGCAAGCAAUGGCUUCAAGAAGACAAACUGUAAGUAAAGAGAGAUAGGAGAUAGAACCAGUUGCUUGGGGAGGACAGGGAUUUGUUGGACCAGUUCCAGUUGCUGUGACAACUGUACGUCUGGUUAGGGAGGUUGAGAUUUAACUCAGAAGACCGCGUCUUCACCUUAUUCCCCUUGAGCUAAGGACACUUAGUCCUCGCCCAAUCACUCUGGUAAGUCUUCAAGGCAAACUUCCAAACCUUCACAGACUUCGUUCACCGGCAAUCCACAAUGACUCUUGGAUGCUCAGAACGCGACGCCUAACCGGCUGGAGGAUUCACAGUCCUCAAGUGUAACAAGUCUUCAGAUCACGCGGACAGAAAGACUUCAGUGAUGCCUAACACUCUUUGGCUCUGGGUGUUUUGGGCUUUGUCCUCGCAAGGAUCUCUCUCUCAAAUGCUUCGGAGGUGGGUUGCUCUUAAACGACAAAAGUCGUGCACUAACUCUGAGCAGCCACCAAUUUAUGGUGUAGGGGGUGGGCUAUUUAUAGCUAGGAGACAACCCGACCUGAUUUGUCCGAAAUGACCCUGGGUCACUAAGGAACUUACACGUGUCCAACGGUCAGAUUUCAAACACACGCGACAGCUUGACUUGGGCUACAAGUAAAGCUGACUCAUCCAGCUCUGGAUAAGAUUUGCUCUCAUUGUCUUCCCUCGAAGACAUAGGAUUUGGUUGAGCAUCACUUCAGUCACUCUGACUUUGUUCACUUGGACCCCACUUAACAGUGCGGUGGUUCCUAUGACUCAACAAAGAAGAAAAGGAAACUACGAAACAACUAUAUCUUCGCACUCCAUAGUCUUCACGUGAACGUCUUCUCGAGUCAUAAUCUUCGUUGUGAAUAUCUUCACAACCACCAUUGGCUUCAAUGUCUUCACACAUUUUUAGGGGUCAUCUCUGGUAGGUAAACCGAAUCAAUAUGGGACUACUACCUGUGUUAUCCUGCAAUUCUCACAAACACAUUAGUCCCUCAACCAAGUUUGUCGUCAAUACUGCAAAACCAACUAGGGGUGGCACUAGAUGCACUUACAAUCUCCCCCUUUUUGGUGAUUGAUGACAAACUGGCUGAAGUUUUCAACGGGGAUAAAAGUAUGUGAAAGUUUAAGCGCAAGGCAUUGUCUUCAUAAGUAGCAAAAGGCUCCCCCUGAAGAUGUGCAUAUAAGUAAUUUGCUUUUGAAUGCAAAUGCACAUGGCAGGUUUUGCUUUGUGGAGAUCCUCUUCAACUUAUGAAGACAAUUCAUCAUGCAUAUAAAAAUAUAGCGAAGAUAAUGACAUGCAUAAUGAAAAAUGGACGUCUGCGGAAUGACUUCAUGCGGAAUUUAUCAUCGCAUCACAAAGUAGCAGAAAAAGUAGCAGACGACCAUCGAGUUUAAGUGUUACAACCCGAAGAACCAAAUGUAUCAAAAUACGAGAGUUGUAAACACUUAGCAAAAUAUAGUGCAACCACCCAUAAUGACCCGCUUGAAGACUAUCAACUCAUAUGCUUCUCCCCCUUUUGUCAGUAAUGACCAAAAAGGUUUGAAGACAUAGAGCAUCUACUCGUUCCCAAAAGGAGUAGAUGAUGGCACAGGGUCGAUGUUGGAGUUUGGUGGUGCAGAAGGGCCUAGUGCAGUGUCGAGACGCAGCGAAGUCAUGGUUGGUGAAGUGGCAUCGUCUUCUUCAUCGACGACUCUUGCAACAACAGUUGCAGCCGAAGAUGAAUACUCAGAGUCUUCUAUGGAAGGAGUCCGACACAAAACAACAUUCUGGGGAGGUGUGGAAUCAAAUUUGAAGCGCUCUGUGAAGCCAUCUUCGUGAAGAUCGUCUUCAGAGGAUAGCAAUGUAAGACUCUUCCAAGACCGCCGAUAGGCUUCAUGUGCUACGAAUGCGUUCUUGGUGGCAAGAUUGCGAAUGCGAUUAACGUCCACCAAGAGGCUCUGCAUCUGACGCUUUAGCCAGUCAUGGUGUCUAUCAUGUUUCUAAUGUAAGGCCACAAGAAGCUCUCGGUCAUUGAGUACACGAGAUCGCUUCCGAGGCCUUUGAGCAAUGGUGCUUUUAGUGGCUUCAGUGUUAACACGAUGAGGUGCACGCAUAUUUCCAACCAGAGGAUAGACUCGAGUUGAAGCAAGAACUCCCUCAAUUGGUUGCGUGAAGCUUUGGCGAUCAACAUUAUGAAGAUAAAGUGGCUCCUUGGCAGGCUCAGGGUAGAUGGCUUUGACAGACAUAUCAACAUCAGGCAAAAAGACAAGAUGGUUGCGCGCCGAGGGCUUAUAAUCAACAGAGGAGUGAAGCUUGAUUAAGCACAUUACCCAUGGAGCAUAAAACUUCAAGCCAAACAGAUCAAUUCCAGAUGCAGCCAGUUGUCUGAUAAAGAAAUCCUGAGAAUUGGAUCUGAUGCCAUUGACAAUAUAGAACACCAAAGUCUUCAUGGCUCCUUCAAGUUUGGCUUCAGCUGAGUGUCCCUUGAUGGGCCAAAGAGUACGCCUCAGAAUAUGAUAGAUUGUGCGGGGCAGGUACUUAAGGUCCUUGACGAAGAAUUCCUUGGGAUAAUCAGUAUCUUGAGGCAAUGGCUUCAUCAUGCUGAGCAUCUGACUCAUAUUUGGUUCAGGCCGCUGGAAGAUACUCUACAGUUCAUUUUGGUGUAGCUGACAACCAGGCUCAUAGAGUUCACCUGGAGUGGGCAGGGAAGUAAACUCAAUAAUGUCUUGAGCUUUGGCUUCAUGGUGCACAUCGCCUGACAUCCACUCAAUGACCCAUGUCUUCGGAUCCCUGUUGUAGCCACGAAUGUGAAGUGCGGCGUAGAACUGCAGGAGGAGCUCUUCAUUCCAGCGUUCUUUGUCAGUGACGAACUGUAGAAGACCAACCUCCCUGAAGUAGUCAAGAGCUUCUUCCAGACAGGGCAGCCCAGCAAUAGCUUCACAAUCAAGGCGCAUGUGUUGAUAGAUUCGCCCUUGAUUGUAUAGGAUGCAAGAGUAGUAGCUGCGCUGAGGAUAGCUCCAGAAGAGAUCUUUGGCUUCGAGUAAGGAUUCUUGGCGCUAUCAAAGAAGGUGUUGUGGGCUCUGAAGCUGUUCACACUGAACGAUCCUGGGGAGGUUGUAGCACCUGGAAGCCUUGGCAGCCUGGGCUUUGGCUUCUGAACUUGUGGCCUCUGCUCCACAUGAUAGUCAUAUUGAGGUCCUGGAGCAGUGGGAGGCACCAUGAUGGGCCACCGAACUGUGACAAGUUCACCACGAUUAUAGGCCUGCUCAAUUGUGUGUGGCCUUGGGGCUGGAACAGUGGCAGCAACAUCCACAUGGGCUUCAGGUUGCACUUGAGCUUCAGGCACAACAUUGGCUUCAGGCUCCACAUUGUCUUCAGCCAUGACAACGUCAUUGGCUUCAGUAUCAUUAUUGGUGGCAGCCUCGGUGUUCUCAACCUCCGUGUCCUCAAUGACAGGAGGGUCGGGCACAGUCACAUUCUCCUCGAGAACGACUUCUUGAGUGAGAGGGGGUGUGGCAACUCUUUCUUCUUCUUGUCUUGGUUCUUGAUUGUCAUCGGCUGAUGCAGCCAAAAUGUCUUCAGCAGCUUUAGCUUCAGACUCGGAGACAUUCGCAGUGGGAGUGGCUUCAGGGAACACUUGGCGUGCUACUGAGCUUUGUUGCACUUCUCCUUCUGGAAUGCUCGACAUGGUGACCUGUGGCCUAGGGCCUUUGCGAAGCCUGCGAAAUGUGGGCGACGCCUGUGGUGAUGGAGUGGUCUGCACCAUGUAGCUAUCAUCGUCAAGCACCGGAGAGGUGACUUGAGGUGGUGGAGUUCUUGGUGUUUCAUCAUGAAUGGGGGAGUCUUGAGGGCGAUCGGCCCACGAAUCAUCCUGAGCAAUUGGCGUCAAGGGACGACCAAUGUUGAUGAGUUCGUUGUUCGUAAGAACAGGAGAUGAUACCAGUUGGUGCUCGAUUUGAGGAAGGACUUCAUCAUCAUCUACAUUGUCUUCAUGACCAAUGUCUUCAGCUGUGAUGGGGUCAACAGCUGGUACUUCUUCAUCUUCACGAGCCUCUGUGGGAGCAGGCUUAUGGAUCACAAUGCGAUGCUCUUGAAUGGUGGAGGCAGGAUGGGCAACAGAAAUGGGCUCAACAACAAGGGGCUUGGAAGCAUGCUCUUUCUUUGAAGACUUCUAUAAUUUCUUCUUUGAUGGAGCAUCAUCAGAAGUAUUCAUGUGCUUGUGCUUCUUGGCUUCGGCUUCAGCUGCCCUUGUCUUUUUCAGUUCUGAAGCUGCUGUGGGGACCUUAGGCUUCGAGCCUGUCAUGCUGGCAGGGAAGACAAUGCGAGGUGCUUCCUGCCUUGAUGCUUCAGCUUGGGCCGCAGCAGGCUUCUUCUUCUGUUUUGGCAGCCAUCUUGGGAUCAAUGCCAGGACACCCAAGUGCCUUGCACUUUUCUGCCUCAUUGUGGGCUUGAACACAUUUCUCUGCAAAGUAUUUCAUCCACUCUCUUGAGCCUUUAGCUUCAUCACGUUUCUUGUGAAACUCUUCCUUGAGGUCAUGCAGCAUCUUCUUGAAGCUUUGGACAUCAGCCACAUUGAGCUUGGCCAUGUUCUUCUUGAAGUGAGCCUUCUCAUAAUCAAUUUUAUUCUUCAGCUCGACAAUCUUCUGAGCCAAGGCCAACUCAUUAGCAAUGGCUCCAUGGAAGGUGACGCUGAUAUCAACUGGCAGCUGAAGAUCAUCAAUGCUGAGGCUGGGAUUGUCAAACCAUUCGUCGAUGAAGUUAUUCAGAAUAUCCACGUCAAAGAGGGGCAGAUCGUUGAAGAUCUCCGCCUCUUGCUUGCUCUUUAUCAGUAGCUCAAGAGCAUCAUCACCAAGAUCUUCAUCGCUGGAGAGACCAAUGGUGUCAUCCUCAUUGCGCAGAACGGCUGCUGGGGUCAGUUCUUGCCCAGAACACUUGAUGGGCUUCAUCUUCUUGGGUUUCUCCAUCUUCUUGGAGACACGAGAAAGAUCUUCAGAUUGCACACUGAGUUCAGGAGGUAUAGUUGCCAAUGGCUUCGCACGUGAAGCUUUUGGUGCGGCAGAGGGCUUUGAGGCCUUUGAUUUCUUCUGCUUCUGCGGCUUAGGUGGAGCUGGCGCAUCUUUAGAGUCUGCGUCAUCACCUGAUUGCUCCACUGUGGCCCUCUGAGCAGCGUUGUGUUGGAAAUAUGCCCUAGAGGCAAUAAUAAAUGGUUAUUAUUAUAUUUCUUUGUUCAUGAUAAUCGUCUAUUGUUCAUGCUAUAAUUGUAUUGUCCGGAAAUCGUAAUACAUGUGUGAAUACAUAGACCACAACGUGUCCCUAGUAAGCCUCUAGUUGACUAGCUCGUUGAUCAACAGAUAGUCAUGGUUUCCUGACUAUGGACAUUGGAUGUCAUUGAUAACGGGAUCACAUCAUUAGGAGAAUGAUGUGAUGGACAAGACCCAAUCCUAAGCAUAGCAUAAAAGAUCGUGUAGUUUCGUUUGCUAGAGCUUUUCCAAUGUCAAGUAUCUUUUCCUUAGACCAUGAGAUCGUGCAACUCCCGGAUACCGUAGGAGUGCUUUGGGUGUGCCAAACGUCACAACAUAACUGGGUGACUAUAAAGGUGCACUACGGGUAUCUCUGAAAGUGUCUGUUGGGUUGGCACGGAUCGAGACUGGGAUUUGUCACUCCGUGUGACGAAGAGGUAUCUCUGGGCCCACUCGGUAAUGCAUCAUCAUAAUGAGCUCAAUGUGACUAAGGCGUUAGUCACGGGAUCAUGCAUUGCGGUACGAGUAAAGAGACUUGCCGGUAACGAGAUUGAACAAGGUAUUGGGAUACCGACGAUCGAAUCUCGGGCAAGUAACAUACCGAUUGACAAAGGGAAUUGCAUACGGGAUUGAUUGAAUCCUCGACACCGUGGUUCAUCCGAUGAGAUCAUCAUGGAACAUGUGGGAGCCAACAUGGGUAUCCAGAUCCCGCUGUUGGUUAUUGACCGGAGAGGCGUCUCGGUCAUGUCUGCAUGUCUCCCGAACCCGUAGGGUCUACACACUUAAGGUCCGGUGACGCUAGGGUUGUAGAGAUAUGUGUAUGCGGAAACCCGAAAGUUGUUCGGAGUCCCGGAUGAGAUCCCGGACGUCACGAGAGGUUCCAGAAUGGUCCGGAGGUGAAGAAUUAUAUAUAGGAAGUCAAGUUUCGGCCACCGGGAAAGUUUCGGGGGUUACCGGUAUUGUACCGGGACCACCGGAAGGGUCCCGGGGGUCCACCGGGUGGGGCCACCUAUCCCGGAGGGCCCCGUGGGCUGAAGUGGGAAGGGAACCAGCCCCUAGUGGGCUGGGCGCCCCCCCAUGGGCCUCCCCCCAUGCGCCUAGGGUUGCAAACCCUAGGGUGGGGGGGGGGGGCUUCCCACUUGCCUUGGGGGCAAGGCACCCCCUUCCCCCCUUUGGCCGCCGCCCCCCACCCUAGAUGGGAUCUGGCCGGCGCCCCCCCCUCCCAGGGGGCCUAUAUAAAGGGGGGGGGAGGGAGGGCAGCAACCUACAUCCUUGGGCGCCUCCCUCCUCCCCUGCAACACCUCUCUCUCUCUCUCGCAGAAGCUCGGCGAAGCCCUGCCGGAGACCCGCUACAUCCACCACCACGCCGUCGUGCUGUUGGAUCUCCAUCAACCUCCUUCCCCCUUGCUGGAUCAAGAAGGAGGAGACGUCGCUGCACCGUACGUGUGUUGAACGCGGAGGUGCCGUCCGUUCGGCACUCGGUCAUCGGUGAUUUGGAUCACGGCGAGUACGACUCCGUCAUCCACGUUCAUUGGAACGCUUCCGCUCGCGAUCUACAAGGGUAUGCAGAUGCACUCCUUUCCCCUCGUUGCUAGUAGACUCCAUAGAUGCAUCUUGGUGAGCGUAGGAAAAUUUUAAAAUUAUGCUACGAUUCCCAACAGUGGUAUCAGAGCCAGGCCUAUGCGUAGUUACUAUGCACGAGUAGAACACAAAGAAGUUGUGGGCGUUGAGUUUGCCAAUUCUUCUUGCCGCUACUAGUCUUUUCUUGUUUCGGCGGCAUUGUAGGAUGAAGCGGCCCGGACCGACCUUACACGUACGCUUACGUGAGACAGGUUCCACCGACUGACAUGCACUAGUUGCAUAAGGUGGCUAGCGGGUGUCUGUCUCUCCUACUUUAGUCGGAACGGAUUCGAUGAAAAGGGUCCUUAUGAAGGGUAAAUAGAAAUUGGCAAAUCACGUUGUGGUCAUACGUAGGUAAGAAACGUUCUUGCUAGAAACCUACAAACCACGUAAAAACUUGCAACAACAAUUAGAGGACGUCUAACUUGUUUUUGCAGCAAGUGCUAUGUGAUGUGAUAUGGCCAGAAGAUGUGAUGAAUGAUAUAUGUGAUGUAUGAGAUUGAUCAUAUUCUUGUAAUAGGAAUCACGACUUGCAUGUCGAUGAGUAUGACAACCGGCAGGAGCCAUAGGAGUUGUCUUUAUUAUUUUGUAUGACCUGCUUGUCAUUGAAUAACGCCAUGUAAUUUACUUUACUUUGUUGCUAAACGCGUUAGCCAUAGAAGUAGAAGUAAUCGUUGGCGUGACGACUUCAUGAAGACACAAUGAUGGAGAUCAUGAUGAUGGAGAUCAUGGUGUCAUGCCGGUGACGAAGAUGAUCAUGGUGCCCCGAAGAUGGAGAUCAAAGGAGCAUGAUGAUAUUGGCCAUAUCAUGUCACUGUUUGAUUGCAUGUGAUGUUUAUCAUGUUUUUGCAUCUUAUUUGCUUAGAGUGAUGGUAGUAAGUAAGAUGAUCCCUUAUAAUAAUUUCAAGAAAGUGUUCACCCUAACUGUGCACCGUUGCGAAGGUUCGUUGUUUCGAAGCACCACGUGAUGAUCGGGUGUGAUAGAUUCUAACGUUCGAAUACAACGGGUGUUGACGAGCCUAGCAUGUACAGACAUGGCCUCGGAACACACGCAAUACACUUAGGUUGACUUGACGAGCCUAGCAUGUACAGACAUGGCCUCGGAACACGGAGGACCGAAAGGUCGAGCAUGAGUCGUAUGGAAGAUACGAUCAACAUGGAGAUGUUCACCGAUCUUGACUAGUCCAUCUCACGUGAUGAUCGGACACGGCCUAGUUAAACUCGGAUCAUGUUUCACUUAGAUGACUAGAGGGAUGUCUAUCUGAGUGGGAGUUCAUUAAAUAAUUUGAUUAGAUGAACUUAAUUAUCAUGAACUUAGUCUAAAAUCUUUACACUAUGUAUUGUAGAUCAAAUGGCCAACGCUGUCCUCAAUUUCAACGCGUUCCUAGAGAAAACCAAGCUGAAAGAUGAUGGCAGCAACUAUACGGACUGGGUCCGGAACCUGAGGAUCAUCCUCAUAGUAGCCAAGAAAGAUUAUGUCCUAGAAGCACCGCUAGGUGAUGCACCAAUCCCUGAGAACCAAGACGUUAUGAACGCUUGGCAGCAGCGUGCUGAUGACUACUCCCUCGUUCAGUGCGGCAUGCUUUACAGCCUAGAACCGGGUCUCCAAAAGCGUUUUGAGAAACAUGGAGCAUAUGAGAUGUUCGAGGAGCUAAAAUUGGUUUUCCAAGCUCAUGCCCGGGUCGAGAGAUAUGAUGUCUCCGACAAGUUCUUCAGCUGUAAAAUGGAGGAGAACAGUUCUGUUAGUGAGCACAUACUCAGAAUGUCUGGGUUGCAUAACCGCUUGUCUCAGCUGGGAGUUAAUCUCCCGGAUGACGUGGUCAUUGGCAGAAUCCUCCAAUCGCUUCCACCAAGCUACAAGAGCUUUGUGAUGAACUACAAUAUGCAGGGGAUGGAAAAGACCAUUCCGGAGGUAUAUUCAAUGCUGAAAUCAGCGGAAGGGGAGAUCAGAAAAGAACAUCAAGUGUUGAUGGUGAAUAAAACCACUAAGUUCAAGAAGGGCAAGGGUAAGAAGAACUUCAAGAAGGACGGCAAGGGAGUUGCCGCGCCCGGUAAACCAGUUACUGGGAAGAAGUCAAAGAAUGGACCCAAGCCCGAGACUGAGUGCUUAUAUUGCAAGGGAAGUGGUCACUGGAAGCGGAACUGCCCCAAAUACUUAGCGGACAAGAAGAAGGCCGGCAACACCAAAGGUAUAUGUGAUAUACAUGUAAUUGAUGUGUACCUUACCAGUACUCGUUGUAGCUCCUGGGUAUUUGAUACCGGUGCGGUUGCUCAUAUUUGUAACUCAAAACAGGAACUACGGAAUAAACGGAGACUGGCGAAGGAUGAGGUGACGAUGCGCGUCGGGAAUGGUUCCAAGGUCGAUGUGAUCGCCGUCGGCACGCUACCUCUGCAUCUACCCACGGGAUUAGUUUUAAACCUCAAUAAUUGUUAUUUAGUGCCAGCUUUGAGCAUGAACAUUGUAUCUGGAUCUCGUUUAAUUCGAGAUGGCUACUUAUUUAAAUCCGAGAAUAAUGGUUGUUCUAUUUAUUUGAGAGAUAUGUUUUAUGGUCAUGCCCCGCUGGUCAAUGGUUUAUUUUUGAUGAAUCUCGAACGUGAUGUUACACAUGUUCAUAGUGUGAAUACCAAAAGAUGUAAAGUUGAUAACGAUAGUCCCACAUACUUGUGGCACUGCCGCCUUGGUCACAUUGGUGUUAAGAGCAUGAAGAAGCUCCAUGCAGAUGGACUUUUGGAGUCUCUUGAUUACGAAUCAUUUGACACGUGCGAACCAUGCCUCAUGGGUAAGAUGACCAAGACCCCGUUCUCCGGAACAAUGGAGCGAGCAACCAACUUAUUGGAAAUCAUACAUACCGAUGUGUGUGGUCCAAUGAGUGUUGAGGCUCGCGGAGGAUAUCGUUAUGUUCUCACUCUCACUGAUGAUUUAAGUAGAUAUGGGUAUGUCUACCUAAUGAAACACAAGUCUGAAACCUUUGAAAGUUUCAAGGAAUUUCAGAGUGAGGUUGAGAAUCAACGUGACAGGAGAAUAAAAUUCUUACGAUCAGAUCGUGGUGGAGAAUAUUUAAGUCACGAAUUUGGUACACACUUAAGGAAAUGUGGAAUAGUUUCACAACUCACGCCGCCUGGAACACCUCAGAGAAAUGGUGUGUCCGAACGUCGUAAUCACACUCUAUUGGAUAUGGUGCGAUCUAUGAUGUCUCUUACCGAUUUACCGCUCUCAUUUUGGGGCUAUGCUUUAGAGACUGCCGCAUUCACUUUAAAUAGGGCUCCGUCGAAAUCCGUUGAGACGACACCGUAUGAAUUAUGGUUUGGGAAGAAACCUAAGCUGUCGUUUCUAAAAGUUUGGGGAUGCGAUGCUUAUGUCAAGAAACUUCAACCUGAAAAGCUAGAACCCAAGUCGGAAAAAUGCAUCUUCAUAGGAUACCCUAAGGAAACUAUUGGGUAUACCUUCUACCUCAGAUCCGAAGGCAAGAUCUUCGUUGCCAAGAACGGGUCCUUUCUGGAGAAGGAGUUUCUCUCGAAAGAAUUGAGUGGGAGGAAAGUGGAACUUGAUGAGGUGAUAGUCACCCCUUCCGAACCGGAAAGUAGCGCAGCGCGGGAAAAUGUUCCUGUGGUGCCUACACCGACUGGGGAGGAAGUUAAUGAUGAUGAUCAUGAAGCAUCAGAUCAAGUUACUGAACUUCGUAGGUCCACAAGGACACGUUCCGCACCAGAGUGGUACGGCAACCCUGUCCUGAAAAUCAUGUUGUUAGACAACGGUGAACCUUCGAACUAUGAAGAAGCGAUGGCGGGCCCGGAUUCCGACAAAUGGCUAGAAGCCAUGAAAUCCGAGAUAGGAUCCAUGUAUGAAAACGAAGUAUGGACUUUGACUGACUUGCCCGAUGAUCGGCGAGCCAUAGAAAACAAAUGAAUCUUUAAGAAGAAGACAGACGCGGAUGGUAAUGUGACCAUCUAUAAAGCUCGACUUGUCGCUAAGGGUUAUCGACAAGUUCAAGGGGUUGACUACGAUGAGACUUUCUCACCCGUAGCGAAGCUGAAGUCCGUCCGAAUCAUGUUAGCAAUUGCCGCAUACUACGAUUAUGAGAUAUGGCAGAUGGACGUCAAAACAGCAUUCCUUAACGGCUUCCUUAAGGAAGAGUUGUAUAUGAUGCAGCCGGAAGGUUUUGUCGAUCCUAAGAAUGCUAACAAAGUAUGCAAGCUCCAGCGCUCAAUCUAUGGGCUGGUGCAAGCAUCUCGGAGUUGGAACAUUCGCUUUGAUGAGAUGAUCAAAGCGUUUGGGUUUACACAGACUUAUGGAGAAGCAUGUGUUUACAAGAAAGUGAGUGGGAGCUCUGUAGCAUUUCUCUUAUUAUAUGUGGAUGACAUAUUAUUGAUGGGAAAUGAUAUAGAAUUCUUGGAAAGUAUAAAGGCCUAUUUGAAUAAGUGUUUUUUAAUGAAGGACCUUGGAGCAGCUGCUUAUAUAUUAGGCAUCAAGAUCUAUAGAGAUAGAUCGAGACGCCUCAUUGGUCUUUCACAGAGUACAUACCUUGACAAGAUAUUGAAGAAGUUCAAUAUGGAUCAGUCCAAGAAGGGGUUCUUGCCUGUAUUGCAAGGUGUGCAAUUGAGCACGGCUCAAUGCCCGACCACGGCAGAAGAUAUAGAAAAGAUGAGUGUCAUCCCCUAUGCCUCGGCCAUAGGGUCUAUUAUGUAUGCCAUGCUGUGUACCAGACCUGAUGUAAACCUUGCCGUAAGUUUGGUAGGAAGGUACCAAAGUAAUCCCGGGGAACACUGGACAGCGGUCAAGAAUAUCCUGAAGUACCUGAAGAGGACUAAGGAUAUGUUUCUCGUUUAUGGAGGUGACGAAGAGCUCGUCGUAAAGGGUUACGUCGACGCUAGCUUCGACACAGAUCUGGAUGACUCGAAGUCACAAACCGGAUACGUGUAUAUUUUGAAUGGAGGAGCAGUAAGCUGGUGCAGUUGCAAGCAAAGCGUCGUGGCGGGAUCUACAUGUGAAGCGGAGUACAUGGCAGCCUUGGAGGCAGCACAGGAAGCAAUCUGGAUGAAGGAGUUCAUUACCGACCUAGGGGUGAUUCCCAAUGCGUCGGGCCCGAUGACUCUCUUCUGUGACAACACUGGAGCUAUUGCCCUUGCGAAGGAGCCCAGGUUUCACUGGAAGACCAGGCAUAUCAAGCGUCGCUUCAACUCCAUUCGUGAAAGUGUUCAAAAUGGAGACAUAGAUAUUUGUAAAGUACAUACGGACCUGAAUGUAGCAGAUCCGUUGACUAAACCUCUCCCUAGGGCAAAACAUGAUCAACACCAGGACGCAAUGGGUGUUCGAUUCAUCACAAUGUAACUAGAUUAUUGACUCUAGUGCAAGUGGGAGACUGUUGGAAAUAUGCCCUAGAGGCAAUAAUAAAUGGUUAUUAUUAUAUUUCUUUGUUCAUGAUAAUCGUCUAUUGUUCAUGCUAUAAUUUUAUUGUCCGGAAAUCGUAAUACAUGUGUGAAUACAUAGACCACAACGUGUCCCUAGUAAGCCUCUAGUUGACUAGCUCGUUGAUCAACAGAUAGUCAUGGUUUCCUGACUAUGGACAUUGGAUGUCAUUGAUAACGGGAUCACAUCAUUAGGAGAAUGAUGUGAUGGACAGGACCCAAUCCUAAGCAUAGCAUAAAAGAUCGUGUAGUUUCGUUUGCUAGAGCUUUUCCAAUGUCAAGUAUCUUUUCCUUAGACCAUGAGAUCGUGCAACUCCCGGAUACCGUAGGAGUGCUUUGGGUGUGCCAAACGUCACAACGUAACUGGGUGACUAUAAAGGUGCACUACGGGUAUCUCCGAAAGUGUCUGUUGGGUUGGCACGGAUCGAGACUGGGAUUUGUCACUCCGUGUGACGAAGAGGUAUCUCUGGGCCCACUCGGUAAUGCAUCAUCAUAAUGAGCUCAAUGUGACUAAGGCGUUAGUCACGGGAUCAUGCAUUGCGGUACGAGUAAAGAGACUUGCCGGUAACGAGAUUGAACAAGGUAUUGGGAUACCGACGAUCGAAUCUCGGGCAAGUAACAUACCGAUUGACAAAGGGAAUUGCAUACGGGAUUGAUUGAAUCCUCGACACCGUGGUUCAUCCGAUGAGAUCAUCGUGGAACAUGUGGGAGCCAACAUGGGUAUCCAGAUCCCGCUGUUGGUUAUUGACCGGAGAGGUGUCUCGGUCAUGUCUGCAUGUCUCCCGAACCCGUAGGGUCUACACACUUAAGGUUCGGUGACGCUAGGGUUGUAGAGAUAUGUGUAUGCGGAAACCCGAAAGUUGUUCGGAGUCCCGGAUGAGAUCCCGGACGUCACGAGAGGUUCCGGAAUGGUCCGGAGGUGAAGAAUUAUAUAUAGGAAGUCAAGUUUCGGCCACCGGGAAAGUUUUGGGGGUUACCGGUAUUGUACCGGGACCACCGGAAGGGUCCCGGGGGUCCACCGGGUGGGGCCACCUAUCCCGGAGGGCCCCGUGGGCUGAAGUGGGAAGGGAACCAGCCCCUAGUGGGCUGGGCGCCCCCCCAUGGGCCUCCCCCCAUGCGCCUAGGGUUGCAAACCCUAGGGUGGGGGGGGGGGCUUCCCACUUGCCUUGGGGGCAAGGCACCCCCUUCCCCCCUUUGGCCGCCGCCCCCCACCCUAGAUGGGAUCUGGCCGGCGCCCCCCCUCCCAGGGGGCCUAUAUAAAGGGGGGAGGGAGGGCAGCAACCUACAGCCUUGGGCGCCUCCCUCCUCCCCUGCAACACCUCUCUCUCUCUCGCAGAAGCUCGGCGAAGCCCUGCCGGAGACCCGCUACAUCCACCACCACGCCGUCGUGCUGUUGGAUCUCCAUCAACCUCUCCUUCCCCCUUGCUGGAUCAAGAAGGAGGAGACAUCGCUGCACCGUACGUGUGUUGAGCGCGGAGGUGCCGUCCGUUCGGCACUCGGUCAUCGGUGAUUUGGAUCACGGCGAGUACGACUCCGUCAUCCACGUUCAUUGGAACGCUUCCGCUCGCGAUCUACAAGGGUAUGUAGAUGCACUCCUUUCCCCUCGUUGCUAGUAGACUCCAUAGAUGCAUCUUGGUGAGCGUAGGAAAAUUUUAAAAUUAUGCUACGAUUCCCAACACGAUGUAGGAGAGGAGACCAUCAAAGUUGUCAAAGGGGCCGAUGACAUUGGGAUUGGCAUCACGUGUGCCAUCAGCCCUAGGAGCAGAAGGACCUGGGUUGAAGUUGCAUCCAAAAUUCUUCUUGUUCUUCACAGCAGAAUCUUUUGCAAACUUAUAGUUACGCUUGAACAGAUUGUCGUCGUGACACCAUAACAGAGAUGAUGGGUCGGCAUUCUCGGGCUGUGGUCCUCGGACCAUGCAUGGGUAGAAGCUUUGAGCAAUGGCUUCUGACUUGGACUUGGGCUGCAGAUUUCUGUAUAGAAUAUCUCCCCAUGGGUGCUUGAUAGCGUUCUUUUCAGCAUAUUCAGCAGUCACAAAUCGGUACUUGAACCAUUGUUCCGCCCAAUAUCUUCGAAACCAUUGGAUUCGAGUCUUGCGCUGGCCAUAGCUUUCCUCAGGAUCAGUUUUGUACAGUUCAUACAGAUCAGAAGGUAAGUCCUUAGAUGUAUCUCCACGGCGCUGCCUGCCGCCCUUUCUAGUUGACUUCUCGUGGCCAUUAUAUUCAGACUGAAUGGCUUCAAUACAGUGAAAGGCUUCCUCUUGCUAGACAGAUAAGAACUGGCUUCAGGUGAGUGAAUAUGACGCUGUAAGAACUCUGCAAAUGAAUGCAGACUAUGAGAACCAAGGGAUUCUCCCACGGACAUGUACCUGUGACAACAUUAGAGGUGCGAGGGAAGGGUAAGAGGUCAUAUGCAUUCUCAGAAGAUUUUGAAGAUAAAUCAGUUUGAAGACAUUGACCUCAUAGUGCGAAGACAUUCACUUAUUUGAUGAGAGUUGGUUCCAGAUUUGUACGAAUCCAUGAAUAAGUACAAGUGAGGAAUUUAACUAGUUGUGAUGCAUAAGUGAAUAUACUUGGCAUGAUAUGAGACACAGAACAAGAUAGAUCCAGAUUUGGAAGAUAAGAAACCACUUUUGGUUGAAGUGGAUGGAUCUGACGGAUCAAAAAGGCAGUAAAAAGUAAGUUUUAUUUACCCUUGAUGAACUACUAGACGAGGUCGAGAGAGAGAGGCUGAGCAGUUCGAUCUCCCGUGCCCUAACUCGGCGACGGAAGACACCUACGGCGGCGGUGGAGAGGACGAAGUCCGCGGCCCGUGUGAGGACGACGUCGAAGAAGUCGCGGCAGCUAAGCGCUUCAUCUCCGGUGUCGACGCGAGCUAGCGGAGGUGCUAGGGUUUGUGCGAGGUGGCGAGGUGGGAGAAGAGAUAAUGACCGCGGUGAGUUGUGCAUUUAUAAGGAAAGGGACAGCACAGCGUAAUUACGCAGGUGCCCCUGGCGGUUCACAUCUGAAGGACACGUGGCAUGCAUGCAACACAUUGAAAGAUGUUCCAUGUUCCCACGCACGGCUGGAUUGUCGGGUGGUCGUUCCGGCUUCUCCGGUAUUCAGGCAAUCAGGAUAUAGCAUUAAAAAUAGAUUCAACUUUUGUCUCUGUGUCUUCUGCUGACAAGGAUUCAGAGAAGACAAUUGACAGUUUCAAUAGAAUGCAUAUGAUUUGGAUAGAUAGACUUGAGGUAGAAGCAAAGAAGGGGUUAGGGUCCGAUCACAUUCACUUAGAUCAAGAAAGAUGCAAACAAGAAGACAUAGCUAUAAGUGAAUGCUGUAGAGGACAGGACCCGAAUAAAUGUAAACAUCAGCAUAAGUCCAAAUCAACCUUGUGAAGAUAAACACGAAGACAAAUCAAAUGCAAAUGUAACGCCAAUUGAAGCACAUCAACAAGAAUUUGGUGGUGGCGUUACCCACCGUAUAGGAAGUAUUAGACCCAGAUACGGCGCACAAUUAUCGUGGCGCUCCGAAGUCAAAUUCCGAGUUAAUGUAUUCACACUUAGAGUGUAUGUCUUCAUUGAUUGAAGAUAUACGUUACUUUGUGUGUUGCACAUAUAAGUCAUCAACAUGCAUAAGUGUUAGGAUGUGUGUCCACUUACAGGACAUUCGAGGGUUCUAAGAAAUUUAGCUCACACCGCAACUUAAAAAACCUUUUCUCAUCCAAGGGCUUUGUGAAGAUAUCUGCCAAUUGCUCUUCAGUGUUAACGUGAAUGAUAUCAAUAUCUUCCUUCAUGACAUGAUCUCUGGGAAAGUGAUGACGAAUUUCAAUGUGCUUUGUCUUCGAGUGCUGAACUGGGUUGUUGGCAAUCUUGAUGGCGCUUUCAUUGUUGCAGUAGAGUGGCACAUGCUUCAGGUGAAUACCAUAGUCCUUGAGAGUUUGCUUCAUCCACAGAAGCUGAGCAUAGCAAGAUCCAGCGGCAAUGUAUUCAGAUUCAGCAGUGGAGAGAGAUACACAGUGCUGCUUCUUUGAAGACCAACAGACAAGUGAUCGUCCAAGAAAGUGACAUGUGCCUGAUGUGGACUUGCGAUCAACCUUGUCACCAGCAUAAUCAGCAUCUGAGAAUCCAACUAGAUCAAACUCUGAGCCCUUUAGAUACCAUAAUCCUAGUGUUGGGGUGUAAGCCAAAUAUCGAAGAAUUCUCUUCACAGCUAAGUGAUGCGAUUCCUUUGGUGCCGCUUGGAAUCGGGCACACAUGCAAAAACUAAGCAUUAUAUCUGGCCUAGAUGCACAUAAAUAGAGUAAAGAACUAAUCAUGGAGUGGUAUACCUUUUGAUCGAACUCUUUACCAUUGACGUCAGGACUCAGAUGACUUUUGGUUGGCAUUGGCGUCGUGUAUCCCUUGCAAUCUUGCAUUCCAAACUUCUUCAGGCAAUCCUUGAGAUACUUUUCUGUGAUAUGAAGAUGUCGUUGCUCUGCUGACGAAUUUGAAGACCGAGGAAGAAUUUCAGUUCACCCAUCAUGGACAUCUGAUAUUGCUCAUGCAUCAUGUGUCCAAACUCAUCACCGUAUCUCUUGUCAGUGCAACCGAAGAUAAUGUCAUCCACAUAGAUUUGGCACACAAAUAGUUCUCCGUCAUAUGUCUUCGUGAAGAGUGUAGGAUCUAGAGAACCAGGUUUGAAGCCUUUGAUCUUCAGGAAGUCUUUGAGAGUGUCAUACCAAGCGCGAGGAGCUUGUUUGAGGCCAUACAGUGCCUUGUUGAGCUUGUAUACCAUAUCAGGAUGUUUUGGAUCUUCAAAGCCAGGUGGUUGUGCAACAUACACUUCUUCUUCAAUCUUCCCAUUGAGAAAUGCACUUUUCACAUCCAUUUGGUACACGAGGAUGUUGUGAUGGUUGGCAUAGGCUAGUAGUAUGUGAAUGGCUUCAAGCCUAGCCACGGGAGCAAAUGUUUCAUCGAAGUCAAUCCCUUCAACUUGGGUGUAACCUUGAGCAACGAGACGAGCCUUGUUUCUAACAACCUGACCAUGCUCAUCUUGUUUGUUGUGAUAGAUCCACUUGGUGCCUAUGAUGUCGUGCUUGCGAGGAUCAGGACGCUUGACCAAUUCCCACACAUUGUUCAACUCGAACUGUUGAAGCUCUUCUUGCAUAGCUUGAAUCCAUUCAGGUUCCAUGAAGGCUUCAGCAACUUUCUUGGGUUCAGAUAUUGAGACAAAUGCAAAGUGCCCACAGAAAUUUGCUAGCUGUGUUGCUCUUGAACGGGUGAGUGGACCAGGUGCAUUGAUGCUAUCAAUUAUCUUCUCAAUCUGUACUUCAUUUGCAACAUGAGGAUGAACUGGACGAAGAUUUUGCCCUUGCUGAUCAUUGUCUUCAUCUGCAGUAUUGGCUUCAGGCUAAGCAUUGUCUUCAGGUUGACUUGGUGCAAUGAUGAUUUCUUCUUCAGCCUGUGCCUCUGAAGGUAUGAUUUCUCUAGUACCCAUAAGCUUGAUCGAUUCACAUGGUGGGACUUCAUCUAGCACAUUUGGCAGGUGCUCUCUUUGCAAGCCGUUAGUCUCAUCGAACCGCACAUCCAUAGUUUCAACCACUUUAUAGUGAAAGAGGUUGAAGACUCUGUAGGAGUGCGAAUCCUUUCCGUAGCCAAGCAUAAAACCUUCAUGUGCUUUUGGUGCAAAUUUUGAAGUGUGAUGUGGAUCCUUGAUCCAGCACCAAGCACCAAAUACUCUAAAGUAACUGACAUUUGGCUUCUUACCAGUUAGGAGCUCAUAGGAUGUCUUCUUUAGAAGCUUGUGAAGAUAAACACGGUUGAUGACGUGGCAUGCAGUAUCAAUAGCUUCAUGCCAGAACUUCCUUGUAGUCUUAUACUCAUCAAGCAUCGUCCGAGCCAUCUCAAUGAGUGUUCUGUUCUUGCGCUCCACGAUGCCAUUCUGCUGAGGUGUGUAUGGAGCAGAAAACUCAUGAGUGAUGCCCAAUGUAUCAAGAUAAGUGUCGAGGCUGGUGUUCUUGAAUUCUGUGCUAUUGUCACUUCUGAUGUGCUUGAUCUUGAUGCCAUAGUUUGUCAUGGUACGAUCGGCGAAUCGUCUCAAGACAUCCUGCACUUCAUUCUUGUAGAGGAUUAUAUGCACCCAUGUAUAUCUUGAAUAAUCAUCAACAAUGACGAAGGCAUAGAGGCAUGCAGUGGUAGUGAGAGUAGAGUAGUGAGUAGGGCCAAAUAGGUCCAUGUGAAGCAGCUCGAAGGGUUGAGAUGUCGUCAUGAUUUUCUUCGAGGGACGCUUGGCCCUAGUCAUCUUUCCAGCUUCGCAGGCACCACAUAGAUGAUUCUUCUUGAACUUGAAGCCCUCGAUGCCACGUGUUUCUUCUUCACGAGAGUGUACAAGUUCCUCGUGCCAGCAUGCCAUAGCCUCCGAUGCCAGAGCCAGCAUUCUGAAGCUUUUGCUAGAAGACAUACGGCCAACUGUGGUCCUGCUGAGAAAUCUACCAUGUACAGAUCAUCUUUCCGAUACCCUUCAAAGACUAGAGAUUUGCCAGAUUCCAUUAGCACAAGGCAACGAUAUUUUCCAAAUAUCACAAUCAUGUUUAGAGACAUUGAGACAGACUUUAAGUUGAAACCAAGGGAUUCAAUUGUGAAGCAUAAACAUUUGACGAACGAGUGGAUUAUGAAAGUUCAGAUCUUGGUUAGGAUAAACAGGGUGAUCAUCAAGGAACUCAGGAACAAAAUACAUAGUAAGACCAUUUGGACAUUUGAUCUUGAGUCCCACAAGAUGUUUUAGGUCCCCAGCAUUAGCAUCGGACGCCUUUGAUUUCUGGCUGGAGACCUUUCCCUGCAAAAGAGAGUUAAUUUUUCUUAGCCACCCACAUCUUCAGGGGUGGCUUAGAAGCAAUGAGUCUAAGUGCAGCAUCUGAGAACUUCGGCUUUGGAGACCUAGAAAAUAGCCUUGCAGGAGGUGAAUAAUACUCAUAUGAAUAAGCAGAAAAGUUCUUACUUUUAUGAACAUAGCAGUUUGAGGAAACACGGUCAUAUUCAUAGGUCUGAGUAUGAUUUCCCUACAAAACAUUGGCGUUAGGGUGACUCUGUUGAGUCCUCUGUUUGUAUGAAGCCUUUGGACCAUAUGAAGCCUUUGGUCAGGGGUUUGUCUUUUUCCCAGGUGGUGUCAUGAUGACAUUCACGGGAAGAUUCUCAAGACAACUUUUAGGCACCCAGAUCUUCUUCAUAGGUGGCCCAUUCCUGCAUUUAGUACCAAUAUACCUGGCAAACACUUCACCAUUCUGAUUCUUAAACAGUUUAUAGUUUGCAUCAAAGGAUUCAUCAAUGAUAAUCGGGUUAGCACAGGUGAAGCCAGAUAGAGUAGACGGAUCCAUUGAAGGUCCCUUUGCAGCAACCCAUGUGGUUUUGGGGUACUGCUCAGGCUUCCAGUAAGAACCAUAAACAUUCAUUUUCCUCUCGAACCCAACACCCUCUUUCCUAGGGUUUCGGUUCAGUAUCUGUUUCUUGAGGACAUCACAUAGUGUCUGAUGCCCUUUGAGACUUUUGUACAUUCCUGUCUCAAGCAAUGUCUUCAACCUGGCAUUCUCAUCAGCAAUAGUAGUGGUAUCCUCAGCAGAGGGGUUAGUUACCACAUCAGCAGUUGAAGAUAUUGCAACAGUAGCAGCAGUAGAACAUUCAGCAACAGAGGUAGCGUUAUCAUGCUCAAGGCAUUUUAGACAUGGUGGUUCAAAUCCUUCCUGAGCGGGACUGAUCUGUUGAGCGCGAAGUGACUCGUUCUCCUUUUGAAGAUCUUCAUGAGCCGCUCUCAAUUUCUCAAGUUCUUGCUUCCUUUGAAGAUAAUCGUAGGAAAGCUUUUCAUGAGUUGUUGAGAGCGUUUCAUGAUGACUUUCAAGUUCCUCGUACUUAACAUGAAGAUUUUUUAUGUCUUCAAUUAAGGACUGAGAUCGGGUCAUUUUCGCGUCCAACAGAUCAUCGCUUUUGUCUAGCAAUUUUUGAAUAUGUUCCAUAGCUUUCUGUUGUUCAGUUGCAAUUUUAGCAAGUGUUUUGUAGCUUGGUUUGGAUUCACAAUCAGAGUCAUCUUCACUUGAUGUUUGAAAGUAAGCAUCGCGUGAGUUUACCUUGGCACCGCGUGCCAUGAAGAAGUAGGUGGGAGCAGAGUCAUCCUCAUCCUUAGCAUCAGUGUUGGUGACGAGGCCAUUAUCUUCGGUGUUGAAGAUGGACUUGGCGACAUAUGCUGAAGCUAGAGCCAGGCUUGCCACACCUGAAUCGGACUCCUCCUCAGACUCCACCUCCGCCUCCUCAGAAGCAGACUCCUCCUCUGAAUCCAUCUCCUUGCCAACAAAUGCAUGAGCCUUGCUUGAUGAGCUCUUCUUGUGUGAUGAAGACUUCGACGAAGACUUGGAAGAAGACUUUGAGGAUUUCUUCUUCUUGUCAUCAGAAUCAUAUUCCUUGCUCUUUUUCUUCUUCUUGUUCGCGUUGUCCCACUGCGUUUUCUUCUUCUUGUUCGCGUUGUCCCACUGCGGACACUCAGAGAUGUAGUGACCAGGUUUCUUCCACUUGUGGCAUGUUCUCUUCUUGUGGUCAUUGAUGUCUACUACACAACCUUCAUCUUGUAGAUGUUGUUGGGCCUCCAAGUGCAGAGGUUUGUAGGACAGUAGCAAAUUUCCCUCAAGUGGAUGACCUAAGGUUUAUCAAUCCGUGGGAGGCGUAGGAUGAAGAUGGUCUCUCUCAAACAACCCUGCAACCAAAUAACGAAGAGUCUCUUGUGUCCCCAACACACCCAAUACAAUGGUAAAUUGUAUAGGUGCACUAGUUCAGCGAAGAGAUGGUGAUACAAGUGCAAUAUGGAUGGUAUAUAUAGGAUUUUGUAAUCUGAAAAUAUAAAAACAGCAAGGUAACUAAUGAUAAAAGUGAGCACAAACGGUAUUGCAAUGCUAGGAAACAAGGCCUAGGGUUCAUACUUUCACUACUGCAAGUUCUCUCAACAAUAAUAACAUAAUUGGAUCAUAUAACUAUCCCUCAACAUGCAACAAAGAGUCACUCCAAAGUCACUAAUAGCGGAGAACAAACGAAGAGAUUAUUGUAGGGUACGAAACCACCUCAAAGUUAUCCUUUCUGAUCAAUCUAUUCAAGAGUCCGUAGUAAAAUAACACGAAGCUAUUCUUUCCGUUCGAUCUAUCCUAGAGUUCGUACUAGAAUAAGACCUUAAGACACAAAUCAACCAAAACCCUAAUGUCACCUAGAUACUCCAAUGUCACGUCAAGUAUCCGUGAGUAUGAUUAUAUGAUAUGCAUCACACAAUCUCAGAUUCAUCUAUUCAAACCAACACAAAGUACUUCAAAGAGUGCCCCAAAGUUUCUACCGGAGAGUCAAGACGAAAACGUGUGCCAACCCCUAUGCAUAAGUUCACAAGGUCACUGAACCCGCAAGUUGAUCACCGAAACAUACAUCAAGUAGAUCACGUGAAUAUCCCAUUGUCACCACAGAUAAGCACAUGCAAGACAUACAUCAAGUGUUCUCAAAUCCUUAAAGACUCAAUCCGAUAAGGCAACUUCAAAGGGAAAAUUCAAUCCAUUACAAGAGAGUAGAGGGGGAGAAACAUCAUAAGAUCCAACUAUAAUAGCAAAGCUCGCGAUACAUCAAGAUCGUGCCAAAUCAAGAACACGAGAGAGAGAGAGAGAGAUCAAACACAUAGCUACUGGUACAUACCCUCAGCCCUGAGGGUGAACUACUCCCUCCCCGUCAUGGAGAGCACCGGGAUGAUGAAGAUGGCCACUGGAGAGGGAUUCCCCCCUCCGACAGGGUGCCGGAACGGAUCUAGAUUGGUUUGCGGUGGCUACAGAGGCUUGUGGCGGCGGAACUCCCGAUCUAUUGUGUUCCCCGAUGUUUUUAGGGUAUAUGGCUGUAUAUAGGCGAAAGAAGUCGUACAGGGGGCCCACGAGGGUGGGGGCGUGCCCAGGGGGUAGGGCGCGCCUCCCUGCCUCGUGGCUUCCUCGAAGCUUCCCUGACGUCUACUCCAAGUCUCCUGGAUUGCUUCCGUUCCAAAAAUAACUCUCCCGAAGGUUUCAUUCCGUUUGGACUCCGUUUGAUAUUCCUUUUCUUCAAAACACCGAAAUAGGCAAGAAAACAACAAUUUGGGUUGGGCCUCCGGUUAAUAGGUUAGUCCCAAAAAUAAUAUAAAAGUGUUUAGUAAAGCCCAUAAACAUCCAAAACAGAUAAUAUAAUAGCAUGAAUACUUCAUAAAUUAUAGAUACGUUGGAGACGUAUCAGCAUCCCCAACCUUAAUUCCUGCUCGUCCUCGAGUAGGUAAAUGAUAAAAGAAAUAAUUUAUGAAGUGUGAAUGCUAGCAGGUGCACAAGUUUGAUCAAUGAUAAUUUCAAUCACCUUUUCUAGCAUCAUUAUAUGUCAUAACAGUAGCUCAUAUCAUAAAGCUUCUCAUGAUCAAGCAACAAGCUAUUCACAUGUUAAAGUAUAGAUCAUAAACUUUCUUGAAAACUAACAAACAGUUCUCAGUCAUCAAACAAUUGCAAUUCAUCUUAUUUUCAGGAAGGGUCUAUGUAAGAGCUUUGAUUUAGCAAAUCCCACAUACUCAACUAUCAUAUAGUCUUCCAUGAUUGCUACCACUCAAAGCAUAUUUUUAGAACAAAUAGCAUCCAUCGAACACAGAGAAAGAUAGGGGCUUAAUGUUUCGCCUCCCAACUUAUUUAUCAUAUAGAUAAUUGUCAACAAUAAUAAUUCAUGAUCAAAUAUAUCUGAAUGGCCAUAUAUGCUUAGAUCUUUCCAUCACAUGAUGCUUGCCAACUAAAUAGUAGGUUGGAAUGAGAAGGAAUACUACUGACUCUUGCAUAAAAGUAAAAGAUAGGCCCUUCACAGAGGGAAGCAGGGAUUUGCAGAGGUGCCAGAGCUCGAAGCAAAAACAGAGAUGAAAAUAAUUUUGAGAGGUAUGCUUUCAUUGUCAACAUAACGACCAAGAGUUCCCAAUAUCUUCCAUCCUAGAUACAUUAUAGGCGGUUCCCACGUAGAAAGGUAAAAUUUUUACUCCCCCUCCACCAACAUUCACACUCCACGGCUUGUCCGAAACAACGGGUGCCGUCCAACUAUCAACAUUCCUGGGGGAGUUUUGUUUAAAUUAUUUGCGAAUUUGUUUUUGAUCUUUUGAUCAUAGGACUGGGCAUCCCAGUUACCAGCCAUUUUCUCGUGAAUGAUGAGCGGAGUCCACUCAUCGUGAGAAUAACCCACCUAGCAUGGAAGAUACUGACAACCCCUAAUCGCUACAUGAGCGAUUCAGGCAUACAAAACAGAUUUUGAAGGUUUAGAGUUUGGCACAUGCAAAUUUACUUGGAACGGCAGGUAAAUACCGCAUAUAGGUAGAUAUGGUGGACACUCAUGGAAUAAACUUGGUUCAAGGAAUUUGUAUGCACAAGCAGUAUUCCCGCUUAGUACAGAUAUUUUGGCUAGCAAAGGAUUCUAAAUAGCAAGCACCACAUGUUAGAGGAUCCACAACAAUAUAACUUCUAUACAAGUAUACCCAAGCAUAACUCAUUAUGUUGUCUUCCUUGUCCAACUUCAACUAAUUUGCUCAGGUUUGAAAAUAAUUAAUGGGGCUCACAAUCAUAGAAGAUGUCCAAGAUAGUAUAUUUAUAUGUGAAAUCUCUCUUCCUUCAAUAUUCUUUCAUGAAUUGUUUAAGUGACCAAUACAAUGUUUGCUACCCUUCAAUAAAUUUACCACCUCUACUUCUUAUAUGUGAAAGCAUUACUCCCCAUGGGAAAGGCAUAUGAAACAUAUAUAAUUUCAGAUUUAUGAUAUUCAAAUCAUUCAACCAUUUACUCAUAGAAUAUAAGUGAAGCACACGAGUAAAUGACAAACUACUCCAAAAAGAUAUAAGUGAAGAUCAGUGAGUAGUUAAAUAAUUAUGUAGCUAUGUGAAGACUCUCUCUCUCAUUUAAGAAUUUCAGAUCUUAGGAUAUUAUUCAAACAUCAAGCAAAACAAAAUAAAAUGACAUUUCAAGGAUAGCACUCAUCAUGUGAAGAAGCAAAAACUUAGGCUCAACCGAUACUAGCCGAUAAUUGUUGAAGAAGAAAGGUGGGAUGCCUACCGGGGCAUCCCCAAGCUUAGAUGCUUGAGACUUCUUGAAAUAUUAUCUUGGGGUGCCUUGGGAAUCCCCAAGCUUGAGCUUUUGUGUCUCCUUAAUUCCUCUCAUAUCACGGUUUCCUAAAUCUCGAAAGCUUCAUCCACACCAAACUCAACAAGAACUCGUGAGAUAAGUUAGUAUAAACCAAUGCAAAAACCUUAUCAUUUUCUACUGUAACAAAUCACUAAAAUUAUUAUUCAACAUUGCAUACUAAAUGCCUCUGCAUAUUUAAUACUCCUAUCCUCAAAUAGAAUCAUUAAACAAGCAAACAUAUGCAAACAAUGCAAACAUAACAGCAAUCUGCCAAAACAGUACAGUCUGUAAAGAAUGCAAGAUUCAUCAUACUUCCCUAACUCCAAACAUUAUCAAAAUCUAACAUACUGUAGAAAAUUUAUCAGAGCUCAUGAUGCAAAAAGUUUCAACAUUUUAUCAUAUUCUGACUUUUCUAGGGAAUUUUUGCAAUAGCGGUAAACUUUCUGUUUUGAAACAGCAACAUGCAUACUUGCAAAAUAAGCAUGGUAAAAGCUAUCUUUGACAUUUUUAUUGAAAAUAGAGAUGCAAAAAAUUAUUAUAAAUAACAUAAAGCAAAUACUAACAAAAUAAAAUGACGCUCCAAGCAAAACACAUAUCAUGUGGUGAAUAAAAAUAUAGCUCCAAGUAAAGUUACCGAUGAACGAAGACAAAAGAGGGGAUGCCAUCCGGGGCAUCCCCAAGCUUAGGCUCUUGGUUGUCCUUGAAUAUUACCUUGGGGUGCCUUGGGAAUCCCCAAUCUUAGGCUCUUGCCACUCCUUAUUCCAUAGUCCAUCGAAUCUUUACCCAAAACUUGAAAACUUCACAACACAAAACUCAACAGAAAACUCGUAAGCUCCGUUAGUAUAAGAAAAUAAAUCACCACUUUUGGUACUGUUGUGAACUCAUUCUAAAUUAAUAUUGGUGUAAUAUCUACUUUAUUCCAACUUAUCUAUGGUUCAUACCCUCCGAUACUACUCACAGAUUCAUCAAAAUAAGCAAACAACACAUAGAAAACAGAAUCUGUCAAAAACAGAACAGUCUGUAGUAAUCUGUAUCAAACGUAUACUUAUGAAACUCCAAAAAUUCUGAAAUAAUUUUUUAGACCUGAGUAAUUUUUCUAUUAAUCUUCUGCAAAAAGAAUCAACUUAAAAUCACCCUUCUGUAAAAAAUGACAGCUAAACUCGUGAGCGCAAAGUUUCUGUUUUUUACAGCAAGAUCACCUUAACUUACACCCAAGUCUUCCCAAAGGUUCUACUUGGCACUUUAUUGAAACAAAAGCUAUAAAACAUGAUUACUACAGUAUCUUAAUCAUGUGAACACACAAAAACAGUAGGGGUAAAUAUUGGGUUGUCUCCCAACAAGCGCUUUUCUUUAAUGCCUUUUAGCUAGGCAUGAUGAUUUCAAUGAUGCUCACAUAAAAGAUAAGAGUUCAAACAUAAAGAGAGCAUCAUGAAGAAUAUGACUAGCACAUUUAAGUCUAACCCACUUCCUAUGCAUAGGGAUUUUGUGAGCAAACAACUUAUGGGAACAAUAAUCAACUAGCAUAGGAAGGCAAAACAAGCAUAACUUUAAAACUUUGAGCACAUAGAGAGGAAACUUGAUAUUAUUGCAAUUCCUAAAAGCAUAUGUUCCUCCCUCAUAAUAAUUUUCAGUAGUAUCAUGGAUGAAUUCAACAAUAUAACCAACACAUAAAUCAUUCUUUUCAUGAGCCACAAGCAUAGAAUUUUUAUUACUCUCCACAUAAACAAAUUUAUUCUCAUCAAUAGUAGUGGGAGCAAACUCAACAAAAUAACUAUCAUGUGAAGCAUAAUCCAAUUGAAAAUUAAAAUCAUGAUGACAAGUUUCAUGGUUAUCUUUAUUCUUUAUAGAAUACGUGUCAUCACAAUAAUCAUCAUAAAUAGGAGGCAUGCUUUCAUCAUAAUAAAUUUGCUCAUCGAAACUUGGGGGACUAAACAUAUCAUCUUCAUCAAACAUAGCAUCCCCAAGCUUGUGGCUUUGCAUAUCAUUAGCAUCAUGGGUAUUCAAAGAAUUCAUACUAACAACAUUGCAAUCAUGCUCAUCAUUCGAAGAUUUAGUGCGAAACAUUCUAAUGCAUUCUUCUUCUAGCAAUUGAGCACAAUUAUCGGAAUCCUUAUUUUCACGGAAGACAUUAAAAAUAUGAAGCAUAUGAGGCAACCUUAAUUCCAUUUUUUUGUAGUUUUCUUUUAUAAACUAUAAUAGUGAUAAAACAAGAAACUAAAAGAUUCGAUUGCAAGAUCUAAAGAUAUAACUUCAAGCACUAACGUCCCCGGCAACGGCGCCAGAAAAGAGCUUGAUGUCUACUACAUAACCUUCUUCUUGUAGACGUUGUUGGGCCUCCAAGUGCAGAGGUUUGUAGGACAGUAGCAAAUUUCCCUCAAGUGGAUGACCUAAGGUUUAUCAAUCCGUGGGAGGCGUAGGAUGAAGAUGGUCUCUCUCAAACAACCCUGCAACCAAAUAACAAAGAGUCUCUUGUGUCCCCAACACACCCAAUACAAUGGUAAAUUGUAUAGGUGCACUAGUUCGGCGGAGAGAUGGUGAUACAAGUGCAAUAUGGAUGGUAGAUAUAGGUUUUGUAAUCUGAAAAUAUAAAAACAGCAAGGUAACUAAUGAUAAAAGUGAGCACAAACGGUAUUGCAAUGCUAGGAAACAAGGCCUAGGGUUCAUACUUUCACUACUGCAAGUUCUCUCAACAAUAAUAACAUAAUUGGAUCAUAUAACUAUCCCUCAACAUGCAACAAAGAGUCACUCCAAAGUCACUAAUAGCGGAGAACAAACGAAGAGAUUAUUGUAGGGUACGAAACCACCUCAAAGUUAUCCUUUUUGAUCAAUCUAUUCAAGAGUCCGUAGUAAAAUAACACGAAGCUAUUCUUUCCGUUCGAUUUAUCCUAGAGUUCGUACUAGAAUAACACCUUAAGACACAAAUCAACCAAAACCCUAAUGUCACCUAGAUACUCCAAUGUCACCUCAAGUAUCCGUGGGUAUGAUUAUACGAUAUGCAUCACAUAAUCUCAGAUUCAUCUAUUCAAACCAACACAAAGUACUUCAAAGAGUGCCCCAAAGUUUCUACCGGAGAGUCAAGACGAAAACAUGUGCCAACCCCUAUGCAUAAGUUCACAAGGUCACUGAACCCACAAGUUGAUCACCGAAACAUACAUCAAGUAGAUCACGUGAAUAUCCCAUUGUCACCACAGAUAAGCACAUGCAAGACAUACAUCAAGUGUUCUCAAAUCCUUAAAGACUCAAUUCGAUAAGACAACUUCAAAGGGAAAACUCAAUCCAUUACAAGAGAGUAGAGGGGGAGAAACAUCAUAAGAUCCAACUAUAAUAGCAAAGCUCGCGAUACAUCAAGAUCGUGCCAAAUCAAGAACACGAGAGAGAGAGAGAGAGGGAGAGAUCAAACACAUAGCUACUGGUACAUACCCUCAGCCCCGAGGGUGAACUCCCUCCCAUCAUGGAGAGCGCCGGGAUGAUGAAGAUGGCCACCGGAGAGGGAUUCCCCCCUCCGGCAGGGUGCCGGAACGGGUCUAUAUUGGUUUGCGGUGGCUACAGAGGCUUGCAGCGGCGGAACUCCCGAUCUAUUGUGUUCCCCGAUGUUUUUAGGGUAUAUGGAUAUAUAUAGGUGAAAGAAGUCGGUCAGGGGAGCCACGAGGGGCCCACGAGGGUGGGGGGCGCGCCAGGGGGGUAGGGCGCGCCUCCCUGCCUCGUGGCUUACUCGAAGCUUCCCCGACGUCUACUCCAAGUCUCCUGGAUUGCUUCCGUUCCAAAAAUAACUCUCCCGAAGGUUUCAUUCCGUUUGGAUUCCGUUUGAUACUCCUUUUCUUCGAAACACCGAAAUAGGCAAGAAAACAACAAUUUGGGCUGGGCCUCCGGUUAAUAGAUUAGUCCCAAAAUAAUAUAAAAGUAUUUAGUAAAGCCCAUAAACAUCCAAAACAGAUAAUAUAAUAGCAUGAAUACUUCAUAAAUUAUAUAUACGUUGGAGACGUAUCAGUCAUGAGCAGAAGCUUCAUCAUUUCUUGAGCUGGAUCUUGAAGACUUUCUGAAGCCUUUCUUCUUGGAGAACUUCUGGAACUUCUUCACAAGCAUAUCAAGCUCCUUUCCAAUGUCUUCAGGAUCCCCAGAACUGCAGUCAGAUUCUUCUUCAGAUGAGGAAACAACCUUUGCCUUCAAAGCGCGAGUUCGGCCGUAGUGGGACCAUAGAUGUCUCUUUUCUCAGAUAGCUGGAACUCAUGUGUGUUGAGCCUCUCAAGUAUGUCAGACAGAUCGAGAGUCUUGAAGUCAGGGCGUUCUUGAAUCAUCAGGGCCAGGGUGUCGAAUGAACUGUCAAGUGAUGUCAAGAGUGUCUUGACGAUUUCAUGCUUGGUGAUCUCAGUGGCGCCGAGUGCAUGAAGCUCAUUUGUGAUAUCAGUGAGGCAAUCAAAUAUGAGCUAGACAUUCUCAUUGUCAUUUCUCUUGAAGCGGUUGAAGAGGUUGCAAAGAACACUGAUCCUUGAGGCUCUCUGGGUUGAGACGCCUUCGUUGACCUUGGAGAGCCAGUCCCAGACUAGCUUCAUAGUUUCCAGAGCACUCACAUGACCAUACUAUCCUUUGGUCAGAUGACCACACAUGAUGUUCUUGGCAGUCGAGUUCAGUUGAAUGAAUCUCUUGACAUCAGCAACAGUGACACCUUCACCGACCUUGGGUACGCCGUUCUCGACGACAUACCAGAGGUCGACAUCAAUGGCUUCAAGAAGCAUGCACAUCUUAUUCUUCUAGUAGGGGUAAUCAGUGCCAUCGAAGACAGGGCACGCAGCGAAGACUUUGAUUAUCCCGGCAGUCGACAUAGCUAAAACUCCAGGUGGUUAAACCGAAUCACACAGAACAGGGGAGCACCUUGCUCUGAUACCAAUUGAAAGUGCUAGUUAUCGACUAGAGGGGGGUGAAUAGGUGAUUUUUAUGAAAAUCUUCAAAACAUGGGGGCUUUGAAGACAAACAAUAGAAAUGAACCUAUUGAUAUGCAGCGGAAGGUAGACUACACUAGACAAGCCAUAGUCAAGCAAGCAAUGAAGCGAAAGCACGAAGACUAUUAUCAGCUAGGUAGUAUGGAUCAGGAUGGAAGAUAGUAUGAAGCCAAACAAUAACAGUCUUCACACAGUGAAGUCAAUCAGAUAAAGCGAGUAGGCAAUGACUUCACGAAGACAAACUGUAAGUAAAGAGAGAUAGGAGAUAGAACCAGUUACUUGGGGAGGACACAGAUUUGUUGGACCAGUUCCAAUUGCUGUGACAACUGUACGUCUGGUUAGGGAGGCUGAGAUUUAACUCAGAAGACCGCGUCUUCAGCUUAUUCCCCUUGAUCUAAGGACACUUAGUCCUCGCCCAAUCACUCUGGUAAGUCUUCAAGGCAGACUUCCAAACCUUCACAGACUUCGUUCACCGGCAAUCCAUAAUGACUCUUGGAUGCUCAGAACGCGACGCCUAACCGGCUGGAGGAUUCACAGUCCUCAAAUGUAACAAGUCUUCAGAUCACGUGGAGAGAAAGACUUCAGUGAUGCCUAACACUCUUUGGCUCUGGGUGUUUUGGGCUUUGUCCUUGCAAGGAUCUCUCUCUCAAAUGCUUCGGAGGUGGGUUGCUCUUAAACGACAAAAGUUGUGCACUAACUCUGAGCAGCCACCAAUUUAUGGUGUAGGGGUGGGCUAUUUAUAGCCAGGAGGCAACCCGACCUGAUUUGUCCGAAAUGACCCUGGGUCACUAAGGAACUUACACGUGUCCAACGGUCAGAUUUCAAACACACGCGACAGCUUGACUUGGGCUACAAGUAAAGCUGACUCAUCCAACUCUGGAUAAGAUUUGCUCUCAUUGUCUUCGCUCGAAGACAUAGGAUUUGGUUGAGCAUCACUUCAGUCACUCUGACUUUGUUCACUUGGACCCCACUUAACAGUGUGGUGGUUCCUAUGACUCAACAAAGAAGAGGAAACUACGAAACAACUAUGUCUUCGCACUCCAUAGUCUUCACGUGAACGUCUUCUCGAGUCAUAAUCUUCGUUGUGAAUAUCUUCACAACCACCAUUGGCUUCAAUGUCUUCACACAUUUUUAGUGGUCAUCUCUGGUAGGUAAACUGAAUCAAUAUGGGACUACUACCUGUGUUAUCCUGCAAUUCUCACAAACACAUUAGUCCCUCAACCAAGUUUGUCGUCAAUACUCCAAAACCAACUAGGGGUGGCACUAGAUGCACUUACAAGGAUCAAUCAAUGCACUGAUAUUGCUAGGCCCUUCUGCUGUCGACGCCACCACGAUGCCAAACAACGCCUGCCUCCUGCGCAUGCCCAUCGAACGGUAUCCAGCGCCGAGACCCCGCUGCACCUUGCCGCCAAGACUCGCCGUCAUCAAUAUUGUAGAUGUCACGCCACUCCAUCUUGGUCACCACAUAAGAAGCACACGGAGACCUGCACCCAACACCAAGCCAAACACUUGUCCCUCCAGCCGAUGUACAACCCAAAAGGUGAUGCCCCCAUGGGGUGACAACGCAGGAACAUUGCCAUCAUACGAUCCGAAAAGCCCGAAUCUGGGGUUUCCCCCAGGGCACACAGGGAUCGCGAAUUGCCCCACAACGCCUCCAGCGAGGUAAGGACGCCCGCGGGUGCCGUCGUUGACGGUUCCGUCCAAGGCCGAACCAAGCUUACUUGCAAAUUCGUGCCCAUCCCGGUUGGACCACCAGAUCGACCUCCUCCGUCAUCUAACACGCCCAUGGGUAACGUCUGCCGCCGGGAAACCGCCCGACCGGAGCUGCACCACUGUCCAAAACCACCACCACGCCUGGGUGAGCCAUCGACGACCGAGGGGCCCUCACCGCUGCACCACCGACGCCUGGGGACGCACAUGUCCAAGACACCCGUGUGGAUCUCCACCGCAACCACAUCCUGGAGCCGCAGCGGAGGAAGGCCCCGCCACCACCAUCAUCCUCCACCUGGGCUUUGCCCCCUUGGAGCUCCGGCGACGGUGAGGAGAAGGGCAACGACGACUCAAAUCCCUAGAUCAGAUCAAGAGGGAGGGGAUUAGGAGGGAGGAGAUCGGGAGUCCCCUAUACUAGCGGGUCCUUGGAGUCAAUGGUUGUGCUCCUUCUUCCUUGGCAUACCAGCUCUAACUUGAAUUUGGUUGGCACUCUCCAUUUUUGUAUUUUUACAUUUACAAUUUGUAUUGAUAGUAACACUUCUGAACUAAAUCAUAUUACUAUCUCUUUUUUGUUAACCUGUCAUCGGUUGACUUGAGGUUUUAAACAAGAAUGUCCUCGGUUGAUGUUUAAAAUGUCAUACAAAUUCACUCUUGUAAUAUAUUUGAACAUUUAAGUGCCUGAAUAGAGAAUUGCUCUGCAUUUUUUUGCACACAAAAUUACUCUGCAUUUUAAUUAGAUGAAAAUGGGGCAUGUUUAUGGAAAUGGCCAAAAAUUUGGAGCUGCCGCCACAGCUCUGACCCAGCCCGCCAAUCCACCGGUCCAAGCUUCCGGCCACAUCACGGAUCCGCGGCAUCCCUCCCCCGGAUUGCCGUCUCGACCGUCCACUCCAUCCGCAUCCAACGGCAGGCACGCCUCCUCCAGCUUCUCGUCCCCGUUAAAACGCCCCUCGCCCCUCCUUCGCAAAUGACAGCACCAGUAGCCACCGCCGUCCCUCAGAUUCCACUACAUCCGCUCGCAGCUUGAGAUCGUCAGCCAUGUCCGGGCGCGGCAAGGGCGGGAAGGGACUCGGCAAGGGGGGCGCCAAGCGCCACCGGAAGGUGCUGCGGGACAACAUCCAGGGCAUCACCAAGCCGGCGAUCCGGCGGCUGGCGCGGAGGGGUGGCGUGAAGCGCAUCUCGGGGCUCAUCUACGAGGAGACCCGCGGCGUGCUCAAGAUCUUCCUCGAGAACGUCAUCCGCGACGCCGUCACCUACACCGAGCACGCCCGCCGCAAGACCGUCACCGCCAUGGACGUCGUCUACGCGCUCAAGCGCCAGGGCCGCACCCUCUACGGCUUCGGCGGCUAGGUCCGGCCGACUGUCGCCUGUCUUCGUCGCAGCCUGCAGAUUCCAAAAGCUUGAUGGAACCCUGACUUGUUCAGUUCGCUAUUUCCUCUGUCUGUAGUUCGUUGGAAAUGAAACUUGUCUCUGUCAGUCUGUCGUAAAUCUGAUUUUGUUCGCUGGUUGGUCUUCUGCAUCUCUGUUCGGUACGAUUGUUGUUUCCUUUGUGAUGCUUGAGUUGGCUCCGUAUGAAUCGAACCUGUUUGCAGGCUACUAUAAUUUGUAAUGUGAAAAAACGCCACUAAACAACUGUGUAUCUCGAUUAAGGAACAUCAUUUGCUCUGUUUCUGCAUCUGAUCCAUUUGUAUAGGUCACCAUCAUUGUUACUUCUGUGGUGCGAUGUCUGUAAUAGAGAUGAGGAUUAGUCUGCAUUUCAUCACCGAGUUCUUGCUUGAGAGUGGCUAUCCUUUACCUGAGUUUUGGGUGUACAAAUUUGCUCUGACUUGUAAUGUGGAACUAUCUCAAAGCGACCAACCCAUGAUGUGGUUCGUGGUAACUGCUACUCCAAUAAAUCAACCAGGAUCAUCAUUUGCGCUUUAUUUUCUGUUGAUUUCUAGUUACUAGAGUAACAUUUUAAUUGCUUGAACUAUGUUUCCAACUGCAGAAUUGCCAAUAUAGAUACACGAUACCCUCUUGGCAGUGAUAGCAACUUCAUCCUUCAGUUGAGUUGAUCAAGAGGUGCAAUGAUGUAUUGGAUCUGUUAUAUGAUUUAUAUUCAGAUAUCCAAAGCUAAAUGAAUACUAAUCUCUACUGACAAGACAUGCUACAGAAUUCAACCACCAUUCCGUCAGACCGGCAAUGGAACAAGCAUAUCAAGUUAGAUGGAUACUGGUAUUCACAGCAAAUUAGCGAUCAUUCUUGUCGUUUGGCUUUGAAGUAUACCUAUAUAUAAAAGAAGUCUGCUCAUUAGAGAAUAAACCAAUAUUUUAAUAGAUUAUGCUCAAUUGGCAGAUUACAAAUAUAUAAGUAUACCUAUAUAUAAAAGAAGUCUGCUUAUUUGCUGCCAACCGCUUUGUCACAACCAACUUCAGGAACGCCUUUAUGAAACUGAACACCUGAUACAAGUAUUAGAUUGGAUAUCACAAACACACACUCGGAAGACACAACACACAAGAACUUUACACAACAAAAAGACUCACAUUUUGUACUAUUAACACAACCAAAUUUUGGCGCCCCUGUUAAAAAUUACAUGUACACCAAUGUAUAGAAAGGAAAUGAAAAAUCACUAGUAUCAAGUAUGGGCAGCGAGGUGACUGAAGCAGCACAGAGAUGGCAAGUUCCCCUGAAAACUCCGAGCAGCAUCAAUUUCUUGGUGCUGCAUUUACCCGAUUCACAGUAUCCCAGUCCGGCACAGAUUAGAGCAACAAUGAGUUUUCAAGGCACACAAUACAGCAGUUUAGGUUGCUGUCAUAGAGCGAAGGGAACACCAGAGUCGUCGGAUGAGAGCACGAUUUCUGUGCCGCAAGUGCAAUGGCCAUCUCGGUAACGCUUAUGAGGGCUCUAUUGCAUUAUUCUUGAUACGCCGGGGAAGCACGACCCGCGUGCUACAGGAGCGUGCAUCGGGUCGGCUGGCUUACGCGUUAGGGAGUCAGUUUUAGAACCGCUACUUAUAGAAAAUAUGACAAGUUUUCAUCUAUGACAUCAGAGUGUCCUUUUUGUGGUUUUCAUACUUAUCACAGUGAGUUGUACAGAUUGACAAUGGUCAAAAUAUAAUUGGAUAAAUCUGUUAGCACUAAAUUAAUAGAUUUAUGUGUUCCAUUGUGCACAACAUAAUAUUUAGAGUAAUAUGCAUAAAACAACGUCGACCAGUUUAGUCCUUGUACUUCGGUGGAACCAAAUUCCAGUAUAUGGAUUGCAAACCUGAGUUUAGAGCCACCUCGAUUCGGGAUGUCGGAACACCAACCGGAUCGGAAACCUCAUCCUAAACUUACUUCGGAAUGUCUUAUACGUACUCGGUCAGCCCGUAGUCUGCGCUAGAAGCUCUUAAAAAAUAUGUGAGCAAACUUAAGUAGUAACCUUAUAUUUGUAUGCAUAUCACAAAUAAGAUAUAUGAUCUUUUUCUCGAACUUGUAAAUGAUCUUAGCCACCUCCAGUUUCAGAAUGGUCAUGUUGCUAUUACUGGGCAUGCUUUUGCUAUUGCAGGUUCAACUUACUCCCCACUUCUGUUUUGCAUGGAAUUGACUCGCCUCUUGAUACAAUUCUAGCUUUCUGAAACUCUCUUCCUGUUGGGACAGAAAUAUAUUUUUUUCUUUGGCAAAUCAGUGUAGAAAUCCAUGGUUUCUAUGUAGCAAUAGGCAUGCAUUGGUCUCUGUUUUCGAACUGAUUCUUCCAUUUCUUUCUUGCUGGGCUUGGAUAACUGAGUAUUGUAAUAUAAAUUCUUCUGACUUUGUAUGUAGCUCACUUGCAUGGGAGGUUUAUUCCAGCACACGUUGAACAUGAAGUAUAUCACAUACGGUGGGUGAUGAUGUCUCAUAACAAAAUGUAAGCCACAUGAACUUAGUAGCUCACAAUUUACCAUUCCAUGAUGAGUCAAUUCUGAUUGGUAUAGACUUCUAAUUUUGUUAAUAAUAAACUUCAUUUUUAUCUGGAACAAAAACAUCUAUUCACGUUGCUACCUACAUGGCUACAUGUCAUGUUGAAUGCUGAAAAGAAUUCUAAAAAGAACAACAUGUAUCGAUUGGUUUCAGAAAAAUUGAUGAUGAAUUGUUUUUUUAAAAGGCAUCCAUGUAUAUGGAUAGGGAAUUGGUAAGACAUACCAUGCAAGACUUGAUUUUCCUGGCACAUACAUGAAACUUUAUCAGCUAAUAAAGAGAAUCUGUUUGUUGACAUUUGGUAAGCAUAAGAGUUCAUUAUUUUGGUGUGCAAAUAAAAUUAACCUAGAUAUAUCACCUCUACUGGGUAUCUUAUUUUAACCUUAUUGUUUUACUACCGAACGGCCCGUGCGUUGCAACGGGAGAUUUAUUUUUUUAUAAUCUCCAAUGGCCAUGACCGUAUUUUGCUGCAUCACCAAGAUACACUAGCACUCUCAUUUUCGUGAAUUUGUGAACAGUUUUUGAUAAUCAUGAAAAAAAAUAAACUCGUGAACAUAUCUGGAAUCGUGAACAUUUUUACAGAUUUUUGAACAUUUUCUAAAUUCAGGGAAAACGUUAAAUUCAUGAACAUUUUAUACAAAUUUGCAAAUAUUUGAAAAAAUUUGUGAACAUUUUUAAAACAUUGUCCUUGAAUAGGUGAACAUUUUUCUAGAAUCGACGACCAUUUUUUGGAAAUUGGUGGAACAAUUUUUAAAAUUCAUGAACAUUUUUUGGUUUUAAUUUUUUUUGAAUCAGUAAACAUUUUAUGAAUCAACAAACUAUUUUGAGUCACGAACAUUGUUUGAAUUUUUAGGAUAUUUCUCAUUUUCAUGAACUUUUUUUGAAUCGGCAAAAUUUUGUUCAAUUUCAUUAACAUAUUUUAAUACAUGAACUUUAAAUAAAAAUCAUGGACAUUUUUUAUUUCCCGAACAUUUGUUUUCAAAAUUGUGAACAUUUUUAAAAAAUCACAAACAUUUUAUGAAUCCGCAAAUAUUUAUUAAUUAUUAAACAUUUUAUUUCAAAAUCCUAUAUUUAACUAUUUUCAAGUCCCAAAUUAUAUUAAAGUAGAAAAAACAAAAAUAGAAAUUAAAAACAGGUCGCCCAGACAUGAGCCGACUCAAAAAGGCACGCUGUGUCGUCUCCCACACAGAGCGCGGUAUAGAAGGUUCCUACUGCAUGGGCCGGCCCAGGCGAGGAUUCCCCUGUGUGAAAUGUUUUCUUAUCACUUAUAGGUGGCAUCCGUGGGUAAAUUUUUGCAACUUUGUGGGCAAUUUCGGUGACGUACCGCCAGAAGCAAUAGCCCUCCCGUCGUGGUGGGCGCACAACAGAUGCCACGGGGUGGCUAAAGAGAGGGAUAUGCAAGAGGCAACCGAUGGGCUCCAGAGACGAGGUUGGUAUAAGCGAGCUGAAGAUGCAAGACGUACCCAGGUUCGGGGCUCUCCGGAGAGAUAACACCCCUAGUCCUGCCGAGCGUGGUUUGUAUGAAGAUCGUACAAGCUUGCUGCUAGAGCUAUUUUUAGGAGGAAGGAAGGAAAGGCCAGUGCAUAGGCCGCUCCUUCUCUGCGUGGUGGAUGUAUGUGUGUGGCUAAAGGAAUCGACUAGUGAUCGCGUGCCUAUCUCUGCAUGGAGGCUCCCUGGGGGCUCUUAUAGGCCGACCCCCAGGGUUACAAUGGUAACGUUACAUGGGCGCAGGGCCGGGGUGUUAGUGUCUUGGAGCCGGCAGCGGGGCGCCGGGUUCGCCGGGUCCAUCGGGUGCGGGUCUUGCCGGGCGCGCCGGGAGCGGGUACAGCCGGCUGUUGGGUACUGUAGGCAUGCCGGGUGGUCGUCAUGGGACUGCUGCGCCGUCUUGCUACAGGGUUGCGCCUCCGAGACGCUGCCCGCCCUAGGCGGGGGCUUGGUCAGCACAACAGCCGCGCCCGCCGAGGCCGGCGUAUAGGAGGGCGCACUGUAGCCAUGCAGGUUAGUCGACGGAGGUUCGUCUUGCGGGGGCCGGCCUGGCCGGGUUGCGGGCGUUGGGGAACGCAGUAAUUUCAAAAAAUUUCCUACGCACACGCAAGAUCAUGGUGAUGCAUAGCAACGAGAGGGGAGAGUGUAGUCCACGUACCCUCGUAGACCGUAAGCGGAAGAUUUAUGACAACACGGUUGAUGUAGUUGUACGUCUUCAUGAUCCGACCGAUCCUAGUACCAAAAGUACGGCACCUCCACGAUCUGCACACGUUCGGCUCGGUGACGUCCCACGAACUCCCGAUCCAGCCGAGUGUCGAGGGAGAGCUUCGUCAGCACGACGGCGUGAUGACGGUGAUGAUGAAGCUACCGGCGCAGGGCUUCGCCUAAGCACUGCAACGAUAUGAUCGAGGUGGAUUAUGGUGGAGGGGGGCACCGCACACGGCUAAGAGAUCAAUGAUCAACUUAUGUGUUCUAGGGUGCCCCCUGCCCCCGUAUAUAAAGGAGCAAGGGGGGAGGCCGGCUGGCCCUAGGGCGUGCCAAGGAGGGGAGGAGUCCUCCUCCUAUUAGGAGUAGGACUCCCCUUUUCCUAGUCCAACUAGGAGGGGGAAGGGGGAAGGAAGGAGAGGGAGAGAGGGAGGGAAAGAGGGGGCGCCGCCCCCUCCUUGUCCAAUUCACACUCCUCAAGGGGAGGGCGUGCGGCCAGCCCUAAGGCCCCCUCCUCUCUCUCUCACAAGGCCCAUGUUGGCCCAUUAGUUCCACCGGGGGUUCCGAUAACCCCCCGGCACUCCGAUAAUUAUCCGGUGACCCUCGAAACUCAUCCAGUGUCCGAAUAUAGUUAUCCAAUAUAUCAAUCUUUAUGUCUCGACCAUUUCGAGACUCCUCGUCAUGUCUGUGAUAACAUCCGGGACUCCGAACUAUCUUUGAUACAUCAAAACACAUAAACUCAUAAUACCGAUCGUCACCGAACGUUAAGCGUGCGGACCCUACGGGUUCGAGAACUAUGUAGACAUGACCGAGACUCAUCUCCGGUUAAUAACCAAUAGCGGAACCUGGAUGUUCAUAUUGGCUCCCACAUAUUCUAUGAAGAUCUUUAUCGGUCAAACCGCAUAACAACAUAGUUGUUCCCUUUGUCAUCGGUAUGUUACUUGCCCGAGAUUCGAUCGUCGGUAUCUCAAUACCUAGUUCAAUCAAGUUACCAGCAAGUCUCUUUACUCGUUCCAUAAUGCAUCAUCCCGCAACUAACUCAUUAGUCACAUUGCUUGCAAGGCUUAUAGUGAUGUGCAUUACCGAGAGGGCCCAGAGAUACCUCUCCGACAAUCGGAGUGACAAAUCCUAAUCUCGAUCUAUGCCAACUCAACAAGUACCAUCGGAGACACCUAUAGAGCACCUUUAUAAUCACCCAGUUACGUUGUGACGUUUGGUAGCACACAAAGUGUUCCUCCGGUAUUCAGGACUUGCAUAAUCUCAUAGUCAUAGGAACAUGUAUAAGUCAUGAAGAAAGCAAUAGCAACAUACUAAACGAUCAAGUGCUAAGCUAACGGAAUGGGCCAAGUCAAUCACAUCAUUCUCUAAUGAUGUGAUCCCGUUAAUCAAAUGACAACUCAUGUCUAUGGCUAGGAAACUUAACCAUCUAUGAUUCAACGAGCUAGUCAAGUAGAGGCAUACUAGUGACACUCUGUUUGUCUAUGUAUUCACACAUGUACUAAGUUUCCGGUUAAUACAAUUCUAGCAUGAAUAAUAAACAUUUAUCAUGAUAUAAGGAAAUAUAAAUAACAACUUUAUUAUUGCCUCUAGGGCAUAUUCCUUCAGUCUCCCACUUGCACUAGAGUCAAUAAUCUAGAUUACACAGUAAUGAUUCUAACACCCAUGGAGUCUUGGUGUUGAUCAUGUUUUGCUCGUGAGAGAGGCGUAGUCAAUGGGUCUGCAACAUUCAGAUCCGUAUGUAUCUUGCAAAUCUCUAUGUCUCCCUCCUUGACCUGAUCGCGGAUGGAAUUAAAGCGUCUUUUGAUGUGCUUGGUUCUCUUGUGAAAUCUGGAUUCCUUUGCCAAGGCAAUUGCACUAGUAUUGUCACAAAAGAUUUUCAUUGGACCCGAUGCACUAGGUAUGACACCUAGAUCAGAUAUGAACUCCUUCAUCCAGACUCCUUCAUUUGUUGCUUCCGAAGCAGCUAUGUACUCCGCUUCACACGUAGAUCCCGCCACGACGCUUUGUUUAGAACUGCACCAACUGACAGCUCCACCGUUCAACAUAAAUACGUAUCCGGUUUGUGACUUAGAGUCAUCCGGAUCAGUGUCAAAGCUUUGCAUCGACGUAACCAUUUACGACAAGCUCUUUGUCACCUCCAUAAACGAGAAACAUAUCCUUAGUCAUUUUUAGGUAUUUCAGGAUGUUCUUGACCACUGUCCAGUGAUCCACUCAUGGAUUACUUUGGUACCUCCCUGCUAAACUACUAGCAAGGCACACAUCAGGUCUGGUACACAGCGAUUGCAUACAUGAUAGAGCCUAUGGCUGAAGCAUAGGGAACAACUUUCAUUUUCUCUCUAUCUUCUGCAGUGGUCGGGCAUUGAGUCUGACUCAACUUCACACGUUGUAACACAGGCAAGAACCCUUUCUUUGCUUGAUCCAUUUUGAACUUCUUCAAAACUUUAUCAAGGUAUGUGCUUUGUGAAAGUCCAAUUAAGCAUCUCGAUCUAUCUCUAUAGAUCUUGAUGCCCAAUAUAUAAGCAGCUUCAUCGAGGUCUUUCAUUGAAAAAUCCUUGUUCAAAUAUCCUUUUAUGCUAUCCGGAAAUUCUAUAUCAUUUCCAAUCAACAAUAUGUCAUCCACAUAUAAUAUUAGAAAUGCUACAGAGCUCCCUCUCACUUUCUUGUAAAUACAGGCUUCUCCAAAAGUCUGUAUAAAACCAUAUGCUUUCAUCACACUAUCAAAACAUUUAUUCCAACUCCGAGAUGCUUGCACCAGUCCAUAAAUGUAUCGCUGGAGCUUGCACACUUUGUUAGAAUCCUUUGGAUCGAUGAAACCUUCAGGUUGCAUCAUAUACAACUCUUCUUCCAGAAAUCCAUUCAGGAAUGCAGUCUUUACAUCCAUUUGCCAAAUUUCAUAAUCAUAAAAUGCAGCAAUUGCUAACAUGAUUCAGACGGACUUAAGCAUCGCUACGGGUGAGAAUGUCUCAUCGUAGUCAACUCCUUGAACUUGUCGAAAACCUUUUGCAACAAGUUGAGCUUUGUAGAUAGUAACAUUACCGUCAGCGUCAGUCUUCUUCUUGAAGAUCCAUUUAUUCUCGAUGGCUUGCCGAUCAUUGGGCAAGUCAACCAAAGUCCACACUUUGUUCUCAUACAUGGAUCCCAUCUCAGAUUUUAUGGCCUCAAGCCAUUUCGCGGAAUCUGGGCUCAUCAUCGCUUCCUCAUAGUUUGUAGGUUUGUCAUGGUCAAGUAACAUGACCUCCAGAACAGGAUUACCGUACCACUCUGGUGCGGAUCUUACUCUGAUUGACCUACGAGGUUCAGUAGUAACUUGAUAUGAAGUUACAUGAUCAUCAUCAUUAGCUUCCUCACUAAUUGGUGUAGGAGUCACAGGAACAGAUUUCUGUGAUGAACUACUUUCCAAUAAGGGAGCAGGUACAGUUACCUCAUCAAGUUCUACUUUCCUCCCACUCACUUCUAUCGAGAGAAACUCCUUCUCUAGAAAGAAUCCAUUCUUAGCAACGAAUGUCUUGCCUUCGGAUCUGUGAUAGAAGGUGUACCCAACAGCCUCCUUUGGGUAUCCUAUGAAGACACAUUUCUCCGAUUUGGGUUCGAGCUUAUCAGGUUGAAGCUUUUUCACAUAAGCAUCGCAGCCCCAAACUUUAAGAAAUGACAACUUGGGUUUCUUGCUAAACCACGGUUCAUAAGGUGUCGUCUCAACGGAUUUAGAUGGUGCCCUAUUUAACGUGAAUGCAGUCGUCUCUAAAGCAUAACCCCAAAACGAUAGCGGUAAAUCAGUAAGAGACAUCAUAGAUCACACCAUAUCUAGUAAAGUACGAUUACGAUGUUUGGACACACCAUUAUGCUGUGGUGUUCCGGGUGGCGUGAGUUACGAAACUAUUCCGCAUUGUUUCAGAUGAAGACCAAACUCGUAACUCAAAUAUUUUCCUCCACGAUCAGAUCGUAGAAACUUUAUUUUCUUGUUACAAUGAUUUUCCACUUCACUCUGAAAUUCUUUGAACUUUUCAAAUGUUUCAGACUUAUGCUUCAUCAAGAGGAUAUACCCAUAUCUGCUCAAAUCAUCUGUGAAGGUGAGAAAAUAAUGAUACCCGCCGCGAGCCUCAACAUUCAUCGGACCACAUACAUCAGUAUGUAUGAUUUCCAACAAAUCUGUUGCUCGCUCCAUUGUUCCGGAGAACAGCGUUUUAGUCAUCUUGCCCAUGAGGCAUGGUUCGCAAGUACCAAGUGAUUCAUAAUCAAGUGAUUCCAAAAGUCCAUCAGAAUGGAGUUUCUUCAUGCGCUUUACACCAAUAUGACCUAAACGGCAGGCCACAGAUAUGUUGCACUAUCAUUAUCAACUCUGCAUCUUUUGGCUUCAAUAUUAUGAAUAUGUGUGUCACUACUAUCGAGAUUCGACAAAAAUAGACCACUCUUCAAGGGUGCAUGACCAUAAAAUAUAUUAGUCAUAUAAAUAGAACAACCAUUAUUCUCUGAUUUAAAUGAAUAACCGUCUCGCAUCAAAUAAGAUUCAGAUAUAAUGUUCAUGCUUAACGCUGGCACCAAAUAACAAUUAUUCAGGUCUAAAACUAAUCCCGAAGGUAGAUGUAGAGGUAGCAUGCCGACUGCGAUCACAUCGACUUUGGAACCAUUUCCCACGCGCAUCGUCACCUCGUCCUUAGCCAAUCUUCGCUUAAUCCGUAGUCCCUGCUUCGAGUUGCACAACUCCCCGUGCGAAAGCAAGUCCCGCAUCCGAUGAACUGCUGCAAAGUGAACUGACCAGGGGCAUAUUAGCAACAGAACCAGUAUCAAAUACCCAGACACUACUGCGAGCAUUAGUAAGGUACACAUCAAUAACAUGUAUAUCACAUAUACCUUUGUUCACCUUUCCAUCCUUCUUAUCCGCCAAAUACUUGGGGCAGUUCCGCUUCCAGUGAUCAGUCCCUUUGCAGUAGAAGCACUCAGUCUCAGGCAUAGGUCCAGACUUGGGCUUCUUUACUUGAGCAGCAACUUGCUUGCCGUUCUUCUUGAAGUUCCCCUUCUUCCCUUUACCAUUUUUCUUGAAACUGGUGGUCUUGUUGACCAUCAACACUUGAUGCUCUUUCUUGAUUUCUACCUCUGCAGCCUUUAGCAUUGCGAAGAGCUCGGAAAUUGUCUUAUCCAUCCCUUGCAUAUUAUAGUUCAUCACGAAGCUCUUGUAGCUUGGUGGCAGUGAUUGAAGAAUUCUGUCAAUGACACUAUCAUCAGGAAGAUUAACUCCCAGUUGAAUCAAGUGAUUGUUAUACCCAGACAUUUUGAGUAUAUGCUCACUAACAGAACUAUUCUCCUCCAUCUUGCAGCUGUAGAACUUAUUGGAGACUUCAUAUCUCUCAAUCCGGGCAUUUGCUUGAAAUAUUAACUUCAACUCCUGGAGCAUCUCAUAUGCUCCAUGAUAUUCAAAACAUCGUUGAAGUCCCGGUUCUAAGCCGUAAAGCAUGGCACACUGAACUAUUGAGUAGUCAGCAGCUUUGCUCUGCCAGACGUUCAUAACAUCUGGCGUUGCUCCUGCAGCGGGUUUGGCACCUAGCGGUGCUUCCAGGACAUAAUUCUUCUGUGUAGCAAUGAGGAUAAUCCUCAAGUUACGGACCCGGUCCGUGUAGUUGCUACCAUCAUCUUUCAACUUAGCUUUCUCUAGGAACGCAUUAAAAUUUAACGGAACAACAACACAGGCCAUCUAUCUACAACAACAUAGACAUGCAAAAUACUAUCAGGUACUAAGUUCAUGAUAAAUUAAAGUUCAAUUAAUCAAAUUACUUAAGAACUCCCACUUAGAUAGACAUCCCUCUAAUCAUCUAAGUGAUCACGUGAUCCAUAUCAACUAAACCUUGUCCGAUCAUCACGUGAGAUGGAGUAGUUUUCAAUGGUGAACAUCACUAUGUUGAUCAUAUCUACUAUAUGAUUCACGCUCGACCUUUCGGUCUCAGUGUUCCGAGGCCAUAUCUGCAUAUGCUAGGCUCGUCAAGUUUAACCCGAGUAUUCUGUGUGUGCAAAACUGGCUUGCACCCGUUGUAUGUGAACGUAGAGCUUAUCACGCCCGAUCAUCACGUGGUGUCUCGGCACAACGAACUUUUGCAACGGUGCAUACUCAGGGAGAACACUUGUACCUUGAAAUUUAGUGAGAGAUCAUCUUAUAAUGCUACCAUCGACCUAAGCAAAAUAAGAUACAUAAAGGAUAAACAUCACAUGCAAUCAAUAUAAGUGAUAUGAUAUGGCCAUCAUUAUCUUGUGCAUUUGAUCUCCAUCUCCAAAGCACUGUCAUGAUCACCAUCGUCACCGGCUUGACACCUUGAUCUCCAUCGAAGCGUCGUAGUCGUCCCGCCAACUAUUGCUUCUACGACUAUCACUACCAUUUAGUGAUAAAGUAAAGCAAUUACAUGGCGAAUGCAUUUCAUACAAUAAAGCGACAACCAUAUGGCUCCUGCCAUUUGUCGAUAACUCCGUUACAAAACAUGAUCAUCUCAUACAAUAAAAUUUAGCAUCAUGUCUUGACCAUAUCACAUCACAACAUGCCCUGCAAAAACAAGUUAUACGUCCUCUACUUUGUUGUUGCGAGUUUUACGUGGCUGCUACGGGCUGAGCAAGAACCGUUCUUACCUACGCAUCAAAACCACAAUGAUUUUUCGUCAAGUAUGCGCUGUUUUAACCUUCAACAAGGACCGGGCAUAGCCACACUCGAUUCAACUAAAGUUGGAGAAACUGACACCCGCCAGCCACCUGUGUGCGAAGCACGUCGGUAGAACCAGUCUCGCGUAAGCGUACGCGUAAUGUCGGUCCGGGCCGCUUCAUCCAACAAUACCGCCGAAUCAAAGUAUGACAUGCUGGUAAGCAGUAUGACUAUUAUCGCCCACAACUCACUUGUGUUCUACUCAUGCAUAUAACAUCUACGCAUAGACCUGGCUCUGAUACCACUGUUGGGGAACGCAGUAAUUUCAAAAAAAUUCCUACGCACACACAAGAUCAUGGUGAUGCAUAGCAACGAGAGGGGAGAGUGUAGUCCACGUAUCCUCGUAGACCGUAAGCGGAAGCGUUAUGACAACGCGGUUGAUGUAGUCGUACGUCUUCACGAUGCGACCGAUCCUAGUACCGAAAGUAUGACACCUCCGCGAUCUGCACAUGUUCGGCUCGGUGACGUCCCAUGAACUCUCGAUCCAGCUGAGUGUCGAGGGAGAGCUUUGUCAGCACGACAACAUGAUGAUGGCGAUGAUGAAGCUACCGGCGCAGGGCUUCACCUAAGCACUGCAACGAUAUGACCGAGGUGGAUUAUGGUGGAGGGGGCACCGCACACGGCUAAGAGAUCAAUGACCAACUUAUGUGUUCUAGGGUGCCCCCCAUGCCCCCGUAUAUAAAGGAGCAAGGGGGGAGGCCGGCCGGCCCUAGGGCGCGCCAAGGAGGGGAGGAGUCCUCCUCCUAGUAGGAGUAGGACUCCCCUUUUCCUAGUCCAACUAGGAGGGGGAAGGAAGGAGAGGGAGGGAAAGAGGGGGCGCCGCCCCGCUCCUUGUCCAAUUCGGACUCCUCAAGGGGGGGGGGGUGCGCGGCCAGCCCUAAGGCCCCCUCCUCUCUCUCUCACAAGGCCCAUGUUGGCCCAUUAGUUCCCCCGGGGGUUCCAUAACCCCCCGGCACUCCGAUAAUUAUCCGGUGACCCUCGGAAUUCAUCCGGUGUCUGAAUAUAGUCAUCCAAUAUAUCAAUCUUCAUGUCUCAACCAUUUCGAGACUCCUCGUAAUGUUCGUGAUCACAUCCGGGACUCCGAACUAUCUUUGGUACAUCAAAACACAUAAACUCAUAAUACCGAUCGUCACCGAACGUUAAGCGUGCGGACCCUACGGGUUCGAGAACUAUGUAGACAUGACCGAGACUCAUCUCUGGUCAAUAACCAAUAGCGGAACUUGGAUGUUCAUAUUGGCUCCCACAUAUUCUACGAAGAUCUUUAUCGGUCAAACCGCAUAACAACAUACAUUGUUCCCUUUGUCAUCGGUAUGUUACUUGCCCGAGAUUCGAUCGUCGGUAUCUCAAUACCUAGUUCAAUCUCGUUACCGGCAAGUCUCUUUACUCGUUCUGUAAUGCAUCAUCCCGCAACUAACUCAUUAGUCACAUUGCUUGCAAGGCUUAUAGUGAUGUGCAUUACCGAGAGGGCCCAGAGAUACCUCUCCGACAAUCGAAGUGACAGAUCCUAAUCUCGAUCUAUGCCAACUCAACAAGUACCAUCAGAGACACCUGUAGAGCACGUUUAUAAUCACCCAGUUACGUUGUGAUGUUUGCUAGCACACAAAGUGUUCCUCCGGUAUUCGGGAGUUGUAUAAUCUCAUAGUCAUAGGAACAUGUAUAAGUCAUGAAGAAAGCAAUAGCAACAUACUAAACGAUCAAGUGCUAAGCUAACGGAAUGGGUCAAGUCAAUCACAUCAUUCUCUAAUGAUGUGAUCCCGUUAAUCAAAUGACAACUGAUGUCUAUGGCUUGGAAACUUAACCAUCUUGGAUUCAACGAGCUAGUCAAGUAGAGGCAUACUAGUGACACUCUGUUUGUCUAUGUAUUCACACAUGUACUAAGUUUCCGGUUAAUACAAUUCUAGCAUGAAUAAUAAACAUUUAUCAUGAUAUAAGGAAAUAUAAAUAACAACUUUAUUAUUGCCUCUAGGGCAUACUUCCUUCAGCGGGGCCUUGCCGGGUUGCGCUGGGGGGCCGACCAGGGCGCAAGCCGGACUGAGGGGUGAUGCUAGCCCUGAUGUUUUUGAAAAGGAUCCGGGUUCCAUUGCCUGCCUGGGGUCCAUCCCCCCGACAGUACUCCCCGAAGCUAUGAAGGCUCGCCGACUUCGAGCAAGGGGGACUUCGUAGUUUCACCCCCGUGAGGAGGUAGUCGGGUUGAUGGAGUUCGUGGCCGCUGGGUCUGGCAACACCCACUGUGUGUCGGCUUCCGGAAGCCGGAUCACGGCACCCCGGUAUGGGCAAGAAACCGUGGAGUCUACCGAAUCUUGAAGGGGAAGGGACGCGCCCCCGGGUGUAAGGGCAUUUUAUCCCUUAGUUGGUUUUGGUGAUUGAUGACAAUGCUUUUGCGGACCAAUCAUGUGCAUCAAAUAUUUCAGAUAUAUUGACUAGGCACAAGAUGAUUGGGUUCCCCUCAAAAGGCUAUAGAAGAUGGCGUUUCUCUUCGGUUCUUUUCGGUGGUAUUGAGUCGUAGGGAAGCCGUACUAUUAAGAGGGGGUACGCUUUGGAAAGGUUGGGUGGAUUCAUCACGUACACAUCGUCCCUUGCACCUCCUUUCCUCUUGCCUUUGGAGCAUCCUAAGUUUUCCGUGUCUAUGCAAUUAUAGCUCUUGUCUGCCGAACUAGGAAGUGCGGUAGUACCGCAGGACCUUGUGGUAGUACCGCCCUCUGGUGCGGUAGUACCGCAAGGCCCCACGGUAGUACCGCUUCUAGUGAGCGGUAGUACCGUGGUCCCUGCUUAGUUCCGCAACUUCACGUCUGUAAGGGGCGGAUGUAAUUUUUUACAUCCGCACCUAGCGUGGUAGUACCGCGGCUGGCUUACGGUACUACCGCGUCGGGUUUUUGCAUCGACUCCAACUCUGCGGAAGUAGCCACGGAUGUAAUUUUUUAUAUCCGUGCCUCCCCAUCCCUGGACAGCCCCUGCCUUGCGGUAGUACCGCAAGGGGGUGCGGUAGUACCGCGCUAGCAGUACUACCGCCCUCUGCCGUAGUGCUGUGUGGCUGUUCUGGUCUCUGCUGCGUGGGCGGUAGUACCGUGGGGCUCUGCGGUAGUACCGCGUACCCCUGUGGUAGUACCGCGCCUAAGGUGCGGUAGUACCGCAUGCACCUGCGGUAGUACCACGCCUCAGGGCGGUAGUACCGCGUGCCCCUGUGGUAGUACCGCGCCUAAGGUGCGGUAGUACCGCGCAGCGCAGGCUGAGUUGGUGGAUAACGGUUGGAUUUGUUCUCCCACUAUAUAAGGGGUGUCUUCCUCCUCUAGUUGACCACCUCUUCCACCUCCAAGCUCCAUUGUUGCUCCAAGCUCCAUUUUCGCCCGAUCUCCUUCCCUAGCCAAUCAAACUUGUUGAUUCUCUAGGGAUUGGUUGAGGAGGCCCCGAUCUACACUUCCACCAAGAGAUAUUUGAAUUCCCACACUAAUCCCUUGUGGAUCUUGUUACUCUUGGGUGUUGAGCACCCUAGACGGUUGAGGUCACCGUGGAGCCAUAGUCCAUUGUGGUGAAGCUUCGUGGUGUCGUUGGGAGCCUCCAAUUAAGUUGCGGAGAUUGCCCCAACCUUGUUUGUAAAGGUUCGGUCGCCGCCUUCAAGGGCACCAAUAGUGGAAUCACGGCAUCUCGCAUUGUGUGAGGGCGUGAGGAGAAUAUGGUGGCCCUAGUGGCUUCUUGGGGAGCAUUGUGCCUCCACACUGCUCCAACGGAGACGUACUUCCUCUCAAAGGGAAGGAACUUCGGUAACACAUCCUCGUCUUCACCGGCUCCACUCUUGGUUAUCUCGUGCCUUUACUUGUGCAAGUUUAUUUGUGCCUUAUCUCUUGCUUGCUUGUAUGCUUAUUGUUGUUGCAUCAUAUAGGUUGCUCACCUAGUUGCAUAUCUAGACAACCUACUUUGAUGCAAAGUUUAAAUUGGUAAAGAAAAGUUAAAAAUUGUUAGUUGCCUAUUCACCCCCCCUCUAGUCAACUAUAUCGAUCCUUUCAAUUGGUAUCAGAGCCUCGUCUCUUUAUUAAGGACUUUAUCGUCCGAAGAGUAUGGUUGACGUCGUAGACGGUGUGGAGGAGCACUCCGGUGUGAAUCCGGUCUCGUCUACGGGAGACGGGGGAACCGCGGUCUCUCGUGAGGAAUUAAAUGUGGCGUUGGACACAUUGAAAACCUCCAUGACUACCGAGGUCAAAAGCAUGUUUAAUAAAUACUUAGAAGGGCUUAAGCUUUCCACCGCACCGUUGAAAGUGGGUGAUCCCGCCAACAAGGUGACGGAUGCUACCUCCAACAAAGGGGAAGCUACUAGCGAGAAAGCUCCUUCUUCUAGUGGUAAAAAGGGCACCGACAUCUUUGCCCAUGUGGAACCUCCACCUGUCUAUGGUGGACCGCUCCCUUCCACUCAUUGAAAUCAUGCCGGCCCGGCUCCUAAGAUUGAGAAGAAUGUAGAUUUUGAUUCUUGGGUCUAUCGUUUUAAGCGUCAUUUAAAUCAUGUGAACACUAACCUUUGGAGAAUCAUUGAAGAAGGUUUCUAUCCGCAUGACCGAAGUAACUUCACUCCUAGAGAAGUUGUGGAUCAUCAAUUCAAUGAGAAUGCUCUCUUCAUCAUCCAAGAAGCAAUCCCACCCAAAGAUCUUCCUCAUCUCCGGCCUUACACCGUGGCCAAAGAUGCUUGGCUCCAAGUUGUUUCCCUCUAUCGGGGAAGCGCAAGCAUUCAACGCUCCAACUAUGAAGUAGUGCAAGAUGAAGCCGACGAGUUUGCAAUGAAAGAAGAUGAAGAACCUCAUGAGCUUUAUCGGAGAGUAACCAAACUCGCGGUCUCUCUCCGAGAUCAUGGAAGUAAGGACACGGAUGACAAUUGGAUCAAGCGCAAAUUCCUCAAGGCAAUGAUGCCCUACCACAAAGCUAUGUCCUCCGUAAUUCGUCAAAGGCCGGACUUUCACACCUUGUCCUCAAGUGAAGUGUUGGAUGAGUUUGUUGCUAUGAGCAUCUUGGACAAGACCGCCGACAAUGCGGUUCUUCGCUCUCAAAGAGUAAAGAAGCCCAACCUUGCUCUAAAGGCCAAGGUUAGUAUGGAGGAAGAGGAUGAAGAGGAAGAAGAGGAGGGCAACCUCGAAGAUACGAAGUAUGCCUAUCAUGAACACAUGGCUCUUGCUUCAAGGCAAUUUUGGAGCAAGAAGAACACAAGGCCAAACUUCAACAAGAGCAAUUCAAGUGGCGCAAAGGGCAAGCAACGAGUGAGAACUUGCUUCAAUUGUGGCAAUGUGAGCCACUUUGUUGCGGAGUGCCCUUACGAGAAGAGGGAAGACAAUGGUGGCAAGCUCAUUAGAAAGGACAAGGCCAAGUCGUUCCCCAACAAGAGCAACUUCACCAAGAAGACUCCUCCCAAGGCAUUGGUGGUACAAGAAGAGUAUAACGAGGAUGAUGACAAUGAUGAAGAUGGUGAGUCGGUUGCCAUGGCAUAUUUGCCAUUGCGAAGACUCCACGGAUGUCUCUCUUCGACUCACCCAAUGAGAACAUCACCGCCAAGUGCCUCAUGGCUAAAGCCACCAAUAAGGUAACCUCCAACAUCAAAACUACCAUAAUUAAUCAUCCUUCUUCGACGGAUAGCAUUGAUGAACAUGAGGGGACAAAUGUGGAGGAAAAUGAGUUUGAGAUCUUUAUGGGUAAACUCAAGGGUAAAUCCAAGAAGCACUUCGUUGCUCUCUUGGAACAACUUGGUGAAGCCAAUGACAUGAUCGAGGCUCACGAAGAUACCAUCUCUAAGAUGGAGGGGCAUAGUCGUGACUAUGCCGAUGAGAUUUUGGAUCUUUCCAAUGCUCUUGACGAAGAGCGCGGUCUUCGUUUGGCUCUUGAGGAGUCAUACAACGAUGAUCAUGCUAAGUUAAAGAAAGAUCUUGAUCAUGCUCUUGUUGUGUCUCGUGUGCUAAACUCCGAGAAGGCAAAACAUGGGGUUGAUCUUGCUAGACUUAAAGAGGAGUUUGACAUUCUCGACAAGGCUCACAAAGUCUUGAAGGGCGUUCAUGCUAGCCUCAAGGAGUCUCAUGAUCAACUCCAUGUAAAGCUAACUAAGGAGAAAGCCACCUUUCCUCAUAUGGUGUUAAUUGACAAUGCAAAUGCUACUAACCCUUGUUGUGAGCAUGUGCAUCUUGUUGAGGAGAAUGCUAAGUUGAAGGAGCAACUUGAGAAAGGCCUUGUGUCAUGCAUACAAGGUGAGAAGAACCUCAACGACCUUUUGAGAAACCAAAAGGAAGUUGUGGCCAAGGAGGGGAUUGGGUUCGCACCCAAGCCCAAGAACAAGAAGAAGAAUGACAAGACCAAACGACCUCCUCCUCUCAAGCAAACGUUUGUGAAGGAGGGAGAGGGUAUUUCCAAGGAGAAGAAGAACAAUGCGAAGGGUGACGGUGUCAAGAAGGGCAAUACCACCCCAUCCAACAAAGCCGGCGACUUUAAUCCUUCUUAUGUGUUAUGCCGUGCAAGUGAUGGGCAUGUUUAUGCCAAAUUUGUUGGUUCUCCUCAUGAGUAUAUUGAAUGGUGCAUUUGGGUUCCUAAGACCCUUGUUACUAACAUCAAAGGACCCAUUACAAAAUGGGUACCUAAAACCAAGCAUUGAUCUCUUGUAGGUGUUCGCUUCCGGUGGGGGAUCAUGGUUGCUCGAUAGUGGAGCUACAAAUCAUAUGACCGGAAGCAAGGACUUGGUGGUGGACGUGCACAAGAUUCCAUCUAUGCCCACCAAUGUCGAGUGGGGUGAUGCCUCGUCUUCUAAGGUAUUGGGACUCGGCAAAGUUGUCAUUUCUCAUGAUCUCACGAUCGAGAAGGUCAUGCUAGUUGAGUCCCUUGCAUACAAUUUACUUUCCGUUCGUCAACUUGCUACCAUGGGCUUUGCCACUUUCUUUAAUAUUGAUACCGUGGCCCUCUUGUGGAGCAAGACUCUUAAAGUAGCCUUUGUUGGGCAUGUCGAGAACGGUCUCUAUGUGAUUAACUUUUCGGAGCGACCCACUAAGACCGCGACAUGCCUAAUGGCUAAAGUUGACGUGGGAUGGCUUUGGCAUCACCGUUUAGCCCAUGUCAAUAUGAGAUCUUUGCAAAGUCUUCUCAAGGGGGACCAUGUCCGUGGACUAACGAACGUUAGGUUUGCUAAAGAUCGUGCUUGCAGUGCUUGUAUCGAAGGAAAGCUUCAUGAGAAGGCUCACCCUCCCACGACUCUCAUUUACUCGAAGAGGCCUUUGGAGCUCCUUCAUUUGGAUCUCUUUGGGCCUCCAUCCUUUGAUAGUCUUGGGGGUAGAAAGUAUUGCUUGGUAAUUGUGGAUGACUAUUCAAGAUACACUUGGGUGUAUUUCUUCAAGAGGAAGAGUGAGACCCAACAAACCGUCAUUGACUUUGCAAAUGAAGCCCAACGUCAACACAAUGCAAAGAUCUUGACAAUAAGAAGUGACAACGGCACCGAGUUCAAGAACUACACCUUGGAUGAGUUUCUUAGUGAUGAGGGGAUCAAGCAUCAAUAUUCCGCACCUUACACCCCUCAACAAAAUGGUGUUGCGGAGAGGAAGAACCGGACGUUGAUGGAUGCGGCUAGGACCAUGAUGGUGGAGUUCAAGUCUCCAUACAACUUUUGGGCCAAAGCCAUCAACACCGCGUGUCAUGCUUCAAAUCGGCUCUAUCUCCGCAAAGGCUUGAACAAGACUCCAUAUGAGAUACUUACCGGUAACAAGCCCAACCUCAAGUACUUUCGGGUGUUCGGGUGUAAGUGUUUCAUUCUCAAGAAAGGUGUUCGUUUGUCUACAUUUAAGACUAUAGCUCAUGAGGGCAUAUUUGUUGGUUAUGCUACAAACUCCCAUGCUUACCGUGUUCUCAAUAAGUCCACGGGACUUAUUGAGGAGACGUGUAAUGUGGAGUUUGAUGAGAAUAACGGCUCCCAAGUGGAGCAAAGUGGUACUUGUGAUGUAGGUGAUGAAAUUCCUCCCCAAGCCAUAAGAAGAAUGGGUGUUGGUUAUAUCCUACCCAUUGAGGAACCCCUUGUGGCCGAAGGAGAAGUACAAUGCUCCACUCAAGUGGAGCCAUCACCAACCCAAGACCCACACGCUUCCGAAGAACAAAGUGAAGGCCCUCAACCUCAUGAACAAGAUCAAGGGCAAGAUCAACCUCAAGAUGGUGGUGAUCCACCAAAUGAUGCCCAAGGUCAAGUUCUCCCCCUAGAGCAAGUUCAAGGUCAAGAGCAAGCUCAAGACGACGCUCAAGAUGAUCAAGUAACCCCUCCUCGUUUCACUUCCGAGGAGGAAUUGGAGCGUCGUGCCGCUAAGAUCGCUUCCAAGCUCACCACCAAAGGUCAUCUCAUGGAGAAUGUGGUUGGAAGCCUAAGAAAGGGGGUAAGCACUCGUAGACAAUUAGCAAACUAUUGUGAACAUCAUGCGUUUGUUUCUUGUGUCGAACCCCAAAAGGUUUAUGAAGCGCUCGAGGACCCGGAUUGGCUCAAUGCCAUGCAUGAAGAACUCAACAACUUUGAACAUAACCAAGUGUGGAAAUUAGUGCCAAGGCCAACCGGGAACCAUAAUGUCAUUGGAACCAAGUGGAUAUUCAAGAACAAGCAAGAUGCUCAUGGGAUCAUUGUUCGCAACAAGGCUCGUUUGGUGGCACAAGGCUACUCCCAAGUCGAGGGUAUCGACUACGGUGAAACCUUUGCCCCCGUCGCUCGCCUUGAAUCUAUUCGUUUGUUGAUUGCUUAUGCUUCUCAUCAUAAUUUCACGUUGCAACAAAUGGAUGUGAAGAGUGCUUUUCUUAAUGGUCCCAUAAAUGAGUUGGUGUAUGUCAAACAACCCCCCGGGUUCGAAGAUCCCUAUUUCCCCGAUCAUGUGUAUCAACUCCACAAGGCGCUCUAUGGCCUUAAACAAGCCCCACGUGCGUGGUACGAGCAUCUUACGGAGUUGUUACAAGAUCGUGGAUUCGAAAUCGGGAAAAUCGACCCCACUCUUUUUACUAAGAAGGUCAAAGGGGAGUUGUUUGUGUGCCAACUAUAUGUUGAUGAUAUUAUUUUUGGUUCCCCUAACAAAGCCUUCAAUGAAGAAUUUGCCGCUCUCAUGACCUCAAAGUUCAAGAUGUCUAUGAUGGGAGAGUUGAAGUUCUUUCUCGGAUUCGAAAUCAAACAAAGAAGAGAAGGAACCUUCAUCAACCAAGCCAAAUACACUCAAGACAUGCUAAAGAGAUUCAAGCUAAGUGAUGUCAAGCCGGCUUCCACUCCAAUGCCCACCAAGUGCCAACUUGACAUUGAUCCCAAUGGUAAAGCGGUGGAUCAAAAGGUAUAUCGCUCCAUGAUUGGAUCCUUGCUUUACCUUUGUGCAUCUAGACCGGAUAUCAUGUUGAGUGUGGGAAUUUGUGCACGAUUUCAAGCCGCACCUAAGGAAAGCCACUUUGUGGUGGUCAAGCGAAUCUUUCGAUAUUUGGCUCAUACCCCAAACUUUGGCUUAUGGUACCCAAGAGGAGCAAACUUCAAGCUUGUAGGUUAUUCGGACUCCGAUUGGGCGGGAGACAAAGUGGAUAGGAAGUCCACUUCCGGAGGGUGCCAAUUUCUUGGUUUCUCUUUGGUAAGUUGGUCUUCUAAAAAGCAAAGUUGUGUGUCUCUCUCGUCCACCGAAGCGGAGUAUGUGGCGGCCGGGAGUUGUUGUGCUCAACUCUUAUGGAUGAGGCAAACUUUAAAGGAUUACGGUGUCAUUUGUGACAAAGUGCCUCUUUGGUGUGAUAAUGAAAGUGCCAUCAAGAUUUCUCUCAACCCCGUGCAACACUUCAAGACGAAGCAUAUUGAGAUUCGGUAUCACUUCAUCCGAGAUCACAUUAGGCGAGGGGAGAUCGAGCUCAACUACGUCAACACCCAUGAUAACCUUGCAGAUAUUUUCACGAAGCCUUUGGAUGAAGCAAGAUUUCGCGAGUUAAGGCAUGAGCUAAAUAUCAUUGAUUCGAGCAAUGUUGCUUGACCCCUUGCACACCCCACCACACUCAACUUGUUGUCUAUUCUAGGUGUAGGCAUGGACAUAGGGGGAGUGUUGUUCUCUCAAUGAACUCUCCCUCCCCCCAUUAUGCAUAAAGUGAUCAACUCUUUCACAUUAGCCAUUUUUGAUGGUACUUGUGCUUCAAAGACGAGUUUUGGUCAUGGGCCCAAGGAUAAUUCUUUGCGGUGCCAUACCAAUUGACUCAAACAUAGGUGGCUCCGGCCACCGCCCUCUCUUUGGAGAGGUUGUGUCUCGUGGUUGAUUCUUGUUGUCUUUUGCCUUUCUCUCUUCGUGUUGAGCGUGUUCUUGUGGUGUCUUGUUUGCUUGAAGAUUCCGUGCGAAGACCAUUUUUUUCUUGUGUUUGAAACGUGCAUCUUCUUGAGCUCACGGUACUACCGCGGCCUGCCACGGUACUACCGCGUGUGGAGUGCACGGUACUACCGCACCUAGCACGACAGUAGUUUUUUACUGCCGCCUGGGGGAGCGGUACUACGGCCUCGGUGCGGUACUUCCGCCCGGGCGGUAGUACCGCGAUGACGUGCGGUACUACCGCGCGAGGAGUGAGCGAUACUUCCGCACCCAGCGCGGCAGUAAUUUUUUACUGCCGCCUGGGGGAGCGGUACUACGACCCAGGUGCGGUACUUCCGCCCGGGCGGUAGUACCGCGAUGACGUGUGGUACUACCGUGCCUUCACGGGCGCGUGGGGGUUAAACACGGGCAGGGGGGUUCUAACUCCCCCAUACCCAUUCGUCUCUCUCCCCACUUCAUCUCUCUCUCUCUCGCUCAAGAACGACGCCGGAGGCCCUCGCCGGAUCUCCAUCUCCGGCCGCUCUCCUCGGAUUCCGACCGGUGGGAUCGUUCCCCACCACUCCUCUUGCCAUGGAACAAGGUUUCUCCCCAAUCCCUCUCGUUUUCUUGUUCAUCUUGUUGCUUUUAGGUUUUGGGGAGAUGCAAGUUGUUCUUGAGAUUUUUUUUCAAAUCUAUGCAAGAGUAGGAUGUAGGAGAGUAGUUUUGUGUAGUGUUGGUACUUGCUAUAGUUGUCCCGUGAUGGAUUUGAUCGACCGUAGUACCGCGUGUUGACACGGAUGUGCUCAGAUCUCCAUGGCUAUUUCGGAUCUGCAACCGUGCGGUACUACCGCUCUGCGGGCGCGGUACUACCGCACGUCCGGUACUACCGCCCUGCGGCGCGGUACUACCGCACGUCCGGUACUACCGCUCCUUGGAGCGGUACUACCGCACGUGGCACAACACGCGUUACUACCGUUGUCUCACAUCCCUCUUGUGGCACUUCUUACGUACCAUGUCUACUUGUUUCACCUGCUUUGCUGUGGUCUUUGCAUUGAUCCUUCUCGUGUUUUGUGCGUGUUUGUUUUGUGGUGUGUGUGUUAGGUGGUGGCUCAGGUGCUCCCGCUCGCCGCUCCAAUCCACCCCGUGACACGGGGUCCAAGCGUAUGCGCAACAUAGAGGAAGCAGAGGGCUCCAAUGCCCCCCAACGCAGAACCAAGACCACUGCCAGCAAAGAGAAGGAACCCACCAAGGGCAUGGAUGAGAUACCGCUUGCUGAGUUCAUCGCUCGGAGGAAGGUCAAUCCGUAUGGAAACCCUCGUGCCAUCUUUCGAGAGAAUGAUCUAUUCUGGACCAAGCAGCAAAAUCUCAUUUAUCUGGAUGUCAUCAAGGCAAAGCAAAAUACCCAUGUGGAGGUGAAGUGGAUCAACAUGCAUCACAUGCGCAAAGAGGCGCACCGGGAAUACUUUGGUGAGGCUUUGGACCUCGUGGAGCAAUUUGGCAUUGAGCAUAUCAUCUCGUUCCACAAAGACUAUGAUCCUGAGAUCCUUGCCCAGUUCUUUGCCUCCGUGCAUUUUCCUCCCAAUGAGGAAAGGACCAUGACUUGGAUGACCAAUGGCCGACAGCUGACUGCUACCUGGAAGGAAUUCAUGACACUGCUUGGGGUUCCGAAUGAGGGGCUCACCACACCCCAAGGUGUUCGCCCUCAUUCCAAUUCCGAGUCUGCCAACAAGAACAAGCUCAUGCCCUACCUUGUGGAGAAGAAGCUCUCCAAUGGCAAGUCAACUUGGGUACUCAACUCAUUUCUUGACAUCAUGCACCGGAUCUUCCGCAACACUCUCUUCCCACGCAUUGGGGACAAGGACAAGGUGCAUGCCUAUCUGGUGGAUAUGAUGCUAUUGUGUGAAGAGGCUCGCAACUCUCAGACUCAGCCACUUGAUGUCUCACAUAUCAUGUGGACUGAACUUCGGUUUGCGGUCUACAACCGCAAGGUCCCCAUCUAUGGACCUUAUCUGUUUCAGUUGAUCUCGGCUACUUGGGAGCGGGUCUACCCUCAGGAUGAGUUUGAGGCCCCUGGUUGGAUCCGGCAUGAGCCCAUCAACCUCCGUAUCAAGUCUUAGUGGGCCAACACUACCUCUCGUGCUGAUACUGCGGCUGCCAUGGACAUGGAUGCAGAUGAGGGUGAGGAGGAGGCAGCAGACGAGGACAGUUCUGAGGGUUACAUCCCUCCCACCUCUGAGCCUUCUUGGGCUAAGAGACUGAAGAACAAGAUGAAGAUGUUGUUCUGUAUGCAAGCCAAGGGGCAGUACCAGAUUCAUGUGGCUUCCAAGGAGGUUCGCCGCCGCGACAAGCGGAUUUUCAGGACUUUUGGCGAGAACAUAUCUAGCGGGUCAGAGGUGAACAUGACCCCAGAGGCUGAAUGGCUGCACAAGCAGGGCUACCGGUGGACCGAGUCUGAGGAGGAGUCCGUCCCAGCUGCAGAGUCCGACGAUGAGCGUGGCAGUGACUACUCCGCUUGAGCCACCCCUAUUGCUGUAGGUGUCCUCUCUGCCUUUUUGGCGUCUCGAUGCCAAAGGGGGAGAGAGUGUAGGAUUUGCUGCGAGUUAUGUCGUGUUUGGGUCAGUUGAACUUCGUUUAUUUUGUUUGCUUUGGUUUGCUUUGGUUUGUGUUCGUGAGACCUUCUAUCAUAUGGUGUAAGACAUAUGCACUCUAUCGUACCGUAGUAAACUUAUUCUAUCGUGUGCUUAUUACAUUAUGCUCCUGUCUAUCUUGCUUAGCUUUAGCCUUAUUGCAAGAUUUGCCAUGUCUAUAAAAUAUAGGGGGAGUGUUGAUCCUAGUAUGUGUGCCGUGCAGUCCAAAGCACUCAUCAAUAUAGCACACAUCUAGGGGGAGCCCGUCGAUAUUUUAGAGACUUGGGGUUUGCCCUUGCUCUUUGUGUUAUACCCUCGUGCAAAUCCCGUGUUGUCAUCAAUCCACCAAAAAGGGGGAGAUUGUAAGGUCAUUUUAUCCCUUAGUUGGUUUUGGUGAUUGAUGACAAUGCUUUUGCGGACUAAUCAUGUGCAUCAAAUAUUUCAGAUAUAUUGACUAGGCACAAGAUGAUUGGGUUCCCCUCAAAGGCUAUAGAAGACGGCGUUUCUCUUCAGUUCUUUUCGGUGGUAUUGAGUCAUAGGGAAGCCGUACUAUUAAGAGGGGGUCCGCUUUGGAAAGGUUGGGUGGAUUCAUCACGUACACAUCGUCCCUUGCACCUCCUUUCCUCUUGCCUUUGGAGCAUCCUAAGUUUUCCGUGUCUAUGCAAUUAUACCUCUUGUCUACCGAACUAGGAAGUGCGGUAGUACCGCUCAUCAGAGUGGUAGUACCGCAGGACCUUGCGGUAGUACCGCCCUCUGGUGCGGUAGUACCGCAAGUCCCCAUGGUAGUACCGCUUCUAGUGAGCGGUAGUACGGUGGUCCCUGCUUAGUUCCGCAACUUCACGGCUGUAAGGGGCGGAUGUAAUUUUUUACAUCCGCACCUAGCGCGGUAGUACCGCGACUGGCUUACGGUACUACCGCGUCGGCUUUUUGCAUCGACUCCAACUCUGCGGAAGUAGCCACGGAUGUAAUUUUUUAUAUCCGUGCCUUCCCAUCCCUGGACAGCCCCUGCCUUGCGGUAGUACCGUGGGGCUCUGCGGUAGUACCGCGUACCCCUGUGGUAGUACCGCGCCUCAGGUGAUGUAGUACCGCGUGCCCCUGCGGUAGUACCGCGCCUAAGGUGCGGUAGUACCGCGCUGCGCAGGCUGAGUUGGUGGAUAACGGUUGGAUUUGUUCUCCCACUAUAUAAGGGGUGUCUUCCUCCUCUAGUUGACCACCUCUUCCACCUCCAAGCUCCAUUGUUGCUCCAAGCUCCAUUUUCGCCCGAUCUCCUUCCCUAGCCAAUCAAACUUGUUGAUUCUCUAGGGAUUGGUUGAGGAGGCCCCGAUCUACACUUCCACCAAGAGAUAUUUGAAUUCCCCCACUAAUCCCUUGUGGAUCUUGUUACUCUUGGGUGUUGAGCACCCUAGACGGUUGAGGUCACCGUGGAGCCAUAGUCCAUUGUGGUGAAGCUUCGUGGUGUCGUUGGGAGCCUCUAAUUAAGUUGUGGAGAUUGCCCCAACCUUGUUUGUAAAGGUUCGGUCGCCGCCUUCAAGGGCACCAAUAGUGGAAUCACGGCAUCUCGCAUUGUGUGAGGGCGUGAGGAGAAUACGGUGGCCCUAGUGGCUUCUUGGGGAGCAUUGUGCCUCCGCACCUCUCCAACGGAGACGUACUUCCUCUCAAAGGGAAGGAACUUCGGUAACACAUCCUCGUCUUCACCGGCUCCACUCUUGGUUAUCUCGUGCCUUUACUUGUGCAAGUUUAUUUGUGCCUUAUCUCUUGCUUGCUUGUAUGCUUAUUGUUGUUGCAUCAUAUAGGUUGCUCACCUAGUUGCAUAUCUAGACAACCUACUUUGAUGCAAAGUUUAAAUUGGUAAAGAAAAGUUAAAAAUUGUUAGUUGCCUAUUCACCCCCCCUCUAGUCAACUAUAUCGAUCCUUUCACCGGGGCCCGACGUGGGUGCCAUGUGGCGAACAGCAGCCGGAGAGGCCCUGCCAGGCCACGCGCGACUGGAUGCACUACAAAAAAGACACAUCCGUGACAUUUUGGGCCAAACGAAAAUCUUUUUUGUCAUACUUAUGACACUUCUAUGACGAUAAUUGUGACAAAACCCGGUAUCAUCAUAGAUGUGGUGGGGUCCUACUUCUAUGGCAAAAAAUCAUGACAGAAAAUGGGCUUUUCAUCCUGGACGGGCCGGAGAGGCAGCUGCAUGACAUUCUUUGGGCCGUCCAUGACGGAAAAAACCGUGGUAGAAGCGAGGGCGCGGAAAAUAUCGGGGAGUCCCCGGUUAUGGUGGGUGGUCGGGGGCCGAGCAAUGCGCGUUUCCCUCGUACGUACGCGUGUGUGUGCGAGGCGUUGUGCUCUAACUGAACCGGAGCGAGGCGUUGGGCUCUAACUGAACCCGAGCGAUUGCACUGCAGGCUACGCGUUACUGAACCCGAGCGAUCGAUCGAUGGCUGUUAACUGAACCCGAUCGAGUGAUUCCUUCACUACUGCUGCUAACUGAAGCCGAUUGAAGCUGCCUCUGGAUGAACAGUGAGCGUUGCUGGGGGGGGUUUGGAUGAACAGUUCCCGGUGGGGUGGAUGAAUAGGACGCCGUGGCGUUGCCUCUAGAUGAACAGUGAGCAUUGCUGGGGGGUUUGGAUGAACAGUUCCUGAUGGGGGUGGAUGAACAGGACCCCGAUCGUUCGAGCCGGUUGGGGCUGGAUGAAUAGGACCCCGUGGAGGGCAGGAUGAACAGGACCACCCCGUGGAGGGCUGGAUGAACAGUAGCCCGUGGAGGGGUGGUUGAACAGGAGCCCGUGGAGAGGGCUGGUUGAACAGUAGUCGGUGGAGUAGCGCGCGGUGGAGGCUGGAUGAACAGGAGCCCGUGGAUGAACAGUCACAGGUGGAGGCUGGAGGAGGUCGACGGUGGAUGAACAGUAGCCCGUGGAGGCUGGAGGGGGUCGACGGUGGAGAUGAAUAGUAUCCCGUGGAGUCCCGUUUUGCGGUACGCCACACCCCUCCCGAUGAACAGGACCCCCAUUUCGACCGUAGUGCUCCAACACAAGUCUGUUUCCUCCGUUUUGCGGUACGCCACACCCCUCCCGAUCAACAGGACCCCCGUUUCGACCGUAGGAGGUCCGUUUCCUCCGUUUUGCGUAUGCCAGACCCCUCCCGAUGAACAGGAUCCCAUUUCGAACGUGGCCGGUCGAACACAAGGCUGUUUCCUCCGUUCUGCGGUACGCCAGGCCUCGUUUCCAUCGGCUGUUCCGUCCAAGCCCUCCCGAUGAACACGACGACGCAUUUCGUUCCGACCCAGCCGGUUGGCUCCCCAUGAACACGACGACGACGCUGUUUCUCCAUUCCGACCCAGCCAUGUACACGAGCCCUGGCCGUACGUAUGCGCGAGUAGGCGUUCGAGACCCUGCCCGUAUGUACGUACGUGGCCGUAUUUUCUUUCUUGCACACUGGCCGUUGUACGUACGUGUACAUGCUACGUGCGCGCCUCUACUACGACACGUGCGUGCCUCUACAUCGACCAGUAUGUACGUACACGUUCGCGACCAGAAUGACAACGUACGCUUCGACCAGGUGGGUCCCGACUGUCAGGCACUUCCUUGCGUGCGAAGAUGUAGCUGGUGGGUCCCAGCAGUCAGGGGCGAAUCACUUUUUUUGCCCGAACGCACUUCCUUGCAUGCGAAGAUGUACUUGGUAGGUCCCAGUAGUCAGGGGGAAACGGUUUUUUCGUGAAAUACAGUUGCCCGUCCAGUGGGUCCCUGCUGUCAGGUGGAGGAAUAAUUAUUUUGCGCGUAAUAAGGAGGCACUUCCUUGCAGCCGUCGUGGACCCAGCUGUCAGCCUCUCCACGUACAGUACUCUUCCGAUGGAAGUCGUUCCUUGACCACGUUGACCACGCCGCGCCGAGAGCACCAGGGCGGUGGACGACGGCGAGGCCUAGGAAGGGGACGACGCAGAGCCGGGGAAGACGCGGCAGUGGAAGCUCACGCGGAGAGGAGUACGAGGGUUCACUGGUUCGGCUGCGGUGUGAGGCUGCCGUCGCCGCAGGGCCUGGCCAGCGGUGGGAAUAGUAGGGGGCGGUGAGGCCUCCGCGGCAGCACAGCCGGACAUGGGAGGCAAGAGCAUGCGGCACGACCGGCGCUGCUUUGGGCGGCUGGAGCAACAAGACCAGAGGUUGAAGAAGCACUACGGUCGUUGGAUGGACAUCGUACGGUCACUGGAGCUAGAAUCGUUCAUAUUGACUAAGUUGACAAAGCACUCCGUCCCCGUCAACUUAGUAGGCCCACAGGUCAGCUUCCGAAAUGGUGCGCCCCAGAUGUCAGGGGGAGGAAUCAUUUUUUGGGCGGGUGAAGCUAGAAUAUCUGAGAUUGAAGAAGAAGCACGACAUCCGUUGGAUGGGCAUCCAAUGGCCACUGCUGCUAGAACCGUGUGUUGACUAUAAGUUGACAAAGCCUUGCAUACGCGUCAACUCUUUUUUUUUGAGGGGACGCGUCAACUUAGUAAGGCCACAAGUGUGUGGCAGAGAACUUAUAGCCCAUUUGUGAUUUGUAAGAAUGUGCAGCCAAGUUUUGAAUUCUAAUGGAAUUUACUACACCCCAUUUACAGUUUGUUAAAAGUACAGCCCAUUUCAACCAACCGUUCAAAACAGAAUUCAAUAAAAUUUCCCACAUUUUGAUGGGAUCCGAAAUAUUUUUCUCCCAAAAUUUCUAGUCAGAUUAAAUACAAUUUCAAUAUAAAUUUAUACUACGUAAAAAUCCAACGAAACAUUGCGCAUGCAACAAUUAAUGAAAUUAAAAUUUUCAAUAUCCAAAAAUAAUAUUUUAUAAAGUAAUUACGUGUUUGGUGCAUUUUUUAUAGUUACUGCCCAGUUUUUAUAAUUACAUCCCAUUUAUUAUUUCUUAAAGCCCAUUUUCUUGUUAAGCCUAAUGCAUCCCUCCUAGGAAAGAUUUGCAGCCCAGCGGGGCGGAGAAUAACAACUUGACCUUGCCUGGGUACUCCUAAAAAAAGCUGGGCUAGCCAUUUUCAGCUUGAAAAAAAUUAAUAUCUGGGCUGGAUAUCUGGCCUGGGCUAGAUGGGCCACAGCCCGCCCAAUUAAUAGCUGUAGCGAUGUUUUCGUUGUUGUUCAGAGGAGAAAAUUAAUAUCUGGGCUAAACAUCGCUCAAGAAAAACUCUGCAGUGCUCACACCUCAAAAACACAAAUACUGCUCGAGCUGCUUGGUCCCAGCUGUCGGCCGCUUCUUGUGCAAUUCUCUUGUUUAUUGACUACAUAGGUUCACAAUGGUGUGGGACCGUGAUGUCAGGAAACCAGGAGGAAGCAAAAAAAUUAUAGUUUUAUAUACUAAUAAGGAGGCACUUGCUUUCAUCCUCUCCAAGUAAAGUCAUCUCCUCAUCCUCAUGUCCGUUGACCAUGUUGACAACGCGAGACGGCGGCGCCACGGCGAGCGCAACAACUCGAAGGACGACGGAGAGGGCCUCGCGGGCCCUACAGAUGGUCUGAUACAGCACUCGCUGCUCAUUCGGAAAGCCAGGAUCAUAGGGCCACAUGUCCGCGACGGCAUUGUCAUUCGCUUGUUCACCGGUGCUCCUUGAGGAGACGGAGGUUGCAACACAGGUUCUCCUGCGCUGGUAGCUCUGGCGCCAUUAGGGCGUCGAAGUGCGGCCGCACCUGCUCUAUGGUGAACACGGCAUGAACCGGCUUGGACAGUGGCGCCGGCUCCUGGUCGGAAGCUACGUCCAUCGUCUGAUUGUCGUCGCUCAGCUCGGCGAGGUAGUUGGCGAGCCAGCAUGUCCGGCUGCUGGACCGACCCGCUGCCAAGCACGAGUAUGACUGCCCUGGCCCACCCAGACCGCCUCCCUCGCCCGCGCGUGCUUUCCGCCCGAAAAGGUCAGCGCCGCCCGCCCCGCUUCCCGGUGCAUGCGAUUGCUCCGCCUUUAAACGACACAAGUGCCGGCCGUCCGUCCUUCUGCCGCCCACAUUAAUGAUAUGUGGUUGCCGAGGCGGCUACUCCGGCGCCACACGUCCGUCCCUCCGCCGCCCACCAUUGCUAUAUAAACUGCUGCGCCGGCCAUAGCCGCGGUCAUCUGCAUCCGUUCCUAUUCUCCUGUCCACACCACUACUGCCCACCAUGGCUUCCUCGCGCUCCAGCACUCUUCGGGACGGGCGGACGACGGACCACAAGGAGAUGGCAGCCAUUGCUGCCAACUGGCUGGCCGGGAGGCAGCCGGAGGACGACGACGUCCCAAUGGAGAACAUGGUAGUCGACGAUCCGGCGCCAACCCCCUCCUCCGCGCCAUCCUCGCCGGUGCAUUGCACCAUGACCAUCGGCGAGGCCCAUGCCCAAUAUAUGGACACGGUGAGGCAGAAGCAUGAGGAGCAGUUCCGGGAGGCGCAGGCUGACGCCGCCUACAACCACCAUCUCCUCCAGUAGCACCUGCAGGCGGAGGAGCAGAUCGCCGCGGAGCGGGCGGAGCAGGAGGCGCUGCUCGACUCAUACCGCUCCGCCCGCGAGGGCCGUCUCGAGCGCUGGCGGUACCGCAUGCGGGUGGCGGAGGCUGCGGCCGCCUACAAAGAGGGCGAUGAAGCGGCCAAGGCGCUGUUUGGCGAGACCGAGGACGAGGCAGAGGACAAUGCCGGCUCCGACGAGUCCCCGCUCCACUGGCGUCGACGAGGCCCUGCUCCGUCGAGGCCCCGCGCCGCCAACAACGAGGCAGAGGACACCGCCGGCUCCGCCGAGGCCCCACCCCGCCGGCAACGAGGGGGAGGAUUUUCCCCCGCUCCGCCGAGGCGCCGCCCGCCGGCAACGAGAUAGAGGACAUCGCCGGCUCCGCCGAGGCCCCGCCCUGCUGCCAACGACGCUGCGCCACACAGAAAAUGAGGAAGAGUAGAACACGGUAGGUCGCCGCCGCUCGGGUCCAAGUAAGGCCACCGCUGCUCCCCUCCGGUUGCUGGCACUGAGUUGUACAUCAUGGAGCAAUUCUAUGAUUACAGGCUGAUUGAAGAGCGCUCCGUGGUUGAGCAAGCUCAUGAGAUAUAGUCAUUUGCUAGAGAACUUGAGCACUUCAGUUCUAUGCUACCGGACAAUGUGCGAAGUAAAAAGGAACAGAAGGAGUACAAAGAGUUUGAGCAGCUUUUUAGCGUUCUUGUACAUUGCAAUCACAGCGAUUCACAUGUCAUAGAGAACAUUCAAAACAAUCGAUGAUUAUGCAUCUCAGUGAUUCACAUGUCAGAGCCAAUAUUUACUUCACAACUAAAGAAAAAAGAAAAAAUGGAUCGACGCUGCUGACAUCAAAGGGCGUCCCAUUCGAAAAUAUCAAACGCAUGUCUUCUUGCUAAAAUCAAUGAGCAAAAUUUGACAAGGUUUUCCCAUUCCAAGAUAUCAAAUGCCUACGAUUGUGGAAUGGGCAGGGUUUACCAUCAGUUCAGACAUUGACAUGGCACCUCGUGCUAAAUAAACCAGUUGUUCUUUUUGUGCAGUUCCACCAAAAUCAACCAAAUUCGCGCGUAGCUUGUAUGAUUUCGCCCUUAUAUGUUGCAACGCCUUGAACUUAUCGGCACCUCCUUUCUUGUGGUGCAAAUGGAUGAUUCAAUGUAUUCACGAACAUUUUGUGCAGUUCCCAUUGAAAUCAAGCCGAGCACCCAUGUUUGCACAAAUACAAAAAAAGUGAUUAGUAUAAAGCAAACUGUACUAUGAAUUGACAGUUUAAACAUGCACCUACAUGGUCCAUGUAGAGCACACUUUUACAAAAAUGGAACUCACCGGAAAGAAUCCUAGAACAACAUUGUACUCGCGCAUCACAACAAGAAAAUGGAGAUUUGUCAGUCCUUCUGAGCUGAAGUUAGUUUGGUCUUGUGGGGGGUAAUGUAACCAUCCUUCAACUGCUCCUUCUGAUGAGAAGAUAGACAGGGCUUAUUCAUCCUGGCAUAAUCAGAACUAGUCACUUCACGUACUCCAUAUUCUUCUUCAGAGGAGGAUGAUCCUGUUGUGCAAAGACAAGAGGAUAACUAAAUGCUAGCAUCCCUGUUUGCUCGAAAAAAAGGAAAGGAAAUAUUUAAAACAACACAGAUGAAGCACUUCUCAAAGACAAUACCACUUUUUGAUCAGCAUCUAAACAGUAGCACAACACCAAUAGAGAUGACAAAGCUCAAUCAUAUGGAUGAAAUCAGUGGGCGAGUACCAACCUUUGUCAGGAGGCUUAUUGUGUAGAGCAUACGGAUGAAGCACUUCUCCGGAACCAUCUGUUGCUAUCUACUGUGGUGGCCAUGCUUACUAUAUACUCCUCGAUUAGAUUAAUGUUUCCAACAUCUUCUUGUGAAGUUCCACUAAAAUAUAUGGUAUCAUCAAAGAAGAUCCCUGUUUGCACAAGUAGAGAUAAUUACGUAUUACAUUAAGAGUGGCAUCAAAUCAGUGGCAAAACAAUUGCUCGUUCCAGCCAUAGCAAUAAAUUAAGAUGCAAAACUAUAUCAUUACUUGUGUCAUCACAGUUCCAGUGCUUCAUUACAGCACCAGGAGUUGAUUUUUGUUUUUCUUCCGCUUGUUCUUCCCCUUCAUCACUUGGUUCAAUAACAGACAAGCUUCGCCUUCAAUGUAAGAUUUGGCAUGUCAAUUAGGUUGCACAAGUAUAGCACUAAACAAUGACAUUAAUUUUCUGAUGAAAGUGGCAAAAUACAGGCCAACAGUUGUGAAAUACCCUUAUCUUACCUCAAUGGGAUAUUACGGUGCACAUACAGAUUGGAAGUCUUGUCUCCAUUUGUGCAGUUCACUAAAAUCAAGCAACAUUACCGUACAAGUAGCACAACAUAUGAAAGCACACUGCAGAAUCAUGUGAAAGAAGGCUAUUACUGACCUCUCAUGACGCGGAAUUCAAACAACUCACAAGAAGAAGAUCUGAACCAAAUUUGCCAACACGGAUAGGAAGUAAGAUCUCCUCUUGUGCAGUUCCACUAAGAUCAAGCAAUCAAGCAACGUUAUCGGUGUGACAUUUUGGUUAAACUGCACAAAACACUCUUAAAACAAAAGUGUUUUGUGCAGUGCAACAAAAGGUCACAAUGGCAACGAGGUGAAGUAGAUAACCCUGUUUACACAGAGGUGCAAAGGAAACAACUAGUGGUCAAUAACGGUGGAUGACACAGAAGCCAACAAAAAGUAGCAUCUACCUUAUCUAAAUGGGAAAGAAAGCAAGACCGUAGCAUUUCUCAAACGGUGGCAUUGAUUAAUAUUAACAGAGAGAUUAUAUUAACAAUAAAAUUCGUUAAACAUGUAAUUUGCUUUUAAUUGUGGCAUUGCAUCAAUUUUCCAGCGGGAUUAUUAGAGGGUGUUUGUUUACAGGGACAUUUUGGUGGAGGGACUAAAAAAACUCCGUGUCAGUCCCAUCUAAACCAAACAGGAGGGACUUUUAGGGACUAAAAGUGGGCAUUUGGGACUAAAGAAAGAAGACCCCGAGGGAGUCCUUUUGGGACUUUUUCCAACAGUUGCCCCUGCCACGCAUCGCACCUUGUCUCUAUUAGUUCACUACUAGGGGUAACAUGGUCUUUUAGCAUGUCAUUUAAUAACCUCUAGUACAUGUUUAGUCCCUGGAACCAAGCAGGUAGGGACUAGGGAGUUUUAACCAAACAGGGCCUUAGAUUAACAACAACUAAAGAGUUGCACGGGACAGUGGACGCACCAGCACCAUGUGCAUCUACCGAUGUACUGGGGUGAUGCACAGUCUGUUGCAACAAAGAACAAACAACCAAGGAGCAUAUUUGUGUUGGUCCCAGUUUUGUUAUCUUUAGACACCUUUCCCUAUGUGAGCGCAGCAAAUCUAGUCCUCUCAAACUCUACAGCCUUGUCCCCCAAAACAAAAGAUCAUUCGUUACAGAUGUGCGUACUGCGUUUGUCAUUGUUUUCCCUUUUCGACCAACGUAGGUGUUGGAUAGCCAGUCUAUACUAGUACUUUCCCCACUUCCUUUCCUCUGUGAACCACGUCCUAGAUUUAUGCUAUACAACUUUCCCCACUACUUUCCCCCAUUCCUGUCCUCUUUGAACCACGUCUUAGAUUCAUGCGAUACAACUUUCCCCACUACUUUCCCCCUUCCUUUCCUUUUUGAACCACGUCCUAGAUUCAUGCUAUACAACUUAUCCCACUACUUUCCCCCAUUCCUUUCCUCUUUGAACCACGUCCUAGAUUCAUUGUAUACAACUUUCCCCACUACUUUCCUGUUUGAUCCAACACCUAGAUUCGAGUGCAGAAGCGGAAAAAGCCCACAUGCAGCUAGAGCAAUGCAUAUGGAAUAAGUAAAUUAUACCUUAAGGUUCUUGGGGUGUGGUUCGGUGGGCGACCGGAGGCCGUUCGACCCACACUAUGUACGGCGGCGAAGAAUAAGGGGUCGGAGGCACUCCCGCGCCGCCGCUGGGUGAAAGUGAACAGCUGCGCCGGUAGUGGAUUCCCUCCCUCGCCGACGGCGACAACGUUAAGCCUCCUUCCCUUCCCGGCGAACGGCUCUUUGACCAGCGGUGAGGGGAGAGAGAGAGAGGCCAGCGAAGUCUUGUUUAGAUCUGGAGAGGGUGAGAGAGUGUGAAGAGAGCAACUACAAGCAGACCAGCAGUGAGGGGAGAGAGAGGCCAACGAAGUCUUGUUUAGAUCUGGAGAGGGUGAGAGAGUGUGAAGAGAGCAACUACAAGCGCUGAGGCUCCAGCGUGUAUAUAUAUACUGGAGACAGUGUGAAGAGUGCAAACCCUAGAAAACAAGCGCUGAGGCUGUAGCUUAUACGUGAUGAGGUGAUUAUACGGUCAAUACGAGAUCGUAUAGCUCUGUAUCCAUCCAUUUUGACCAGUCAAAGAAUCCUCCUGGCACGAAUUAUGCUCAAGUGUAGUUAUCGAACCCGAGACCUCAAGUUUGAUGAGCGAACAGGCUAACCAGCUACACAACCCUCCCUUUAUGUUCAACAAGAGGAAAAUAACCUUUUAUACAUUCCUGCAUUCGUGUGACAAGCAUGUCGUGUUUUUUUGUGUGUGUGGGAGUCAUUGGGAUUUAAAUCAUAAUCGUGUCAUGUGGCUUUGGUGGUAAGACUAUCCACAGUGGUGCAGAAAUAAUGCAGCCUUAGUCACCUUACCUCUCUCCACGUAGUACGUUGGGUCCCACCAGUCAGAGGGUGAAACAAACAAAUUAAUAAGAAAAAUUAAAAGCGCCAGCGGUGUAUCUUACCUCACACAUCUCGCUACUGCUCGGGAACACUGUCCAAUUGAUCCCUCUGUUCGCUCAUGUACUAUUUUAAGUGAAUCCUUAUUAUAACAUGCACACAAUUUUGGGCACUUGUAUUCGACCUAAGUCAGUGUGCCACCGUAUCUCGUACGACUCCCUCCGUCUAGGUGUAAUAAGUCACGUUAGAAGGUGCAGCGGGACCAAGGUGCAAGCAGAUUGGAGGAGAAGGAGAAACUUGACCGGUCAUUCCUCCAAUCAAAGUCCUGAUUUCUGUCUCUAAACGCAACAAUUAAUCCAAACAAUUAAGAGAUGCCUCUUCUCUUCUUGUACGUACUCCAUUUGUAUCUCACUUCCUAUGGCUUCGCACUCGCACGAUUUUCCUAUUCUAUGAACCUGUGUGUGCGUGUGCGUGUGCGUGUGUGUGUUUAACAGCAUGUGUGUGUGUUAGAGAGAGCGACCGAUCGACCUACUCCUACAGAGAGAUGGUGUGUAGUGUACGAUUUUAGCCGCGAGAGUCGGUGCAUCCUCUCGUUUCCGGGCGUCCGGUAGGGACAGGCGGACAGCUGCCACGCCCGCUCCGGACCAGCCUGGCCCACCCAAAGCCCCUCCAUCGCCCGCGCGCGCUUCCCGCCCGAAACGGUCAGCGCCGCUCCAAAGAAUCGGUGCCGCAUUCAUGCCCGGGCAGAGCGGACGCGACCUCUCACUGGCGCCUGCGUUGAAGGGAGAAGCGGAUUCAAGAGUGAUGGUUGCUUCGUCCGUCCAACUUACUGCUGGGUCUAUGUGAUUUGACGGCUCAUUGGUCAUUAUUACUGAGGUGGUAGGACUACUGGAUGUCCCACGCUUUCGGCGAAAGGAGGUACUACUAGAUUACAAUUUUCUCCAUUCUUACGGUGGAGGAGUGCAAGAGCAGUGAAAACACGCAGGCUCAGUGAUUACAUGGCCCACCUCACACUAUCACCAUAUUUUCUGGACACCGUGCGACACCUAACUCUUUACAUAGUACUACUUGUAUAGUACGUACUGUAAUUUAUCAGCGAGAUAGUACAAUGCUAUGAAGCUUCCAGCUUCUGUUACAUGUAUCUUGCGUCCAAGGUUGCCCGUUGCAACAUUUCAUCAAAUACAAAGGAGACUAACAUGCAUGCUAUUGCAUCUCAAUGAUUGACAUAUCAUAGCAAAUAUGUACUCCCUCCGUUCCAAAAUAAGUGUCUCAACUUUAUGCUACAUACGGAGCAAAAUGAGUGAAUCUACACUCUAAAAUACGUCUAUAUACAUCAGUGUUUGGAGUAUGUACUAGUAGUUCAUAUUGAAAUCUACUAAAGGACAUAUAUAUUCCAAACAAUAUGAUAAUCUCUCUAACCAAGGUAGUAGGGACGAGGAGUAAACGGAGGGAGUAGUAAAAUUUUCUCCUCAUCCUGCGAGCCACCGCGCGCGUGGGCGAGGGAGCGGGCGUAAGGCGUACAAUACUACUACUACUCAUGCAGUCCCUAGCCAUUGAAACAGAGAUAGCUAAAGAAAAAAUGAUCCAUGCAGUCCCUAGCCCUUGAACCAUAAACCCUAACCAGGCUUUAAUUUUCUGGCAACGUCGGCGCUUCCUAGGAAAUGAAGUUUGCAACCCUUUGACCAUCGGAUCAUUUUGUGCAGUUUCACCAAAAUCGAGAUGAGCAUCCCUGUGGCAAAGAAAUUGAAGAAGCGUGAUUAGAAUAAGAUUACUGGGACUAGGUGAUGAGACAUAAACUCAUCACAAAUACAGUACGUAGAAGCCAGUAGAGGUAUGUGCGGGGCAAAGAAGUAGAGAAAUAUCCACAUGGAGUGAUGUGGGCAGCUGGAGCAGUGGUGCAAGCCGGCUGUAAAGGGAGUUGUACCUGAGGGAUGUCGGGACGUAGCUCAACCUAGAGGAGGGAGGCGGGAGGAGGCAACUACCCACGUCACGGCAGUGAGCAAUGGACGAAGGCAACCUCACCGGCUUUGUGAGAGAGAAUGGCGGGGACCCCUGACUAGGGCGUGCCGACAGUGGGUUUUCGCCGUCGGCAACGGCGACCACAUCUACACUAAGCAUCCACCCCUUCCCCGGCGGACGUGAUCCGCUGGGAUGUUAGAGAUGUUGCCACGGUGGUUUUGUGCGAGAGAGUGUGAAAACUGAAGAGAGCAACCCCAGCAAGCAACCGUGUAGGCUCGUCCUGCCUAUGUAUAUAGUGGAGCGGUUUCCUUUUCUCUCCAUAUGAACCUAUUUAUAUUGCGUACGUGCCACUGAAGAAAAAAACUUUAUUUAUAAAUGACACGGCACCUACUACUCGUUCUCCUAUAAACCUUGCGCUUGGCAUCUCCAAACUAUUAACCUUGCGAUUGGCUCUUCGCCUCUUCGGGAAGUCGAGCAAUAAUGGUACUGCAGUAUAUAUCGUUCUGGCUAUAUGAGACCAAAUGAAUUGUUGCACGUCCACCACGUGGCGAGGGUCGAGGGGCGAGGGAGAGUGCGUACUAUUACGUCCGUUUCAAUAUGGACUACAUACAGAGCAAAAUGAGUGAAUCUACACUCUAAAAUACGUCUAUAUACAUCAGUGUUUGGAGUAUGUACUAGUAGUUCAUAUUGAAAUCUACUAACGGACAUAUAUAUUCCAAACAAUAUGAUAAUCUCUCUAACCAAGGUAGUAGGGACGAGGAGUAAACGGAGGGAGUACUAGUAAAAUUUUCUCCUCGUCCUGCGAGCCACCGCGCGCGUGGGCGAGGGAGCGGGCGUAAGGCGUAGUAAGCAAGCUUCACCUCAUCCUGCGAGCCACCGCGCCCGUGGGCAGGGGAGACGGCGUACUAAGCAAGCUUCUCCUCGUUCUGCGAGUUGACGGGACACAUCAAAAGUACUCCAGUGUAUAGAGCCUUGCCUCUAAGGUAGGCCCCACAUGGUUUUCCUCUUUUUUAACAUAACGCGUCAAGUCGUAGUUUGUUUGUUCACCUGUGGUAGACGAUCCUCCCUCCAUCUAGUGGACAACCAGUACACGUGUCAAGUUACCACGUGGGCUGCCUUUUCGUACAGAAAUGAGCUCCACCGUGUACCCGCGCGGGUGUGGUUGGGAAAGAGACGAGAGUACGUGCGCCGUGCGUGCACCUCUUCUCUUCGUGCACGUCCCCCACCUACGUGGGUGUGUGUGAGAGAUACAAACCUAGACAAAUGGUUUGUGCGUUCGUGAGUGUUAUUUGUUUUUUUGGGGCGGGAGGUUGAUUUCGUGAAUGUAUUUGUGGGAAUAUGUGUCGAUGACAUCUCAAACAAAAUUUUGCAUGCAAUGUGUGUGAAAUGGAGGCCUAUCCAUAUCAUAUAUAGAGGGUCGGGCGAUCCACGAGAAGAGAGGGAGGGGUCAUAGAUAUCGAUAGAGUCGAAGAGAGGAUCAAGUGGGUGGGUGCGAGAUCGAUGAAGAGAGCCAUCGAAAUUGUGUGUGUGUGCAAGUAAAAGAUAUAGGGCGACUGACCUAGCUACCGGAACGUCAGAGGGCACAGGUCAAGUUUGUGUGUGGCAGGGAGACAUGACUAGAGCGCUCGAUGUAUCGGUGUGUGUGUGUGUGUGUGCGAGGGGGUGGGGGGAGGGGUAGGCAGAGGCCUAACUAUAGAGGUAGAACGACUCGUAUAUGUGUUGAGAAGGAGAGACCUAGCUAUGUCUUGAGGGAGAUCGGUCGACAUCCAUACAUAACUGAAGGACGGGAAAUAGGAUGGGACAGAGAGAGAGGAGAGAGAGAGAGGGAGGGAGAGGGGUAGAGUGCUGGAUGGGUGAUGGAGUUGCUUCUCGAAGAUGGUGGGAGAGGCCUACUAGACAAACUGAGGGUGGAACUGCAAUAUCAUCAAUAAGAGUGGGGAUGUGUUUCUGUGUGUGCGUGUGCGUGAUAGAUCUGUCGGAACACAUCCAUGGAUGAUGAAGGGAAACCAUGUGUUUGGUAAGCAAAUUUAACUAGAUCGGUAGAUCAAUUGUUGUUUGUCGGAGGAAGGGAGAGACAUAACUAAUGAGGUAGAUCGAUCGACGUGUGGGGGAAAACGAGUUAUAAGGACCUAGCUAGCUAUAUGUAUAGCGGGAGAUCGGUCGGUGUACGUCCAUUUGUUAGAGGCAAAUAAGGCCCGACGAGACGGAUAGACAGAGAGAAUGGAGCUAGGAGGUGGUGCGAGAGGCCCAGCUACUAGCUAGAUAGGGGGAGGAGUGUGCGGUUGUGAGAUGGAUGAAAAGAGGGGCGAGAGUUUACACAUGAGUGGGACCGUAUGAGAGACACGAGGCAAGGACACAUAAAGGAGGAGACUGAAGGUGCGUGUGUAUGUUGUAGGCAGACAUCGCUGGAGAGGUUUAUCGAUCGGUGUGUGUCGGAAAGGAGUUGUGGAGGCUGUGGGAGAAUGACCUAAAGAAGAAGAAAAAUGAAUGUGCGCGAUGGAUAGAAUGCUGAGGGAGGGGGAGGGCGAGGAGGGCGUGUGCAUGCACGAGAGAAAGUUAGUGGUAGCUACAAAGGUUAGAGGAUUGUGUGGGUGUAAGAGACUAACAAAGAUCAUAAUUUGAUAUGAAAGUGGAUCCAUAUAUUUGAAUAGGAGAUCGUAGUGUUUUAAACAUAUCCAUGCAUGAAUAUAGCGGUGAUAUGCGUGUUGUGGUUUUGCACAUGUUAUACAAUAAUGUGAUAAUGCAUGGCGUUUGCAACUCACAGCUAAAUGUCGAACAAUCUAAACCAUACUAUACAUCAAACAAUCUCGCAUUUUAUUUGAAUUUGUGAUAAUGUGUGGCGUUUGCAGCUUACAACUAAAUAUCGAACAAUCUAAACAAUACUAUAUAUCGAACAUUCUCACAUUUUAUUUGAAUUUGUGGUAAUGUGUGGUGUUUGCAACUCACAUCUAAAUACUUGUAGGCGUAGGGGGCGGGGCACCAUACAUAAUGUGAUAAACACAUUAUACAUAUGAGACAUGGUUUAGUUUGUGAAGAUCUAGCUAGAGCUUGAAAUGUACUAUGAUUUGAAAUCAACAUAAAGUGGAUUCAAAAAAUCGAGUUCGAGUUCAUAUAGUACACAUAGUUCAUAUGUAACUCGAGACUAAUCAUGUGGUGUGCUGUGAAGAUAAUACACCAACGAUGGUUUAACUUGACAAUAAUGAUGAUUGUAGAUCUUAUUAAAACAGAGAAACGAAUUCAAACGCUUUGAAUUGACAACAAUCAUUAUUGUAGAUCUUAUUCAAAUAGAGAAACGAAUUCAAAUUUAGUUCAUAUUGACGCGGUAGUAUAUACGUUUGGAAUGUAGUAAAACGUUCAUUUGAGUACUAUGUUGCAUGCAUUAUACACGUAGCGAAAUAUUUUAAUUGAACAUAACAUAAAUUCAAAGUUUUGAAUGACAUUUGUAAUGCGAAUUGAUUUGGUACUGCACAUGUUAGGCUUGUCCGGAAAUUUCAACCGCGCCUUGUUAGCCCGAAAUAUUUAAGAUAUAUCUUUGUCUCGUUGUGCUCCGACAACUCCCUCCAUCUCAACCCGCGCCUUGCUAUUCCAAAAUUACAACGCGUGCGAAAACUCCCACCUCCUGUGAAAUCCCGACACGUGAAAUGCCCGUGAUACCCCUGAACUGAAAGAACCGCCUCAAAUCGGUGGGGGUACUUUCGUAACUUACCCCACAUUUUGGACAAGCGCGCCCCUAAGCCAUGGUUCCCCACUCCCAUCCCAUCCGCCCACCCAGUCGUACACCAAGGCCGGGAAAACCCGCGAAGCCCCACACCCUCCUCCGUCCGCCACCCAGCCGGAGCCUCUUCUCCGACGAUGUCGUCCACAGCAACACCUCGACGUCCCUCAUCCAUCGUACCGGAUGAGGAUCCGUCAUCGAUCUGGUCGUCCCACCGGUUCAGCCACCCCGUCCUCCACCUCCAAGGAGCUGCCCCGACGUUCCCCUCGUCUUUCGCGCCACCUCCAUUCCCACACCGCCGUCUUCACCUACACCACCGGAAGAGCAUCAGCAUCACCGUUUCCUCGGAUGAAGCUGCGGCCUAAUCGGCGCCACCAAAGAGGUUGUACACUAAUCGCCGCAUUUUCUUCUUGAUUCGAUCUCACGGUGCUGCCGAUGCUCAGUCCCGAGCCGACACGGUGCGGCUCCAUCCACCACGGCGUCAGUGGCCACUUCCUCCACGGCGUCGCUCCCUCGGCGGCGACGUCCACAUCAGUAGGAGUUGCCGCUGCUUUAGCUCUCACUCGCGCUGCUGCUCUGCUCUCGCUCUCGGUCCCCUGCCUGGUCUGCUCUUGCUCUUGCUCGCGCUGCUGCUCUCGCUCUUGCUCUUGCUUGUGAUGCUGCUCCGAUUUAGCUACACUUCAGUCGACUGAAUCGACUUUUGGGUCAGUCGAUUUUCAGGGGGUGGAGGGGCUCGCCGGAGUUAAGGAAGAACCAGCCGCAGUGGGGAGGGGGGCUCGCCGGAGAAGUACCCCACUAUCUAUCUUAGGGUUCAGGGUGGGGGCGGUGGUCGCCGGCGGUGGCUGGGCGAUGGUGUGGGGAUCGCCGGAGAAAAAUCUCGGCACGGGGGGGCCUAGAGGGAUGGCUGGGGCGGCGGCGGACCGGCGGUGGGGAGUGUUUUCGGGGCGGGCGGGGCGGUUGUUUGGCCGGUGGUGGCUGGCGGCUCAGGGGAGUGGAGGUUGAAGAUGAACUGCAGGCCCUUGAUUUCGUAUCCAACGGCUGCAAAAUCGACUGACCAGAGAUGAAAAAGUCAGACGACUGACGUGUAGCCUCACCUCUAGUGCGUUCAGUUUUGACAGUAAAAUUCAGUUUCGACAGCAAAAUUCAGUUUCGACAGUUAAGUUCAGUUUCGACAGUUAAAUUCAGUUUCGACAGUUAAGUUCAGAGAUGAGCGGCUGAUGUAUACAUCUAGCACUUUGUGGUUAUGUAUUUUACGUCAUCUAUUGGAGAUGCUAUUAGAAUUCCACUCAGGUUAACGUUGUCUCUCUUGUCCUGCUUCAGCCUCGGCGUCGUACAACUCACCGGAUCUGCUCCAACGACGAAACCCUCCAUCACAGCGGAGCAGUACCUCGGGCUCCAUCUCCAGACGCCUAAGAUCUUCUUCCCCUCCUCCGACAGCCAAGUCAGCCGGAGCAUCCUCACCGGCCAACCCAAUCACGCUGAGAUCGACAUGGCUUCGCCAAAGAGGUUGUACAUGUUGGGGAACGUAGCAGAAAUUCAAAAUUUUCUACGCAUCACCAAGAUCAAUCUAUGGAGUACUCUAGCAACGAGGGGAAGGGGAGUGCAUCUACAUACCCUUGUAGAUCGCGAGCGGAAGCGUUCAAGAGAACGGGGUUGAUGGAGUCGUACUCGUCGUGAUCCAAAUCACCGAUGAUCCUAGCGCCGAACGGACGGCACCUCUGCGUUCAACACACAUACGGAGCAGCGACGUCUCCUCCUUCUUGAUCCAGCAAGGGGGGAGGAGAGGUUGAUGGAGAUCCAGCAGCACGACGGCGUGGUGGUGGAAGUAGCGGGAUCCCGGCAGGGCUUCGCCAAGCGCAAGCGGGGAGGAAUAGGUGUCUCGGGAGGGAGAGGGAGGCGCCAGGGCUUAGAUCUUGCUGCCCUCCCUCCCCCCACUAUAUAUAGGUCCAAGGGAGAGGGGGGGCGCAGCCUUGGCCCUUCCUCCAAGGAAGGGUGCGGCCAGGGAGGAGUCCUUCCCCCCCAAGGCACCUCGGAGGUGCCUUCCCCCUUUAGGACUCUCCCCUUUCCUUAUCACUUGGCGCAUGGGCCUCUUGGGGCUGGUGCCCUUGGCCCAUAUAGUCCAAGGCACACCCCCUACAGCCCAUGUGCCCCCCUGGGGCUGGUGGACCCCCGGACCCCUUUCGGCACUCCCGGUACAAUACCGAUAAAGUGCGAAACUUUUCCGGCGACCAAAAUAGGACUUCCCAUAUAUAAAUCUUUACCUCCGGACCAUUCCGGAACUCCUCGUGACGUCCGGGAUCUCAUCCGGGACUCCGAAAAACUUUCGGGUUACCGCAUACUAAUAUCUCUACAACCCUAGCGUCACCGAACCUUAAGUGUGUAGACCCUACGGGUUCGGGAACCAUGCAGACAUGACCGAGACGUUCUCCGGCCAAUAACCAACAGCGGGAUCUAGAUACCCAUGUUGGCUCCCACAUGUUCCACGAUGAUCUCAUCGGAUGAACCAUGAUGUUGAGGAUUCAAUCAAUCCCGUAUCCAAUUCCCUUUGUCAAUCGGUAUGGUACUUGCCCGAGAUUCGAUCGUCGGUAUCCUGAUACCUUGUUCAAUCUCGUUACCGGCAAGUCUCUUUACUCGUUCCGUAACACAUCAUCCCGUGAUCAACUCCUUGGUCACAUUGUGCACAUUAUGAUGAUGUCCUACCGAGUGGGCCCAGAGAAACCUCUCCGUUUACACGGAGUGACAAAUCCCAGUCUCGAUUCGUGCCAACCCAACAGACACUUUCGGAGAUACCUGUAGUGCACCUUUAUAGCCACCCAGUUACGUUGUGACGUUUGGUACACCCAAAGCAUUCCUACGGUAUCCGGGAGUUGCACAAUCUCAUGGUCUAAGGAAAUGAUACUUGACAUUAGAAAAGCUCUUAGCAAACGAACUACACGAUCUUGUGCUAGGCUUAGGAUUGGGUCUUGUCCAUCACAUCAUUCUCCUAAUGAUGUGAUCCCGUUAUCAACGACAUCCAAUGUCCAUGGUCAGGAAACCGUAACCAUCUAUUGAUCAACGAGCUAGUCAACUAGAGGCUUACUAGGGACAUGGUGUUGUCUAUUUAUCCACACAUGCAUCUGAGUUUCCUAUCAAUACAAUUCUAGCAUGGAUAAUAAACAAUUAUCAUGAACAAGGAAAUAGAAUAAUAACCAAUUUAUUAUUGCCUCUAGGGCAUAUUUCCAACAGUCUCCCACUUGCACUAGAGUCAAUAAUCUAGUUCACAUCACCAUGUGAUUAACACUCACAGGUCACAUCACCAUGUGACCAACAUCUAAAGAGUUUACUAGAGUCAACAAUCUAGUUCACAUCACUAUGUGAUUAACACUCAAUGAGUUCUGGUUUGAUCAUGUUAUGCUUGUGAGAGAGGUUAUUAGUCAACGGGUCUGAACCUUUCAGAUCCGUGUGUGCUUUACGAAUAUCUAUGUCAUCUUGUGGAUGCUACCACGCGCUACUUGGAGCCAUUUCAAAUAACUGCCCUACUAUACGAAUCCGGUUUACUACUCAGAGUCAUCCGGAUUAGUGUCAAAGUUCGCAUCGACGUAACCCUUUACGACGAACUCCUUUUCACCUCCAUAAUCGAGAAAAUUCCUUAGUCCACUAGAUACUAAGGAUAAGUUCGACCGCUGUCAUGUGAUCCAUUCCCGGAUCACUAUUGUACCCCUUGACCAACUCAUGGCAAGGCACACUUCAUGUGCGGUACACAGCAUAGCAUACUGUAGAGCCUACGUCUAAAGCAUAGGGGACGACCUUCGUCCUUUCUCUCUCUUCUGCUGUGGUCAGGUCUUGAGUCUUACUCAAUACUCACACCUUGUAACAUAGCCAAGAACUCCUUCUUUGCUGAUCUAUUUUGAACUCUUUCAAAAUCAUGUCAAGGUGUUCGUUCUUUGAAAGUAUCAUCAGGCGUCUUGAUCUAUCUCUAUAGAUCUUGAUGCCCUAUAUGUAAGCAGCUUUAUCCAGGUCUUCCUUUGAAAAACUCCUUUCAAACAACCCUUUAUGCUUUCCAAAUUUUUUACAUCAUUUCGGAUCAACAAUAUGUCAUUCACAUAUACUUAUCAGAAAUGUUGUAGUGCUCCCACUCACUUUAUUGUAAAUACAAGUUUCUAACAAACUUUGUAUAAACCCAAAAACUUUGAUCACUCCAUCAAAGCGUAUAUUCUGACUCCAACAUGCUUGCUCUAAUCCAUGGAAGGAUCGCUGGAGCUAGCAUACCUUUUAGCAUCCUUAGGAUCGACAAAACCUUUUUGAUUGUAUCACAUACAACCUUUCCUUACGAAAACUGGUAAGGAAACUUGUUUUGACAUCCAUCUGCCAGAUUUCAUAAAUGCAGCUAAUGCUAACAUGAUUCCGACGGAAUUAAGCAUCGCUACGGAUGAGAAAAUCUCAUCGUAGUCAACUCCUUGAACUUGUGAAAAUACUCUUUGCCACAAGUCGAGCUUCAUAGACGGUAACAUUACCGUCCACGUCCGUCUUCUUCUUAAAGAUCCAUUUAUCUCGGAUUUCAUGGCUUUUAACCAUUCGUCAGAAUCCGGGCCCACUAUCGCUUCCCCAUAGCUCGUAGGUUCAUUGUUGUCUAGCAACAUGACUUCCAAGACAGGAUCACGUACUACUCUGAAGUAGUACGCAUCCUCGUCGUCCUACGAGGUUUGUUAGUGACUUGAUCCGAAGUUUCAUGAUCACUAUCAUAAGCUUCCACUUCAAUUGGUGUAGGUGCCACAGGAACAACUUCCUGUUCCCUGCUACACACUAGUUGAAGUGACGGUUCAAUAACCUUAUCAAGUCUCCACCAUCCUCCCACUCAAUUCUUUCGAGAGAAACUUUUCCUCGAGAAAGGACUCGUUUCUAGAAGCAAUUACUUUUGCUUCCAGAUCUGAAAUAGGAGGUAUACCCAACUGUUUUGGGUUUUCUAUGAAGAUGCAUUUAUCCGCUUUGGGUUCGAGCUUAUCAGCCUGAAACUUUUUCACAUAAGCAGCCCCAAACUUUUAAGAAACGACAACUUAGGUUUCUCUAAACGGUGUCGUCUCAACGGAGUUGCGUGGUGCCCCUUUUAAAGUGAAUGCGGUUAUCUCUAAUGCCUAACCCAUAAACGAUAGUGGUAAUUCGAUAAGAGACAUCAUGGUAUGCACCAUAUCCAAUAGGGUGCAGUUAUGAUGUUCGGACACACCAUCACACUAUGGUGUUCCAGGCGGUAUUAAUUGUGAAACACUUUCCACAAUGUCUUAAUUGUGUGCCAAACUCGUAACUCAGAUACUCAUCUCUAUGAUCAUAUCACAGACAUUUUAUCCUCUUGUCACGACGAUCUUCAACUUCACUCUGAAAUUACUUGAACCUUUCAAUAAUUCAGACUUGUGUUUCAUCAAGUAAAUACACUCAGCAUCUACUCAAAUCAUCUGUGAAGUAAGAACAUAACGAUAUCCACUGCAUGCCUCAGCACUCAUUGGACUGCAUACAUCAAAAUGUAUUUCUUCCAACAAGUUGCUCUCUUGUUCCAUCUUACUGAAAACGAGGCCUUUCAGUCAUCUUGCCCAUGUGGUAUGAUUUGCAUGUCUCAAGUGAUUCAAAAUCAAGUGAGUCCAAACGAUCCAUCUGCAUGGAGUUUCUUCAUGCAUAUAUACCAAUAGACAUGGUUUGCAUGUCUCAAUCUUUUCAAAAACGAGUGAGUCCAAAGAUCCAUCUACAUGGAGCUUCUUCAUGCGUUUUAUCCCAAUAUGACUCAAAUAGCAGUGCCACAAGUAUGUGGUACUAUCAUUACUUUUGGCAUGAACAUGUGUAUCACUACGAUCGAGAUUCAAUGAACCAUUUAUUUUUAGGUGCAAGACCAUUGAAGGUAUUAUUCAAAUAAAAAGAGUAACCAUUAUUCUCCUUAAAUGAAUGACCGUAUUGCGAUAAACAUAAUCCAAUCAUGUUUAUGCUCAACGCAAACACCAAUCUCGAUGGUAGAGGGAGCAUGCGAUGCUUGAUCACAUCAACCUUGGAAACACUUCCAACACACAUCGUCAUCUCACCUUUAGCUAGUCUCCGUUUAUUCCGCAGCUUUUAUUUCGAGUUACUAACACUUAGCAACCGAACCGGUAUCUAAUACCCUGGUGCUGCUAGGAGUAAAGUACACAUUCAUAUAAUGUAUAUCCAAUAUACUUUUGUCGACCUUGCCUGCCUUCUCAUCUACCAAGUAUCUAGGGUAGUACUGCUUCAGUGACCGUUCCCCUCAUUACAGAAGCACUUAGUCUCGGGUUUGGGUUCAACCUUGGGAUUCUUCACUAGAGCAGCAAAUGAUUUGUUGUUUCAUGAAGUAUCCCUUUUGCCCUUGCCCUUCUAGAAACUAGUGGUUUUACUAACCAUCAACAAUUGAUGCUCCUUCUUGAUUUCUACUUUCGCGGUGUCAAACAUCGCGAGUUGCUCAAGGAUCAUCAUCUAUCCUUGAUAUUUAUAGUUCAUCACGAAGCUCUAAUAGCUUGGUGGCAGUGACUAUGGAGAACCAUCACUAUCUCAUCUGGAAGAUUAACUCCCACUCGAUUCAAGUGAUUGUAGUACUCAGACAAUCUGAGCACAUGCUCAACGAUUGAGCUUUUCUCCCUUAGUUUGCAGGCUUAAGAAACUUGUCAGAGGUCUCAUACCUCUUGACGUGGGCACUAGUCUGAAAUCCCAAUUUCAGUCUUCGGAACAUCUCAUAUGUUCUGCGACGUUUCAAAACCGUCUUUGGUGCCACAAUUCUAAACCGUUAGCAAUACGCACUGAACUAUCACGUAGUCAUCAAAAACGUGUAUGUCAGAUGUUCCGCAACAUCUACAGACGACGCUGAGGUUCAGCACACCGAGCGGUGCAUUAAGGACAUAAGCCUUCUGUGCAGCAAUGAGGACAAUCCUCAGUUUACGGACCCAGUCCGCAUAAUGGCUACUACCAACUUUCAACUAAAUUUUCUCUAGGAACAUAUCUUAACCAGUAGAACUAAAGCGCAAGCUAUGACAUAAUUUGCAAAGACCUUUUGACUAUGUUCAUGAUAAUGAAGUUCAUCUGAUUAUUUAAUGAACUCCCACUCAGAUAGACAUCCCUCUAGUCAUCUAAGUGAUACAUGAUCCGAGUCAAACUAGGCCGUGUCCGAUCAUCACGUGAGACGGACUAGUCAUCAUCGGUGAACAUCUCCAUGUUGAUCGUAUCUACUAUACGACUCAUGUUCGACCUUUCGGUCUCUUGUGCUCCGAGGCCAUGUCUGUACAUGCUAGGCUCGUCAAGUCAACCUAAGUGUUUUGCAUGUGUUCCGAGGCCAUGUCUCUACAUGCUAGGCUCGUCAACACCCGUUGUAUUCGAAUGUUAGAAUCUAUCACACCCGAUCAUCACGUGGUGCUUCGAAACAACGAACCUUCGCAACGGUGCACAGUUAGGGGGAACACUUGUCUUGAAAUUUUAGUGAGGGAUCAUCUUAUUUAUGCUACCGUCGUUCUAAGCAAAUAAGAUGCAUAACAUGAUAAACAUCACAUGCAAUCAAAUAGUGACAUGAUAUGGCCAAUAUCAUUUUGCUCCUUUGAUCUCCAUCUUUGGGGCAACAUGAUCAUCUUCGUCACCGGCAUGACACCAUGAUCUCCAUCAUCAUGAUCUCCAUCAUUGUGUAUUUAUGAAGUUGUCUCGCCAACUAUUACUUCUACUACUAUGGCUAACGGUUAGCAAUAAAGUAAAGUAAUUACAUGGCGUUUUUCAUUGACACGCAGGUCAUACAAUAAAUUAAGACAACUUCUAUGGCUCCUGCCGGUUGUCAUUCUCAUCGACAUGCAAGUCGUGAUUCCUAUUACAAGAACAUGAUCAAUCUCAUACAUCACAUAUAUCAUUCAUCACAUCCUUUUUGGCCAUAUCACAUCACAUAGCAUACCCUGCAAAAACAAGUUAGACGUCCUCUAAUUGUUGUUGCAUGUUUUACGUGGCUGCUAUGGGUUUCUAGCAAGAACGUUUCUUACCUACGCAAAAGCCACAACGUGAUAUGCCAAUUUCUAUUUACCCUUCAUAAGGACCCUUUUCAUCGAAUCCGAUCCGACUAAAGUGGGAGAGACAGACACCCACUAGCCACCUUAUGCAACUAGUGCAUGUCAGUCGGUGGAACCUGUCUCACGUAAGAGUAUGUGUAAGGUCGGUCCGGGCCGCUUCAUCCCACGAUGCCGCCGAAUCAAGAUAAGACUAGUAACGGCAAGUAAAUUGACAAAAUCGACGCCCACAGCUACUUUGUGUUCUACUCAUGCAUAGAAACUACGCAUAGACCUAGCUCAUGAUGCCACUGUUGGGGAACGUAGCAGAAAUUCAAAAUUUUCUACGCAUCACCAAGAUCAAUCUAUGGAGUACUCUAGCAACGAGGGGAAGGGGAGUGCAUCUACAUACCCUUGUAGAUCGCGAGCGGAAGCGUUCAAGAGAACGGGGUUGAUGGAGUCGUACUCGUCGUGAUCCAAAUCACCGAUGAUCCUAGCGCCGAACGGACGGCACCUCCGCGUUCAACACACAUACGGAGCAGAGACGUCUCCUCCUUCUUGAUCCAGCAAGGGGGGAGGAGAGGUUGAUGGAGAUCCAGCAGCACGACGGCGUGGUGGUGGAAGUAGCGGGAUCCCGGCAGGGCUUCGCCAAGCGCAAGCGGGGAGGAAUAGGUGUCUCGGGAGGGAGAGGGAGGCGCCAGGGCUUAGAUCUUGCUGCCCUCCCUCCCCCACUAUAUAUAGGUCCAAGGGAGAGGGGGGGCGCAGCCUUGGCCCUUCCUCCAAGGAAGGGUGCGGCCAGGGAGGAGUCCUUCCCCCCCAAGGCACCUCGGAGGUGCCUUCCCCCUUUAGGACUCUCCCCUUUCCUUAUCUCUUGGCGCAUGGGCCUCUUGGGGCUGGUGCCCUUGGCCCAUAUAGGCCAAGGCGCACCCCCUACAGCCCAUGUGGCCCCCCGGGGCUGGUGGACCCCCUUGGUGGACCCCCGGACCCCUUUCGGCACUCCCGGUACAAUACCGAUAAAGUGCGAAACUUUUCCGGCGACCAAAACAGGACUUCCCAUAUAUAAAUCUUUACCUCCGGACCAUUCCGGAACUCCUCGUGACGUCCGGGAUCUCAUCCGGGACUCCGAAAAACUUUCGGGUUACCGCAUACUAAUAUCUCUACAACCCUAGCGUCACCGAACCUUAAGUGUGUAGACCCUACGGGUUCGGGAACCAUGCAGACAUGACCGAGACGUUCUCCAGCCAAUAACCAACAGCGGGAUCUGGAUACCCAUGUUGGCUCCCACAUGUUCCACAAUGAUCUCAUCGGAUGAACCACGAUGUCGAGGAUUCAAUCAAUCCCGUAUCCAAUUCCCUUUGUCAAUCGGUAUGGUACUUGCCCGAGAUUCGACCGUCGGUAUCCCGAUACCUUGUUCAAUGUUAUUACCGGCAAGUCUCUUUACUCGUUCCGUAACACAUCAUCCCGUGAUUAACUCCUUGGUCACAUUGUGCACAUUAUGAUGAUGUCCUACCGAUUGGGCCCAGAGAUACCUCUCCGUUUACACGGAGUGACAAAUCCCAGUCUCGAUUCGUGCCAACCCAACAAACACUUUCGGAGAUACCUGUAGUGCACCUUUAUAGCCACCCAAUUACGUUGUGACGUUUGGUAGCAUUCCUACGGUAUCCGGGAGUUGCACAAUCUCAUGGUCUAAGGAAAUGAUACUUGACAUUAGAAAAGCUCUUAGCAAACGAACUACACGAUCUUGUGCUAGGCUUAGGAUUGGGUCUUGUCCAUCACAUCAUUCUCCUAAUGAUGUGAUCCCGUUAUCAACGACAUCCAAUGUCCAUGGUCAGGAAACCGUAACCAUCUAUUGAUCAACGAGCUAGUCACUAGAGGCUUACUAGGGACAUGGUGUUGUCUAUUUAUCCACACAUGCAUCUGAGUUUCCUAUCAAUACAAUUCUAGCAUGGAUAAUAAACGAUUAUCAUGAACAAGGAAAUAUAAUAAUAACCAAUUUAUUAUUGCCUCUAGGGCAUAUUUCCAACAGUACACUUCUUGUGGUUUGACUUAAUCUCACCAUACUUCUUUGCAUCCUGUGAUCUUCCAAUUCUUGUGAACCAAACACCCAGAUUGGCAGAAAUCCUGUGUUUUUAAAUUCUCUGUUUUGCACGUGCAUUCCUAUCCUAUUCCUGUCUAUUUCCUAUCCCUGCAUUGUUAGAAUCCUCAAAUUCAAACAAGCCCUUACACAAUUACUUCUGUUACAGAUAUGUGUCAAAGAAAACCUUGUGUGGUUUGUCCUGCUCCUGCGGUGCUGUGUUCCACCCCAGCUCAGCUGCUCCAAUGACGGAAGGGUUCACCACAGUAGGGAUCCGCUCUCCAGACUGUCUUUCACCGCCUCAGAUCUUCUUCCCCGCCGCCAGCAGCCACGACAACUGCAUUACCAUCAUCAACUGAGCAGAUGACCUUGAGGACUACACGGGUCCGCAAGAGAGGUCGCACUCUUCCGUGUCUGCUUACGUUAUGCAUCGCUUAAUAUGAUGACAUGCUACUUUAUCAUCGUGUUCACCUAUUAGACUCUGACUCGGGUCCAAACUUAUGCUGAAACUUGAGUUUUUAAAUGGUUGUGGGGUACAUAUUGGGGCAGCAAUCAGUACUAUCUGUCUACUAUCUGGUUAAUCUCGGGUGUCUACUAUGAGUUUCAUGUUGGGUGCAAACAAACAUUAAAGGAGCCAUUAUCCGUAUUUUUUAACUAAAGCUAUUAUCUGCCUGCUAUCAUUGGUUUUGGGUCUAUCCACAGUUUGCUACCAUCACUCUGGAUUUGUGCAUGCACUCCUUACAUAAUCUCACUAUGUUUUAUUCCUAUGCAUGUCAGUUAUUGUACACAAUGGAACUGAACAUGUAGCUCAAAAGAGACGAGCCUUGCAUGGCAAUAAAAUUUCAUGCAGACGUCGCUCCAUGGUGGGCGCAAAGGCAGCCCCCCUCCACCCAUUUCGGAUCGUAAUCAAGAGGAAGAUAACUGUUCUGAGGGGGAUUCAGAAGUACAAGACCACUCCUAUUUACCCCAUGAGGUCUUCGCUCUAACUUGGCAUGCUGAUGUUGGUUAUAUCAUGCAUAUGGUGCCUUGCAUUGCUUACUUUAUACAUCAAAUAUGACAACUGCUUAGUUUAGACAUGCUUUGUGUGAAUGCCAUCUGUUUAGUUUAUUCAUCGUUUAUGUGAAUUAUGCAAUGCCAUCUUGUUUAGCCAGGCAUCAUAUAUGUGAAUUUUGCAAUGCCAUCCUGCUUAGCCAGUCAUCUUAUAUGUGAAUUAUACCAGGCCAUCCUUUUUUCGUUACGUAUUACAUUUGUCAACAAUGUUAGUACAUUCAACUACUCUUCGUGUGCAUCAGCCAUUUGACACGGUGAUGGAAAAUUCUGGAGUGAAAACAAGGUCUUCAGAGCAGACUAUGCUAUCUGACGAAGCGCAUAUCUCGCUGGUUACGGGUAGCUCCUCAGAGGAGGAUUCAGAGACAGNNNNNNNNNNNNNNNNNNNNNNNNNNNNNNNNNNNNNNNNNNNNNNNNNNNNNNNNNNNNNNNNNNNNNNNNNNNNNNNNNNNNNNNNNNNNNNNNNNNNNNNNNNNNNNNNNNNNNNNNNNNNNNNNNNNNNNNNNNNNNNNNNNNNNNNNNNNNNNNNNNNNNNNNNNNNNNNNNNNNNNNNNNNNNNNNNNNNNNNNNNNNNNNNNNNNNNNNNNNNNNNNNNNNNNNNNNNCUCUAACUUGGCAGGGUUAUAUUGCUCAUAUCGUGCGUAUGGUAUCUUGCAUUGCUAUGUCAUUUGCUUAGUUUAGACAUGAUUUGUGUGAAUGCCACUUGUUUAGUGUCUAAUUACCAUAUAUGUGAAUUAUGCAAUGCCAUCUUUUUGCAAGACAUUAUAUAUGUGAAUUAUGCAAUGCUAGCUUGUUGCAAGGCAUUAUAUAUGUGAAUUAUGCAAUGCCAUGUUGUUUAGCCAAUCGUCAUAUAUGUGAAUUAUAUCAUGCCGUCCUUUUUUGUAUUUCUCAUUGCUUUUGUCGACAAUGUUUGUAUAUUCAACUGCUCUUCCUGUGCAUCAGCCGUUUGAAUUGGUGAUGGAGAAAUCUGGAGUGAAAACAAGGUCUUCAGAGCAGACAAUGCUACCUGGUGAAGCAGAUAUGUUGCUGGUUACAAAUAGCUCUUCAGAGGAGGAUUCAGAGGCAGAUGACCAGUCCUAUUAUCCCCCUGAGGUGUAUGCUCAAACUUGGCAGGGUUAUAUUACUCAUAUCAUGCAUAUGUUGAAUGCCAUCUCCUUAGUUGACACAUCAUAUAUGCGAUUGCCCUCUGCUCACUUCCUUAGUAUAUAAAUCAUAUAUUUGAAUUAUAUCAUGCCAUGAUGUUUACAUAGACAGCAUGUAUCUGAAUUAUGGCAUGCCAACCCAUUUUCUAAAGACAUAAUAUAGUUAUAUCAUCUCAUCCUGUUCACAUAGUCAUCAUAUUUUGAAUUAUGUCAUUCUAUCCAUGAAUUAUAUCAUGCCAUCAUGUUUCCAUCGACGGCAUGUUUGUGAUUUAUGGCAUGCCAACCACUUUAAUAGACACAUCGUAUAGUUAUAUCAUGUCAUCCUGUUUACAUAUUCAUCAUAUUUUGAAGUAUGUCAUUCUAUCCUGUUUAGUUAGCCAUCAUACAUGUGAAAUUGUGUCAUGCUAUCCUGUUUAAUUAGCCAUCAUAUAUUUGAAACUAUGUCCUGCUAUUCUGUUUGGUUAGACAACAUAAAUGUGAAUUAUUUCAUGCCCUGUUUUCUUCCCUACUAUCCAUUGCACCUGUCUAUCUUACAAUGUCUGUACAUUCAAUUACUUUUCUUGUUUAUCAGCCAUUUCAAUUGGAGGGGGUGAUGGCAGUAUCUGUGGGAGUAAAAACACGGUCUUCAGAAAAGAUCGUGCUACCUGUCGAUGGAGAUAGAACCACGGUUGUACUUGCCCAAGAACCAGCCCUACCACACAUAACCCAGACUCACGCAGAUUGUACCCCUACCCAGUUGGACAGAGAACCAGCUACACCCCUUCUAACCCCAACCCCAGCAGAUAGUAAUCCAGUUCCCGUUGACACAACACCGUCUCCACCACAGAGCACCCAAACACGAGCAGUUAGUAAGGCAACUGCAGUGCCCAAAGCACGAGGACCACCACUCCGAACCCCAAGUCAACGCUUAAAGCAGAAGAAGAAUUGUUCUCAGGUCAGGUUCCGUAGCUAUGGUUCAUACUACUUUGCUCUUGCAUCACCGUAUUUACUCAUACCAACUAAUUUCAAACUUGAAGGAUGCAAUUGAAACUCCAAUGGCGCAAUAGGUAUGUUUUAAACCUGUUUCUUUAACGUGUUUGCUGUUGUAACUUGCUCUAUGUUGAUUUCAGUUUCAAUUGAAUAAACAGUUAUGUUCUCAUGCCAUGCACAUUACAAGUGUUGUUAUUGCUAUGUAGUUUCCCACACUUAUAUUCUGUCUAUGCUGCUUUGUCUUAAAUAGAUAUGAUUCGAACUGUAUCUAUCUUGAUUUGGCAACAUAAACUAGAAUGAUAUAGACCAUACAGUGACCAUACUACAUAUAUAUAUGUUUGUUUCAUGCUGUUAUCCUGUCCACCUUACUACUGGACUGGUUUACCAAAAUGAGUUUCAUAUACUACAUUGUAAACCUGUGAUGUGUUUGUUUGUUUCUCCUUUAGAACGCGGAUAAAAUAUUGGAGAAGAGUACCCCGUUAUGCAAUGGUAAAGGAAGUAAUGCAGAUCAGGUUCAAGAUAGUGAGACAUCCCUGUUGUUCUCCAAGAAAGCUGAUAAAAACUAUAUUGAAGACACUGAGACAACCCCAAAGUCCUGUCUUGAUGUAGUGUUCGAGUUACUGGCUACUACUGCUGGCACCAGCUCUUCGUACUCGCUGCCUGAAUCAGUUCGGCUUCUUGAGUCUCAACUUCAAGUUGAAAGACAUCGAUCAGAUGUUAUGCGACAGGAAGCCGAAGGACUGAGGAAGUCCCUGCAGAAUUCAGAUGCAUACUUUCUGGUGCAACAGCAAGUGCUGGAGGAUUUAAGCGCCAAACAAGAGAAAGUUAAUAAGCUUGCUAAGCAUCUUGCCAGCAUUAUGGGUACCCAGGAUAUUGUUUCUUGAGCUCUUCUGAAGUGGUUCAGUUCUGGACUUGUUUUGCUGCGGCGUUUAUAAGCUGCUUUGUUCCCUCUAUUUGCACUGGUGGCGAACUUUGAUGCCCAGUGGAUGUAAUAUGUGUAAUAGCCGUGAUAGCCUAGCGUAAGUUGCUUGCUUAUUUAUUUCCUUGUUGUCUUGUUUAUUUGUUUGCUUGUAGUCAGUGCUGUUCUUUUUCCACGGUUUGCUAGUGGCCGCAAUAACCUUUUUUUUAAACUAGGCCACAAUAACCAUGGGCUACAUAUUUACUGUAGUGACACUGGGCCUUCUACGGGCCGUAGAAACAAUGGGCCUUCUACGGGGCGUAGAAACAAUGGGCCUUCUACGGGUCGUAUCAUCAAUGGGCCUUCUACGGGCCGUAUGAUCGAUUGCCCAAACAUGGGCCAAUAACAUACCGCUUUAUGGCCGUAAACGGGCUAGAGUUGGAAUCGUCCAUUCAUGGGCCGACCAUAAUGGGUCGUUGUUAAUAGGCCGUAUUUGAUGACGCUAUUUAAACGGCCCAACGUAUUAACGGGCCACAAACGGGCCGACUGUAAGCACGGGCUGAAUUUGGCCCACAAGCAGAAAAUGACAGUAACGGGCCGUAAGUAACCGAAUGCUGGAAAUGAGCCCAAGAAUAAAUGGGCCCUGAGAAGGACGAAAGAUAACAUGGGCUGGAAAUGGCCCAAUGGAAUAAUGGGCCGUUAAUGGGUAUAAACUGAUACACUGUUCAUUACGGGCCAGUUUUACCACGGGCUGUUAACGGGCCGAGGGUUACUAAGGGCCUCAGAUGGGCCAAAAGACGUCAUGGGCCAUACAUGGGUCGGAAGUUAAAACGGGCUGGAAUUAUAUUGGACGGCCCAGAUGACGCUACUGGGCCUAAUUCGGAUAGGUCGUAAACGGGCCCUGGGUUAGCGGGCUGUAAAUGGGCUAUAUGCGAACAGGCCAUUAACAGGCUUGCCGUGGGUCGGCCCACCACCUUUUGACCAAGUCAAACGGGCCGGCCUUUUCACAGGAAUGGGCCUCUGUUGGGCCGUGCCACGUGUCGACGUAUCAUAGGCGCUUUGGGUCCAAUGAGUGGAUGACAUUUGUCCCAACGGUGAGCCGACACGUGUUUCCUCCAGCCAAUGAUGAUUUUACACGUGGAAAAUCCCCAUUGGUCGGGGCUGUUAACGGGUUAUCGGAUCCAAAACCGGACCCGAUAGCUUAACGGUGUUCCGUUACGGUGGAUGCCACGUGUCGGUCACCCUUGACGAAAGCACUUCUGUGACGCGCGAUUUAUCGUCAUGGAAGUGGACACUUCCGUGAUGAUAAUUUUGGUAAUGUCAUGGAACACUUCUACGACAGCACAGGUAUGACUAUCUUGAUUCUGUCAUAAAUUUGUCAUGGAUGUACAUGCAUGACAAAAAACGCGACCUAUUGUGACAAACACGUAUCAUCACGGAAGUGUAUUUUUUUGUAGUGACGUAAUAGCGGGCUGGGGCCCGCCACACCGCGCCCUCGGCCCUCGCGCGAGGAUUUAUUAUGGCCGCCGCGGACGGUUGCACUUCUCGGGGUAGUUAAUUCAUUGGGGAAACGUGCUCACAUAAUGCAGGGAAGUGGAAAAGCGGGCGCAGCCGAUCCCACUUCCCCACGCUUGGUGUCGUGGUGGGCGCACGGCAGAUGCCAAGGGAUGGCUAAAGAUAGGAGUAGGCUCGAGGGCACUGGUGGGCUCCAGAGGCGAGAUCGGCAUGAGCGAGCGCGGGACGCAAGACAUACCCAGGUUCGGGGCUCUCCGGAGAGAUAACACCCCUAGUCCCGCCGAGUGUAGUUGAUAUGUAUCAGUACAGAGUUGCUCCUUGAGCUGUAUGGAGGAAGGAGGAAGACAGGCCAAGGCUCAGGCUGCUUCUCCUUGUGGUGUGUGAGUUCAUGGAUGGAUGGAUGUGUGAGCGUGGCCAAAUGAGGCUGGGUGUGUGAGGCCUUCCCUGGGUCACUUUAUAUACUAGUGCCCAGAGACAAGGGGUGGCCCACACACCCACUACACUAUUGAGAUGUCAUAUGAUGAUGCACGCUACAGUGCACCACUAUUGGAGCGCAGUGAAGUGUCACAUGAUGCAGGAGCAAUGUUGGCUGCUCAUCUAUAGUGCUCCACUGUAGAGUAUGGCCGUCAUGUCUGCGCAGGUCCGACGGGACGACUUAGUUGACUUGGCCAGAUUCCAGCGAGAUGGGCUCAACUCGGACGGGCCUUAACCCGGACGGGGCUCAACCCGGACAGCUGAACCCGGACAGGCGGAACCCAGCCAAGGAGAACCCGGACAGGGAGAACCCGGCCAGGGAGAACCUAGACAGGGUCAACCUGGAUGGGCUCAACCCGGCCAGCUCAACCCGGCCAGGGUCAACCCGGACAGCUCAACCCGGCCGGGGUCAACCUGGCUAGGGUCAACCCGGACAGCUCAACCCGGCCAAGUUCAACCCGGCCAAGGUCACCUCGGACAGGUCAACCCGGCCAAAGUCAACCCGGACAGGUCAACCCGGCCAAGUGUCAGGCUUCGACUCACCGGUGAACUUGCUCACUCUCGUUGCCAAUCUAAAAUUGGGAGGAAUCUCAGCGGCUCUGAUAGCUCUGCUGAAACACUUAGGUCCGCAGACAUGAACUCUGCUGCCAGUCGGGCGGUCUCUGUCGAGUCCUUCCCUGUGUGCUCUGUUCCUGUCGACCAGACCUUGAACAAGGAUCGACCUCGCAUCAAACCCUGGCUCUCUUGGGUCGACUGGAACCCUCCGCUCAUCGCUGUACGGGUGCAUGUCAUCAUAUUGCCGGGGCACAUACGGUCCGCCCCUCGGAGGGGGCGUAGGCACUCUACGGCGGUCAUCACGGCCGAGUCGAUGAUCGUACUGCUUGUGAUUCCGUCCCAAAUACUGCUCUUGGCGAUGCCCACAUCCCUCACGCCGCGGGGGCGAUCUUGGGCUGUGAGCCCAGGGACAAGGGGUGGCCCACACACCCACUACACUAUUGAGAUGUCAUAUGAUGAUGCAGGCUACAGUGCACCACUAUUGGAGCGCAGUGAAGUGUCACAUGAUGCAGGAACAGUGUUGGCUGCUCAUCUACACUGCUCCACUGUAGAGUAUGGCCGUCACGUCUGCGCAGGUCCAACGGGACGUCUUAGUUGACUUGGCCAGAUUCCAGCCAGAUGGGCUCAACCCGGACUGGCCUUAACCCGGACGGGGCUCAACCCGGACAGCUGAACCCAGACAGGCAGAACUCGGCCAGGGAGAACCCAGACAGGGUCAACCUGGAUGGGCUCAACCAGGCCAGCUCAACCCGGCCAGGGUCAACCCGGACAGCUCAACCCUGCCAGGGUCAACCCGGACAGCUCAACCCGGCCAAGUUCAACCCGGCGAAGGUCAACCCGGACAGGUCAACCCGGCCAAGUGUCAGGCUUCGACUCACCGGUGAACUUGCUCAUUCCCGUUGCCAAUCUGAAAUUGGGAGGAAUCUCAGCGGCUCUGAUAGCUCUGCUAAAACACUCCGGUCUGGAGACAUGAACUCUCCUGCCAGUCGGGCGGUCUCUGUCGAGCCCUUCCCUGGGUGCUCUGUUCCUGUCGACCAGACCUUGAACAAGGAUCGACCUCGCAUCAAACCCUGUCUCUCUUGGGUCGACUGGAACCCUCCGCUCAUCGCUGUACGGGCGCAUGUCAUCAUAUUGCCGGGGCACAUACGAUCCGCCCCUCGGAGGGGGCGUAGGCACUCGACGGCGGUCAUCACGGCCGAGUCGAUGAUCGUACUGCUUGUGAUUCCGUCCCAAAUACUGCUCUUGGCGAUGCCCACGUCCCUCACGCCGCGGGGGCGAUCUUGGGCUGUGAGCCGACUGAACCGUGUCAGUCACCAUAGAUCUUCUAUGGAUCCUGUUGCGAGACUGAGAAACGGUUGUGUUCUGCUCUCCUGCUGCCCGGAGCAGUGCCCUGAUCUGCACCAAACCUCUUCCAGCCUCUGAUUGGGACGGCUGAAUCGACUCUGCUAUUCGGGCUGCAUCUGUAAGGUUCUGAAUCGGAGUGCGGUAUACCUGAGGUUCAGGCGGGAACAACUGUCUCCGUCGACUAGAUUCGGGAAUCUGUUGCCGAGCGCGUUCAUCGAGUGAAUAUUGAAGGUUCUCCAGCUGUGCGCGCUCAGCCAAAGUGGCCAGGCGCGCGGCCUCCAAGGCUCGGGCCUCGGCGGUCUCCCUGAUGAUGGGAGUGUGGAGGGCCUCCAUGCUGCGGCGGUGCAGCUCCUCCCUCUGCUGCGAAGUGAGGGCUUCGGGAUGAUACUCCUCAUGAACACGCGAUGGAUCGCCGCCGCCAUCGCCGCCGUCACUGCGAUGGAAACCAGGCGGGCUGCGCGGCAUGUCGACCAUCAGGACUUCCACCGCGGGGUCGCUGCUGUUGCACUCGGACAGAGUCUCGACGGAGCCAGUCGACAGGUCGAACAACCCAUAGAGAGAUUCAUCGGGCUCGAUUGCCGCGACUUGAGGGGUGGCCGACUGACGGGCCACCGCGUGCUUCACCCACCGCUGAAGCCGCGGUCGACCAGAUCGCUUGCGGUGACGAGCAGCGGGAAGCGAAGACGUUGCGGGAGCCGGCCGAUAAAGAGUCGACGGCUAUCGUAGAAGAACACCGCGGACACAUGCGCGAAAGUGCGUCGCCCCAUGGACGGGGAGCGCCUCGACAUCGAGGGGAGCCUCCUGGAGCCAGGCGGAGUCGUCGGCGACGAAAACGAGCGCGCCGAGACGGAUCUCAUGGCCCUCAGCCAAACCAUCGCCAGAAACCAUGAUGAUGGGAAUCGGAGAAAUUGCAACCUCACCGGAAAGUCGCUAAGACACCCGCCCCAUGGUGGGCGCCAACUGUCGUGGUUCUAAGUCUGACAGUAGAAUAGGGGGUACGUAGGAGGAGGCAAGAUCCUAGCUACGAUGAGGUUGUGCAGCACGAUUUACGAGUUCAGGCCCUUCUCGGAGGAAGUAACAACCCUACGUCUCGGUGCCCAGAGGCGGUCGAUUAGAUUAUGCGUGAAGUUACAGGGGGUGUGAACCCUUGUACCAGUGGAGGGGGUGGCUUAUAUAGAGUGCGCCAGGACCUCAGCCAGCCCACGUUACAAAGGGUUCAAUGUACAUAAAGGUGGGGCGUUACUGGUAACGCCAACAAUAAAGGCAUAUAAAUGAUCAUUAUGACUAUGGAGUGAACGCCUGACCGUUGCCAUCCUGAGUGACUUUAGAUCUUCUGUACUCCGAGUGAUUUCUGAUGUGGUCGAGUGAGUAUAUCCUGGUCGAAUGGAAUUGGGUUAUCCGAGUUGGUCGAGUGGGUUGCACCAUGAGGUGAUUUCAGUCGGUGAAUGUUGUUGUUCUUUGAAUGCCUUUGACUGUAGGGCAGUGUCCUUGGGAAGGGUGUCCAGGUCAGGCCUAUUACCCUACCCUAGGUACAUGUCAUCGUCAGUCGGCAUGAGCGAGCGCGGGACGCAAGACAUACCCAGGUUCGGGGCUCUCCGCAGAGAUAACACCCGUAGUCCUGCCGAGUGUAGUUGAUAUGUAUCAGUAUAGAGUUGCUCCUUGAGCUGUAUGGAGGAAGGAGGAAGUCAUGCCAAGGCUCAGGCUGCUUCUCCUUGUGGUGUGUGAGUCCAUGGAUGGAUGGAUGUGUGAGCGUGGCCAAAUGAGGCUGGGUGUGUGAGGCCUUCCCCGGGGCAGUUUAUAUACUAGUGCCCAGGGACAAGGGGUGACCCACACACCCACUACACUAUUGAGAUGUCAUAUGAUGAUGCAGGCUACAGUGCACCACUAUUGGAGCGCAGUGAAGUGUCACAUGAUGCAGGAAUAAUGUUGGCUGCUCAUCUACAGUGCUCCACUGUAGAGUAUGGUCGUCACGUCUGCGCAGGUCCGACGGGACGUCUUAGUUGACCUGGCCAGAUUCCAGCCAGAUGGGCUCAACCCGGACGGGCCUCAACCCGGAUGGGGCUCAACCCGGACAGGCAGAACCCGGCCAAGGAGAACCCAGAUAGGGUCAACCCGGAUGGGCUCAACCCGGCCAGGGUCAACCCAGACAGCUCAACCCGGCCAGGGUCAACCCGGAGAGCUCAACCCGACCAGGGUCAACCCGGACAUGUCAACCCGUCCAAGGUCAACCCGGACAGGUCAACCUGGCCAAGGUCAACCCGGACAGGUCAACCCGGCCAAAGUCAACCUGGCCAGAUUCCGGCCAGCCAAGUUCUAGCCAGCCAGGGGGCACUCCCCUGGUAAUGUUUUGAAGCGUCGUUUCGCCGUCUUGGGCAUACCCGGGGGUCAUCCCCCCGACACUUGGCCACGGUUGUAAAAUCGGAGGGAGGGGUGGCAGAAAUAUUCACGCACGCGCGCCCUCGCCUCAUCCUUCUUCUCUCCGCCCAACCUCUCGAGCUCGCCAUCCACCGGAGCGUCGGGCGCCGCCCGAACCGCCCUCCGGCCGCGCUAGCUUCUUCUCGCCUCCGCGCUUCGCACCCUCGCCCAGCCCCACAGAUGGCGCCGCCAAAGGGCUCAUGGGAGGGGUCCAUUAUUACCAACGCCGACAUCCAGCACCUCCGCGACACCCGCCGACUGCCGCCGACGGGGGAGGUGGCUGCGCGCGCCCGGAGGGGAGGUGGAGCCGCAGCCGCAAAAUGGCGAGUGCGUGGUCUUCUACAACCACUUCUAUCGUGGGCUCCGCCUCCCUGUGAGCGCCUUCUUCCGCGCCUUCCUCUCUUUCUUCGGGCUGCAGCCGCACCACCUAGGUGCGAACACCGUGCUGCAGCUCUCUGGUUUCGUCACCCUCCGUGAGGGUUACUUGGGGGUGGAGCCAGACGUGGAGCUCUGGAGCCGCCUCUUCUUCCUUAAGCAGCAGGGGCAGGAGGCUAGGGCUAUGUCCGACUACGGGGCCGUUGUCGUCUCGGUCCGGCCGAACGGGGUGUUCCCCAAAAUGCCCAUCGAGGAUUCUGCCAAAAAGUGGCAGAAUACUUUCUUCUACGUCUGCAACGCCGGCGAAGGAGCCGACGCCAUCAACCUGCCCCCGUUCAUCAAUAUGAAGCCGCUCGCCAAGAUGAACUGGGGGUACAUGCCCAAGAACCCGCGGCAGGGGAUGCUGAACUUGUGCAGCCGGAUCGAGGAGAUGACGGCGCGGGAGGGGCUCAAGGGGACGGAUCUCGUCGCCGCCUUCAUCGUGCGUCGGGUGCUGCCGCUGCAACGCCGGGCGCACAUCAUUGGUCAGAUGGGUGACCGCCGGGAUGCUACAUGGAUGUAGUCCGGGAGGCUGCUGCUGGAGCAGGUCUCCGACCAGGUGAACACCAUCUCCAAGGCCGGGUUGGCCCCUGACUGGCACUUCAAGAAAGCGCCCUGCAACGCAGAGUACCCGGCGCCGGCAGUGAGUCCUUGGUCCUCAUUAUUUGCAAUGUCUCAACUUCUUCUUCACCCUGAUGCGACGCGGAGGUGCUGUUGAGCGCUAUCCAACAGACACAUGACAGGACGAGGGCGCAGGUAGCGGCCAUCGAGCAUGCCCGCUCGGAGGGUGUGGAAUCCUUUGCUGAGAACCUGGAGCCGGCCGACGCUGAAGCCGGCGGGGUGCACCGUGCGGGUAAGUCUCCGCACCCAGACCUGUUGCGAUACUGGUCGGACGAUGACGUGGAGGUCCUGACUCACACUGGUGGUGCAGCGCCAUCAAGGGGAGGGGACGACACCGUCGAGCCCCCAAGAAGGCUGAGGAAGACGGCCGAUGCCUGGUCAUCCCGUGCGCCGGCCGCGCCAAGCCGGACGCACGGGAAGGAUGACGCGGCACCGAAGCCGGCCACGAAGCGCGUGGCGGAAGGACCGGCGGCGCGCGGCAAGACAGUCGCCAAGAGGGGGCGCCAGGUCGUCCCGACGCCGCCAACGAGCCAGGCCAUCCCGACGGCGAUCAAGUACGCUUCCUUGCUGACUUCAGUGUGCUGCCAAGUUGCACUUUUCUUACGUUUUCUUGGUGCGAGCCAGGACGCCACUGGACUUGGCAUUGGCGGCGAUGGACGUUGUGUUCGGGGGUGGCUUCUCGUUCCAGAGGACCCGGAGCAGCGUCAUCGACCUGCCCGAGGGCUCGACCGAGGAGGACCUUGGUGCUGAUGCGCCGGUUCGUCAAUUGGCGCCUGCAUGCGCUUCUAAUUGGGCCGGUCCGUUCCGUUAUUUUUUCCAGGUUUUCAAACACAAAAAGUGUGAGGCGAUGGAGAGUCGAAGCUGCGACCUCUUUGUCGCAAGCGCACGGCUGUAACCACCAGGGCAUCGCCCGGAAUGGACUAGUUAGUUCUUUCUUCGCUUUUUACUCGUUCUUCAGUUCGGUUUCUUUUUUUUCUCAUCUUUCUUUGUUUUCUUCAGUGCGUGUUUUUUUAUUCGUGAACCUAUUUUUCAAAUUCGAUGAACUUCUUUUAAAAUUUGAUGAACUUUUUUCAAAUUCGAUGAACUCUUUUCAAAAUCUAUGAACGUUUUUCAAAUUUGAUGAACUUAUUUUCUGAUUUAAUGAACUUUUGUUCAAGCUAUAAAGUAAAACGUAUAAUAUUUAAGAUAUUCGAAAAUCCAAGUUAUAAAGUAAACUGUAUUUUUCUGUGCAAUAAAUAGCGCAACUCUUAUGGUUCCUAUAGAGUUCGCGUUUGAUUUCAAUCACUAGUCUUCUGAUGGUGUAGUGGUUAGCUGAAACAUUCCGCUGUGUAGCGUCGUGAGUACUAGGGCGUGUUUGGUUGCCCGCACCGAGCCAAACCAGGCCCGCGCGGGAAGGGAGAGGCCUGUUUGGUUGCCUGGUUUUCCUGUUGGGCCUGCAUCGCACGCUUCUCAAAGCAGCCCAGAGCUUGGCUCGCUGGAAACCCUCGGAUCGGUUGUUUCUCGCGAGCCAGGCUGAGUGCGACGCGAGGCCGCUGGGCGGGAGCGAGGCGCGGGCGAGGGGGAUGGCGGGAGAUGGAAAUCUGGCGCGCCGCCCCGGCGCCAAAUUCGCCUCACCCCCCUUUCACUCGCUCACCCAUAGCCACUGCCCCCCUUCUUCUCCACUGCCUCACCACCGGCGGUGGCUGCGAUUUUAGAUCUGCGCUAUAGGCGGCAGCGGCGGAAGAGGCGGCGGCGUUUAUGGCUGAUCUGGUGCUCCCCUUGCUGUUGGCCACCGUCUGGUCGACCUACUCUGUGCCAUGGCUCCCCCUACGUCGUCCUCAUCUCCGAUGCCGGUAAGCAGCACCCCCUCCCCCUUUGUUAGCUCAGUGGUUAGGCCUUUAAGCUAGGUGUAGGAUCGAUUUCCCACUGAACGAACCGUCGAUGUCGACUAGGUUAUGGACGCACGGAUGAGGCUGAUAAUCCAGGCAGCAACACUGAUUAGUGUGAUUCAGGCAUGGGUAAUGUUCAUGCACCAGAGAGCUGUUCGUCGUGCUGGGAGACCGUUGAUCCGCUAUGGUCCAUUGUUUCCCCGGGAACAAGAGAGGAUCCAAAAUCUGAACUACAUCUACAACUGCAAUGACGUCGAGGCUCUGUGGAUGCUUAGAAUGAAAAGAGCGCCAUUUGCCAGGAUUGUCGAGACCUUCAAGAGCAGGGGCCUGUUACAAGAUAGCAUCAACACCAGUGUCGAAGAGCAAGUGGCCAUGUUCCUCCAUGUUGUUGGCCAUAACCAGAGGUUCAGGGUCAUUCACAACACGUUCAGGAGGUCAAUGGAGACCAUCUCUAGGUACUUCAAGCAGGUGAAGGAAAUAUGCCCUAGAGGCAAUAAUAAAGUUAUUAUUUAUUUCCUUAUAUCAUGAUAAAUGUUUAUUAUUCAUGCUAGAAUUGUAUUAACCGGAAACAUAAUACUUGUGUGAAUACAUAGACAAACAGAGUGUCACUAGUAUGCCUCUACUUGACUAGCUCGUUGAUCAAAGAUGGUUAUGUUUCCUAGCCAUAGACAUGAGUUGUCAUUUGAUUAACGGGAUCACAUCAUUAGGAGAAUGAUGUGAUUGACUUGACCCAUUCCGUUAGCUUAGCACUCGAUCGUUUAGUAUGAUGUUAUUGCUUUCUUCAUGACUUAUACAUGUUCCUAUGACUAUGAGAUUAUGCAACUCCCGUUUACCGGAGGAACACUUUGUGUGCUACCAAACGUCACAAUGUAACUGGGUGAUUAUAAAGGUGCUCUACAGGUGUCUCCAAAGGUACUUGUUGGGUUGGCUGUAGGGGAACGCAGCAGAAAACAAAAAAAUUCUGACCUACGCACCAGCCCAGGACCACUAUGGAGACUGCAUACAUGGUUUGAUCUUUUUCGUUACCGACUCGUAGCGCAGCGGGAAGUAGAGUCGAUGACGAUCGGCGGUGCAGAUCCCCGCAGCUAGGAUUUACAACCUCCCAACCGCGAGGAUGUAUACCCUCAUCUGCUCCUCAGACAGCCCUCCAGGAGGCGGUCGAACAGCCCCCCGGACGGUGUCGCGGACAGCCCUUCGGGAGGACCUUCGAAACUCGAACGGUCACUCGGACAGCCCUUCGGGAGGACCUUCGAAACUCGGACGGUCACACGGACAGCCCUUCGGGAGGCACUCACGAACUAAGACCAAAACUACAAUAUCUCUACAGAGUUGCACACAUACGGUGUCAUCUAUCCGGCAGGGCUUCGCCGUCCAGAACUAGUUCCUGCCGGAACCCAGACAGCCUUACGGCUCUACGAAACUCUUUUCGUGGGAGGGAGAGAAGAAGCCAGAUAAUGCAUGGCAUGUGUAUGAGAGCAAGGGAUGAGUGUGGAGGGCUGCCCCUCCACCUCUAUUUAUAGGAAAUCCCAAGGGGGUAGGGUAGUUUCACAAAAAACCCAAAAUGCACAUGAAUGAAGUCCUUCCACAAGGACCUAGGAGUGAAACCAAGGAACAAGAGGGUCCCCAAGGGGGGAUACCCCAUGUGGCCGGCCACACCCCCAUGAGGGGCCCAAAAAAUGGCUCCUAUUCAUCCAUGUCAUCCCCAAGAUCUUUUGGAGCAAAGCCCCAAAAGGUGGCUUUCCAUAAAGUAACCAUAAAGCUGAUUUUCACUAUUCACGACGACAUUUUUCAGCGUCUGAUCGAACUGAAAAUAUUUAUGUGGGCUAAGAACAUUUCUAGUACCCACUAAAAUGAUUUUCAACGCGUUCCGAAACAAUUCCGGUUUUAGUGAUUUUCAUCUGCGAAACGCAUCUGAAGUGGCUCCGGCAGCUCCGGAACAUUUCCGGUUUUUAUCUCAGAAAAUUCCAAAAAGCUUCCAGAAUGAUUCUGGCAUCCUCCAAGAAUUAUCAGGCAUGUGCCGAAACCAAUUUGACUUAAUGGUGUAUCCCGAAACAACUUUUCGGUGUCAUCGAAACUUAUCCGAUGACCUCUCUCUGCGGUACGAUUCCGCUGUCCGAAACUUUUCGGUGUCCGAAACUUUUUCGGUGAUUUUCUCUCAGACUCCCUGUCUAGUAUUCAGCAGAUAGAUGACCCUUAAGCGUGUGACCCUAUAGGUUCGGUGAAGUAUAGACAUGACCCGGAACCCCUUCCGAUCAAUGAUCAACAUCGGAGCCGUGGACACCCAUAUUGACCCCUAUACCCACACGAAUAAAUAUCCGAGUGAACCUCCAGUUGCCGUGUGCUAUUCCUGUUGCUUCGCGAUAUGUUACAAAUACCCGAGGUGAGACAUGUUGGCAUUCCCGUGGAUCAACAACUUGUCCACUAUGCUAGUUACCUCGUUACCGGUAUUGUUCUCUUUUCUCGUUAUCGUGUUCUGGCAUCCCCGUGAUCAAAUCACAAAGUGUCUGGCCAGACGAUGAUGGAUACCGUAACACCGAGAGGGCCCAGAGAUAUCUCUCCAUCGUCGGAGGAGCAAAUCCCAAUCUUGAGCUAUCAAGUUACUUGACACACUUUUCCAUGAACCCGUAAGCCGCCGUAAUAGCCACCCAUUUACGGAUGACGUUUAACAAACCCCAAAGUUCAUGAAGCAAGCAUGAAGAAACUCGAUACUCUCAUGGUCUAAGGAAUCAUGCAAACGUUAACCAUCUCUGUGUUAUGUACCAAUAAACUUGUGACGAAUGAAUCUCAUAGCAUAACAUCAUGCCGGGUCGAUUCAACACAAAUGUUCUCUUAACAUUAUGCCCUCAAGGUUGCUGACAUAGACAUGCCCAUGAUCAGGAAAACAUAACCAUCAUGCAACACUUGAGCUAGUCUUAGAGGCCAGACUAGGAAUACAUUUUACCGUUUAUUAUUCCACACGUGCAUAUGAGUCUUCCUCCGAGCCUCGUGGUUAUUGUAGACUCAAGAACCAUAGCAGUUAUAGCAUGGAACAUAAACAUAAUUAUGAACUCGGAGAUAAAUAAUAUCAUUUAUUAUUGCCUCUAGGGCAUAUCUCCUACAGACUCCCACUUGCACUAGAGUCAAUAAUCUAGUUAAUGCUAAUGCACUUUACACCUGUGGCACAUCGGUGUAAAUAUGCUUCGCUUGUGGUAUAGCCUGAUGUCCAACGGAUCUGACGACUUCAGUUCCGUGUGUAUCUUUGCAUGUCCUCGCGUUUUCACGUUUUCACAAAAUUCAUAUUUUGUGUGGACUUGGCUUUGUAUGUAUGUGAAUCAAAGGUCGAACCUGGAUUCCUCAGACUAAGUUAUGGAGCAACUACCUGCAGUAGUGUCCCAUUGUCAAAAGCCAUCUUGGAACUAUACUAAGUUCAUGAAUGAACUAUAUGAUUCAACAUCUUCUUUGUCGCUUCUAAAGCGUCAACAUACUUAGCCCUUGUUAUAGAAUUCGCCACAGUAACUAGUUUGAACAAAUUCCAACUAACUGUGCCACCACAUUGUGUGUUACACAAAACCCUUAACUUAAAUCGAAAAUCGCACGGUGAAAAGAUGAAGACUACCGAUGUAACAUUUUACAACGAACUCUUCAUGAUCUCCGCUUGCAAGAAAACAUAUCAUCAGUACUUACUCUAGUACUCAAUGACAUCUUUCACUGUUGUCCCACGUUCAGUACUUUGAUCACUUUAGUAUCCAUACUCGCAACACCUUGGGAGUAUCGGACAUAUCUGGUUGUUUUACAUACCAUGGAAUACAUGAUUAAUCCAAACACAAAAGUGUGUGGAAUCUGCAUCAUGUAUUUUACUCAUCAGUGUUUUGGGACACCGAGUCUUGCAAAAACUCCUUCCAUGUGACUUUGGCAAGAAUCACUCCUUGGCGUUUUAAAUGCUAAAAGGUUUUAGCAUCUUGUCAAUAUGUAUUCAUUGCUUAGCCCCAUUAGGUAAAUCUAUCUCCAUAGAUGAUCAUGCCUAAUAUUGAGGCUAUUUAGCCUAAGCACUUCAUCGAAAAACUAUUUUCAAAUGAAGUCCUAAUUCGUGUCAAGAAAUUUAUUUCCAAUUACCAAUGUGCCAAGCACAUAAGGUUUUUAGAAAUAUUAUUACGCUCCCACUUACUUUCUUGAAUUACAAGCAUCUUCGUUACCCAUUGAUGAAGUCAAAACCCCUUUGACCAUUUCAUCAAAACACGAAGAUUCCAACUCCAUUUUGCUCUCUUCUGUCCAUUGCUGGAACUCUGAAGUUUGCAUACCUACUAGCAUCCUCUGGAUCGACAAAUUACUUUGGACUGUAUCAUAUACAAGUCCUAGCUUUCAUUUCCAUCAGAUAGAAAUCCUUUUAUCAUCCAUGUUUCAUAUCUCAUGAUUGAGAUAUGUAUUAAUUGCUAGUUCAACCCGAACCGAGUUUAAGCAUCGCUAUGAUGAAAACAACCUCAUCGUAGUCAACUCUUGAACUUGUUAUUUCAACAAGUCGAGCUUUAUGGAUAAAACAUUUUUAUCCAUAUCAGUUUUAAGUUCCAUAAAUAUUCGUUAGACUCUAAGUCUUUCGAAAGGUGUAUCAAGGUUUUAAUCUUGAAUCACUUAUAUGGAAACUAACUUGGGUUGUAUUGGCAUUUAGCCAAUUCCGGAGUCAGGGCCCAUCAACGCUUCCUUGUGUAUCGUAGGUAUAAUGUUGUCUAACAACAAUAUCUCGUUUGCGCACCUGAGAGGUUUGCACGAGCCUUGCCUACGUGGUUCAGCUGCAAGUUCGACCGAAGUUCAUACAUUUUAUUGUAGAGACUUCCGUAUCAGUCGCAGUAGGAAACUCUGGAAUUACUUCCAAGGUCUCUUUCCUUUGAUCUGAUGACUUAGAUACUGUUUAUCUCGUCGAGUUGCACUAUUCUCCCACUCACCUUUUUGAAAGAACCAUUCUCUUUAAAAGCACACCGUUUCGCGGCAAAACUAUUUGCCUCGGUAUAGUGAGGGAGGAAUACCCAACAUUUUGGUAUAACCUACAAAGUAGCACUUGUAUGAUUUGGAAUAGGUUUGUAACCUUUUACACAAGCCCCAUAUUCCAAAUGUUAAGAAAAGAUAUAACAUGGUUGGGCGUACCAUACCAUGGCUUCAUUUCAACAGACCCGAUGUAGCUCUUUUCAGUGUAAAAGCCGCAGUCUCUAAAGCAUCACUUUAAAAAGGAUAAUGGCAAAUUUAUUUAUGUCAUCUUUGACCUUACCAUGUCAUGAAUGGUUAGAUUACAUCUCCACGGACUUUUCACUUGCAGUGGUGUUCCGGGAGGUGCAAGUUAUGAAACCCCUUUCACAACUCAUCAGACAUUCGCUAAACAUGUAACUCAAAUAUUCCUUUGUGCUAUCAAAUUGCAGAAACAUAAUUUUCUUGUUACAAUAACUUCUAAUUCAUUUUUGAAAACCUUUCGAAUGAUUUCAAAAGAUCCAGACUUACGUCUCAUCAAGUAAAUAUCCAUAUAUCUACUUGAGUCAUUUCUGAAGAUAAAUAAAUCCACCACUAACAACACUUAUCGGACUACACACAUCAAAUGUAUGAUCACUAAUAAGUUUGUUGUUCGUUCCUUAUUGCCUGUGAACGGUAUUUUAGUCACUUCACUUUUCGGAGGAAAGUUGCAAGUGUCAGAUGAUUCAAAAUCAAAAAGACUUAAAAAUCCAUCAUAAUGGAAUUUUCCAUGCGGGUUUCUCCAAUGUGACCAAAUGUAGUGCCACACUUGUGUGGUAUUCUUUUAGUCUUGCGACAUUUAGCGUCAGUGUUAUGGAUGUAUCAUAUUACCCUCAAUAUUCAUAACAUACGUCCCAUCUUGGAUGGAAGCAUGGCCCUUCAUGUUAUUCAUAAUACUUAACAACAAUUGUUGGUUUUAUGAACAACUCUUUUGCAACAAACAUUGUGCAAUGGGCUAGAGUGUAUGAAACUCUAAAAUGAAUUAUGAAAGUAAACCCAGAGGUAUUGUAUUAUUAUCAAUAUUCAUAACAUACAUCUCAUUCAUAAUGAAAGUAUGGCCCUUGUGUUAUUCAUAACAUCGAAAUAAAAGGCUUCUCUUAUGAACAACCUUCUUGCAAGAUACCUUAUGCAAUGGGCUAGAGUUUGUAAAACUCUAAAUGAAUUAUGAAAAUAAAUACAGGCGGCAAUACACCGAUGGAAGGUACAGUAACAUUUACUAUGUUCCCUGUGUAUACCUUAACCUCAUUUCUGGCUAGUCUUUUUAGGCCACAGUAGCUCUUACAGUGAUUCGCAAUUGAAUGCAAUCGAGCGGGUAUCUUUGUGAUUAACUCACAAUACCCAAGAAUUAGUGAUUAACAUGUUUAACCAGAAUUCCCAAGAACUAUAUCUUUGACCAGCCUACUAUACAACAAAAACUUGUAUGACAUUCAUACAUGAGCUGGAUAUUCCAGUCAUCUUUCUUUCUGCCUUUUUACUUCUAACAGUUUAACUUUUAGUAUUUCUCCUACUCGCAAAAGAAGCACCCAACUUAAGAGUGGCGUUAGCCCCGGACUUCCUAGGCGUGUAAGUCAUACUAACACCCUUUGGACACUUCCUUUCUCUUUAAGUUGUUGUUUUAUUCACCUUUCAUUAUAUGACAGGCGUUCUUCUGGAUCCCUUUCCCAACAGUCAAAUGCAUAGUAAACACUUUUACUAAUACUUGCAAACAAACAUUGCUUUGUUUGUAUCUAAAAAUAAUUUUCAGUUCCAUGAAUAUCAUAUAACUAUCCCAACUUUCGAAGUUUGGGUUUCAUGGAAGCAAACAUAUUGCACUUGACUGAAACGGAAUUAUAGCUUUUGGAUCGAAGGACGAGAGUCACAUGAUCCAUAGCUUUAGCGGGAGGAUACGGAAAGCAUGCGAUAGGACAAAGUCCUUCUCGGCACUUUUGAGGACAAUCCUCAUAUUACGUUACCAAUCGUAAAGUUUUAACCAGAUAUUUAACAGUUAUUCAAUUUUAAUAGGGAAGGUGGAAACGCGAGCCAUUAUUCUACAACUAUUUUGCAAGAAACACUUAGACAGUGUUCAUAAUUAAUUGCACUGAGAAUUAAACAUGUUAAUUCAACAGUGCGCUCCCACUCAAAUCAAUAUCUCUCACAAUUAAUUUUGAGUGAUACAAGAUCCAGACUUCAAUUCAUCGCCAUAGAAUCAUCAUCUCAUAACGGGAAUUUAAUCGGUAGGCCAACUUGCCGAUCACAUCUCUAUGUGACUCUUGCUCAUCUUUCGAUGUGUGUGUUCCGAGCUCAGGACGAUCCUGCCAUGAACGUCAAGACAACCAAGUGAUCUUGCUGCGAGGUCUGACCUCACCCGCCUCACACUUCUCUAAUCGUUCGUACCCAUGCAUCCAUGGCGCACCCCGAAAAGAUAGGUGCCGUGACGGUGCUACACUUGGGAGAACACUAACUACUUGAUAUUUUAAGCGAGAGAUCACCCUAAUAAAAGCGACUACCGCGCAAUCAAGAAGGGUGCAUCAUAAGGGAUAAACAUCUCAGGCAAUUCAUAAUAGCAUGAUAUGGUAUAGCCCUUUCUGACGGAGAAGUAUUUCAUUUCUUCGUCUUCGGCAUUCGCAUCGGUGGUCACCUUCACGAAGAUUGCCACCACCUUGUCAAUGCACCAGAUAAUAUUGCUAUCUCUAUAGCUAACAAAAUAAUGCAUUACAACAAGGUAGACACGCAGGUCAUUAAAAUGCAAUCAUAUGGCUCCAGCCAUCAUGUCGAAUCAUGACACGUAGGUCAUGUUAAUCAAAUUACAUCAUAUAGUCAUCUCAUACAUAAUCGAAUUAGUAUGAGCACUGCUAUACCACAUCACAUGCACAUCCUGCAAAACCAAGUUAGACGCCUCUAAUAGGUUUAUGCAAAAUUUUAGUUUACGUGGCUUCUAAGGUUUUGACUUAAACCGCAGCUACCAACGUUUUAUCAUCAAGUAUGAUUAUUCAGGUUUCUAGAUUCACAUCUCGGGGUGUAUGAAACACGGGAUAAUUAAAUCUCGAGCCCCAUACUAAACUUCGUCAUACGCAUGACCCCCGUGCAGAUCAUAUCUGCAAUGCCCUUUCAUCUGCGAAUUUCAUCUUUCUUUUGACUACGGCAGAACCCAAAGAACUGAUAGCACUUCCAUGAUCAAUCAGGAUCACGGAUUGCCAGAACUUUGUCAAAUUCCACCAUGCUGUCUCAAGAUUGAGCAAACGCAAAUUCUAGGGAAGCAACAAGAACCUCGGGUAACAGAUUUCAUCUGUCACCCGCAUAAAUAAUUUUCAGCAAUAGAUCUCAUCUACUACCUAAUUAUAUUAUGCAAUACCCAUACAUCUCCAUGUAUUCUAGAUCGAAACCUGCAUCUACGCAUAGCACGGCUCUUGAUGCCACUUUAGGGGAACGCAGCAGAAAACAAAAAUUUUCUGACCUACGCACCAGCCCAGGACCACUAUGGAGACUGCAUACAUGGUUUGAUCUUUUUCGUUACCGACUCGUAGCGCAGCGGGAAGUAGAGUCGAUGACGAUCGGCGGUGCAGAUCCCCGCAGCUAGGAUUUACAACCUCCCAACCGCGAGGAUGUAUACCCUCAUCUGCUCCUCAGACAGCCCUCCAGGAGGCGGUCGAACAGCCCCCCGGACGGUGUCGCGGACAGCCCUUCGGGAGGACCUUCGAAACUCGAACGGUCACUCGGACAGCCCUUCGGGAGGACCUUCGAAACUCGGACGGUCACACGGACAGCCCUUCGGGAGGCACUCACGAACUAAGACCAAAACUAAAAUAUCUCUACAGAGUUGCACACAUACGGUGUCAUCUAUCCGGCAGGGCUUCGCCGUCCAGAACUAGUUCCUGCCGGAACCCAGACAGCCUUACGGCUCUACGAAACUCUUUUCGUGGGAGGGAGAGAAGAAGCCAGAUAAUGCAUGGCAUGUGUAUGAGAGCAAGGGAUGAGUGUGGAGGGCUGCCCCUCCACCUCUAUUUAUAGGAAAUCCCAAGGGGGUAGGGUAGUUUCACAAAAAACCCAAAAUGCACAUGAAUGAAGUCCUUCCACAAGGACCUAGGAGUGAAACCAAGGAACAAGAGGGUCCCCAAGGGGGGAUACCCCAUGUGGCCGGCCACACCCCCAUGAGGGGCCAAAAAAUGGCUCCUAUCCAUCCAUGUCAUCCCCAAGAUCUUUUGGAGCAAAGCCCCAAAAGGUGGCUUUCCAUAAAGUAACCAUAAAGCUGAUUUUCACUAUUCACGACGACAUUUUUCAGCGUCUGAUCGAACUGAAAAUAUUUAUGUGGGCUAAGAACAUUUCUACACCCACUAAAAUGAUUUUCAACGCGUUCCGAAACAAUUCCGGUUUUAGUGAUUUUCAUCUGCGAAACGCAUCUGAAGUGGCUCCGGCAGCUCCGGAACAUUUCCGGUUUUUAUCUCAGAAAAUUCCAAAAAGCUUCCAGAAUGAUUCUGGCAUCCUCCAAGAAUUAUCAGGCAUGUGCCGAAACCAAUUUGACUUAAUGGUGUAUCCCGAAACAACUUUUCGGUAUCAUCGAAACUUAUCCGAUGACCUCUCUCUGCGGUACGAUUCCGCUGUCCGAAACUUUUCGGUGUCCGAAACUUUUUCGGUGAUUUUCUCUCAGACUCCCUGUCUAGUAUUCAGCAGAUAGAUGACCCUUAAGCGUGUGACCCUAUAGGUUCGGUGAAGUAUAGACAUGACCCGGAACCUCUUCCGAUCAAUGAUCAACAUCGGAGCCGUGGACACCCAUAUUGACCCCUAUACCCACACGAAUAAAUAUUCGAGUGAACCUCCAGUUGCCGUGUGCUAUUCUUGUUGCUUCGCGAUAUGUUACAAAUACCCGAGGUGAGACAUGUUGGCAUUCCCGUGGAUCAACAACUUGUCCACUAUGCUAGUUACCUCGUUACCGGUAUUGUUCUCUUUUCUCGUUAUCGUGUUCCGGCAUCCCCGUGAUCAAAUCACAAAGUGUCUGGCCAGACGAUGAUGGAUACCGUAACACCGAGAGGGCCCAGAGAUAUCUCUCCAUCGUCGGAGGAGCAAAUCCCAAUCUUGAGCUAUCAAGUUACUUGACACACUUUUCCAUGAACCCGUAAGCCGCCGUAAUAGCCACCCAUUUACGGAUGACGUUUAACAAACCCCAAAGUUCAUGAAGCAAGCACGAAGAAACUCGAUACUCUCAUGGUCUAAGGAAUCAUGCAAACGUUAACCAUCUCUUUGUUAUGUACCAAUAAACUUGUGACGAAUGAAUCUCAUAGCAUAACAUCAUGCCGGGUCGAUUCAACACAAAUGUUCUCUUAACAUUAUGCCCUCAAGGUUGCUGACAUAGACAUGCCCAUGAUCAGGAAAACAUAACCAUCAUGCAACACUUGAGCUAGUCUUAGAGGCCAGACUAGGAAUACAUUUUACCGUUUAUUAUUCCACACGUGCAUAUGAGUCUUCCUCCGAGCCUCGUGGUUAUUGCAGACUCGAGAACCAUAGCAGUUAUAGCAUGGAACAUAAACAUAAUUAUGAACUCGGAGCCGUGGACACCCAUAUUGACCCCUAUACCCACACGAAUAAAUAUUCGAGUGAACCUCCAGUUGCCGUGUGCUAUUCCUGUUGCUUCGCGAUAUGUUACAAAUACCCGAGGUGAGACAUGUUGGCAUUCCCGUGGAUCAACAACUUGUCCACUAUGCUAGUUACCUCGUUACCGGUAUUGUUCUCUUUUCUCGUUAUCGUGUUCCGGCAUCCCCGUGAUCAAAUCACAAAGUGUCUGGCCAGACGAUGAUGGAUACCGUAACACCGAGAGGGCCCAGAGAUAUCUCUCCAUCGUCGAAGGAGCAAAUCCCAAUCUUGAGCUAUCAAGUUACUUGACACACUUUUCCAUGAACCCGUAAGCCGCCGUAAUAGCCACCCAUUUACGGAUGACGUUUAACAAACCCCAAAGUUCAUGAAGCAAGCAUGAAGAAACUCGAUACUCUCAUGGUCUAAGGAAUCAUGCAAACGUUAACCAUCUCUGUGUUAUGUACCAAUAAACUUGUGACGAAUGAAUCUCAUAGCAUAACAUCAUGCCGGGUCGAUUCAACACAAAUGUUCUCUUAACAUUAUGCCCUCAAGGUUGCUGACAUAGACAUGCCCAUGAUUAGGAAAACAUAACCAUCAUGCAACACUUGAGCUAGUCUUAGAGGCCAGACUAGGAAUACAUUUUACCGUUUAUUAUUCCACACGUGCAUAUGAGUCUUCCUCCGAGCCUCGUGGUUAUUGCAGACUCGAGAACCAUAGCAGUUAUAGCAUGGAACAUAAACAUAAUUAUGAACUCGGAGAUAAAUAAUAUCAUUUAUUAUUGCCUCUAGGGCAUAUCUCCUACAUUGGCGUAUUUCGAGAUUAUGAUUUGUCACUCUGAUUGUCGGAGAGGUAUCUCUGGGCCCUCUCGGUAAUGCACAUCACUUAAGCCUUGCAAGCAUUGCAACUAAUGAGUUAGUUGUGGGAUGAUGUAUUACGGAACGAGUAAAGAGACUUGCCGGUAACGAGAUUGAACUAGGUAUUGAGAUACCGACGAUCGAAUCUCGGGCAAGUAACAUACCGAUGACAAAGGGAACAACGUAUGUUGUUAUGCAGUUUGACCGAUAAAGAUCUUCGUAGAAUAUGUGGGAGCCAAUAUGAGCAUCAGGGUUCCACUAUUGGUUAUUGACCGGAGACGUGUCUCGGUCAUGUCUACAUAGUUCUCAAACCCGUAGGGUCCGCACGCUUAACGUUUCGAUGACAGUUAUAUUAUGAGUUUAUAUGUUUUGAUGUACCGAAGGUUGUUCGGAGUCCCGGAUGUGAUCACGGACAUGACGAGGAGUCUCGAAAUGGUCGAGACAUGAAGAUCGAUAUAUUGGAAGCCUAUAUUUGGAUAUCGGAAGUGUUCCGGGUGAAAUCGCGAUUUUACCGGAGUACCGGAGGGGUUACCGGAACCCCCCGGGGGUUAAUGGGCCAUAGUGGGGCUUAGUGGAGAUGAGGAGAGGCGGCCAGGGCAAGGGCCGCGCGCCCCUCCCCCUAGUCCUAAUAGGACAAGGAGAGGGGGGCGGCGCCCCCUUUCCUUCCUCUCCUCCACCUCUUUCCCCCUUCUCCUAUUCCAACAAGGAAGGGAGGGAGUCCUACUCCCGGUGGGAGUAGGACUCCUCCUGGCGCGCCUCCUCCCUGGCCGGCCGCACCUCCCCCUUGCUCCUUUAUAUACGGGGGCAGGGGGCACCCCAAGGACACAACAAUUGAUCGUUUGAUCUUUUAGCCGUGUGCGGUGCCCCCCUCCACCAUAGUCCACCUCGAUAAUACUGUAGCGGUGCUUAGGCGAAGCCCUGCAUCGGUAGAACAUCAUCAUCGUCACCACGCCGUCGUGCUGACGAAACUCUCCCUCAACACUCGGCUGGAUCGGAGUUCGAGGGACAUCAUCGGGCUGAACGUGUGCUGAACUCGGAGGUGUCGUGCGUUCGGUACUUGAUCGGUCGGAUCGUGAAGACGUACGACUACAUCAACCGCGUUGUGCUAACGCUUCCGCUUUCGGUCUACGAGGGUACGUGGACAACACUCUCCCCUCUCGUUGCUAUGCAUCACCAUGAUCUUGCGUGUGCGUAGGAAUUUUUUUGAAAUUACUACGUUCCCCAACAGUGGCAUCCGAGCCAGGUUCUAUGCGUUGAUGUUAUAUGCACGAGUAGAACACAAGUGAGUUGUGGGCGAUAUAAGUCAUACUGCUUACCAGCAUGUCAUGCCUUGGUUCGGCGGUAUUGUUGGAUGAAGCGGCCCGGGCCGACAUUACGCGUACGCUUACGCGAGACUGGUUCUACCGACGUGCUUUGCACACAGGUGGCUGGCGGGUGUCAGUUUCUCCAACUUUAGUUGAACCGAGUGUGGCUACACCCGGUCCUUGCGAAGGUUAAAACAGCACCAACUUGACAAACUAUCGUUGUGGUUUUGAUGCGUAGGUAAGAACGGUUCUUGCUAAGCCCGUAGCAGCCACGUAAAAUUUGCAACAACAAAGUAGAGGACGUCUAACUUGUUUUUGCAGGGCAUGUUGUGAUGUGAUAUGGUCAAGACAUGAUGCUAAAUUCUAUUGUAUGAGAUGAUCAUGUUUUGUAACCGAGUUAUCGGCAACUGGCAGAAGCCAUAUGGUUGUCGCUUUAUUGUAUGCAAUGCAAUCGCCCUGUAAUGCUUUACUUUAUCACUAAGCGGUAGCGAUAGUCGUAGAAGCAUAAGAUUGGCGAGACGACAACGAUGCUACGAUGAAGAUCAAGGUGUCGCGCCGGUGACGAUGGUGAUCAUGACGGUGCUUCGGAGAUGGAGAUCACAAGCACAAGAUGAUGAUGGCCAUAUCAUAUCACUUAUAUUGAUUGCAUGUGAUGUUUAUUUUUUAUGCAUCUUAUCUUGCUUUGGUUGACGGUAGCAUUAUAAGAUGAUCCCUCACUAAAUUAUCAAAGUAUAAGUGUUCUCCCUGAGUAUGCACCGUUGCGAAAGUUCUUCGUGCUGAGACACCACGUGAUGAUCGGGUGUGAUAGGCUCUAUGUUCAAAUACAACGGGUGCAAAACAGUUGCACACGCGGAAUACUCAGGUUAAGCUUGACGAGCCUAGCAUAUAACAGAUAUGGCCUCGGAACACGGAGACUGAAAGGUCGAGCGUGAAUCAUAUACACUAGUAGAAAAAGGGCCUAUUGUCCCGGUUCGUGAGGGCCUUCUGUCCCGGUUUGUGAACCGGGACUAAAAAGUCGUUACUAAUGCCCUUGGCCUUUAGUUCCGGUUCUUACACGAACCGGGACAGAAGGUCCUCCACGUGGCCGAUGCGGCCAGCCCAGGACGGGGGCCUUAGGUCCCGGUUGGUGACACCAACCGGGACCAAUAGGCAUCCACGUGUCAGCAUCUGGCUGGAGCUGAGGUUUUUUCUGAAAGGGGCUGAUUUAGGGGUUUUGGGGGUUAAUUUAGGAUGUGCUUGCUGCCACUACUAGGAAAAGGCCUACUAGUGGCGCACCAGUUUUGCCUACUAAUGGCGCACUACUAGUGCGCCACUAGUACCAUGCCACUAGUAUUAAAUACUAAUGGCGCACCACUGGUGCGCCAUUAGUAUCUGGUAUACUAAUGGCACAUCACGCCGUGCGCCAUUAGUAUAGACCAACAUGCGCCAUUAGUGUGCCUCCCAGGGGGCGAUAUUUACACAUGUGCUUUGCCAUACUAAUGGCGCACUGUGGGAUGAUGCGCCAUUGCUAUUUUUGAAUUUUGAAUUUGGAUCUGGAUCGCGAUUUUUUUGCCCAUUUUUUGCUCUUUUUUUGCACGAUAUUUUUUCAAAUUUUGUUCUCGUUUUUGGAUCUUGUACGUUCUUUUGCCGUGUUCUUUUGCCAGGGAGGAGUUCGCCGGAGAGGAGGGCUGAGGUCACCGGAGAGGAGGAGGAGGAGGUCACCGGAGAGGCGCUCGCCUACAUCGCCGGAGAGGAGGAGGAGGUCGCCGGAGAGGAGUUCAUCGGAGCAUCGGAGGGGAGGAAGGAGAAACCAUGAGGGGAGGGGAGGAGAGGAGAGGAGGAGCUCACCGGAGAGGAGAGGAGGAGCUCACCGGAGAGGAGGGAGGANNNNNNNNNNNNNNNNNNNNNNNNNNNNNNNNNNNNNNNNNNNNNNNNNNNNNNNNNNNNNNNNNNNNNNNNNNNNNNNNNNNNNNNNNNNNNNNNNNNNNNNNNNNNNNNNNNNNNNNNNNNNNNNNNNNNNNNNNNNNNNNNNNNNNNNNNNNNNNNNNNNNNNNNNNNNNNNNNNNNNNNNNNNNNNNNNNNNNNNNNNNNNNNNNNNNNNNNNNNNNNNNNNNNNNNNNNNNNNNNNNNNNNNNNNNNNNNNNNNNNNNNNNNNNNNNNNNNNNNNNNNNNNNNNNNNNNNNNNNNNNNNNNNNNNNNNNNNNNNNNNNNNNNNNNNNNNNNNNNNNNNNNNNNNNNNNNNNNNNNNNNNNNNNNNNNNGGAGAAACCGUGAGGUGAGGGGAGGAGGGAGGAGGAGGUCGCCGGAGAGGAGGAGGAGGAGGUUGCCGGAGAGGAGGAGGAGGUCGCCGGAGAGGAGGAGGGGAGUAUGGUGGAGGAGAGAAGGGAAGAUGGAGUGGAGGAGAGGUGGAGUGGAGCGGAGGAGAACAAUGAAGAGGUAAGGAGGAGAGGACCCCGCCCAGCCAUAUAUACGGCAUAGUAAUGGCGCAUCAUGGGCAGGUGCGCCAUUACUAACUUUUUUUUUUGAUUUAUUUUGAAUUUUGAAGGCGGGAAGAUAGUAAUGGCGCACCGUGGGCAGGUGCGCCAUUACUAACUUUAUUUUUAUUUUUUUGAUAUAGUUUGAAUUUUGAAGGCGGGAAGAUAGUAAUGGCGCACCAUGGGCAGGUGCGCCAUUACUGAGUUUUUUUUUUUGAUUUUUUUGCCUCUCCAGAUCUUAAAAGCCCCGUAACUUUUUUUCUGUUAGGUUUUUGAGGAUUCUGAAAAUGUUUAACGGGGUUCCCCCGUUAAAUUCGGAUGUAUCUUUUCGCAUAGAUGAUUUUUCAUAUAAAAAACUUUUUAAUCCGAGUUCGUAUGCAAAAGUUAUGCCCAUUUUACAAAUCCAGAGAGAUUUUGCAAAUAAAGUCGAAAUUCAUAUUUGUAAAUUUUCCCAACAAGUAGACCACAUAUCACAUGGGAAACUUAUUUUCUUUUAUUUUUUUGACAUUUCCAUCAUUUUCUUUUAUUUUUUCUAAAACUGAAAAGGCGGUCCGGGGGGUGUGCAUUCGGUGGAUUUUUUGGGGGCAAGUUACUAAUGGCGCACCGUGGGAGUGGUGCGCCAUUACUAGUUCAACUAGUAAUGGCGCACCACACACACGGUGCGCCAUUAGUAGUUUUGAAAAAAAAAUUGAAUUUUUUUUACUAGUGGCGCACCGUGGAUGUGAUGCGCCAUUAGUAUUUGGACACUAAUGGCGCACCAACACAUGAUGCGCCACUGCUAUAUAGUAGUGGCGCACCACAUGUCUGGUGCGCCAUUAGUGUCCAUAUCAUCUAUAGCCCUUUUCCUAGUAGUGUGCUGUUGACUUUGAUCUGAGGUUCACAUAUGUGCUGGCUGGCUGGGAGGGGUCAGCGCAUGAUGCAAACAUUCUCACUGACAGCAUGAGUCGACCUGAUGGGAUCAACAUCCCCGACGACAAGUUCUACCUUGGAGAUGCUGGCUAUGCAUGUCGGCCGGGUGUUCUUCCACCCUUCAGGAAAACCAGAUACCAUCUCAACGAGUUAUCUGGUAGGAACUUUCCUAGGACUGCACAGGAGCUGCUUAAUCUCAGACACUCCAGCCUUAGAGUAACUGUUGAGAGGGCAUUUGGAGCUCUGAAGAAUAGGUUUAAGAUCCUGGAUCAGAAGCCAUUCCACCCAUACCCCAUUCAGGUUAAGCUAGUUCUUGCUUGUUGCAUUCUGCAUAACUGGAUCCUUCAGUGGGGCUUUGAUGAACACGUGCCUGAGGAGGAAGAGGUCGAGCCUGACGAUGUUGUUAGCUCUGGCCAUGGUGUGGAUGCAUUUGACAAUGACGGUUGGAAGAACAAAAGGUUGGAGUGGACAGAGGCAAUGUGGCUUAACAGAGGUCAGUGCAGGAUUUGAAGAAGAGGAAGAAGAAACAGCAGCAGCAGAAGCACAGAAGAAGAGGAAGAAGAAGCAACAGCAGAAGCAGAAGAGGAAGAUGAAGCAGCAACACCGAUGAACUAUCCCCUAUUUAGCCAAUGGCUCUUAAUAAUUUGAUCUGUCAUUUGAUUGUAGUUAGGAUGAACUGUCAUUUGUUUAACUAGCUGGCACUAUGUUCAGAUUGUGUGUGGUAAGGUCACCAUUAGAUAGAAGUGGUGACAACAUCUUAUGCAGGUUGCAACCAAACACCAUAUCAUAUGUGCACCUAAUGCAAUGCGGGCAACCAAACGCCGGGUCAAAAAUGUUUGUCUCAUGUAACUAGGAGCAUGCAGGCAACCAAACUAUAUGCAUCUGGGUUUUUUUGGCCUGCAUCCCCUCAAACCGGCUCAAUAGAGCCAGGCUCGCCGGGCCAGGCUGAAUCGGCAAUGUAACCAAACACGCACCGGUCGUCGUUCUACCAGAUUUCCGCAAGACAGUUUACUGCUCGCUCCGUCUGUGGGCCGGCCCACUUGGCGUUGCCAGUAGGCGCCGGUUCGCUUCCGCGGUGCCAAACGCGCCGAAUAGGAGCCCCCUGUUGGCGGCAAAAGCAAGCAUAUCGCGCCUUUGCUCCCACGACCAUUUCGUUCCAUCUCGGGCCAACAGCCCAACACCACAUGCAGAUCAGCAGCACUAGUCCCCUAAUGAAAAAAUAAAAUCAGCAGCACCAGCACUCUAGCAGGAACGCACGCCUCCACGAUCCGCCUCGCUCGUAGCGAACCAAUCACAGCAGGCGAACCACCACCCCACGGAUCGCUACCUCGACACCAGAUCUCGACCGUCCACGCACCAAAAAUCCAACGCUCCACUCCCACCUUCCCUUCCCUCCCGAAAAAGCGAAGCUCACGAAAAUUACCCCGCCCACUCGGCGCGCGCCGCCUAUUUAGCACCGGUCCCUCCCCUCCGUCCUCCUCACCCCAAUCCCUCCUCCUCAAGCACCAGAACCCCCUCCCCCUCCCUCCUCAGCCUCCCGGCGCAUCGAGCCAUGGCCCGCACCAAGCAGACGGCGAGGAAGUCCACCGGCGGCAAGGCGCCGAGGAAGCAGCUGGCCACCAAGGCCGCCCGCAAGUCCGCCCCGGCCACCGGCGGCGUCAAGAAGCCCCACCGCUUCCGCCCCGGCACCGUCGCGCUCCGCGAGAUCCGCAAGUACCAGAAGAGCACGGAGCUGCUCAUCCGCAAGCUCCCCUUCCAGCGCCUCGUCCGCGAGAUCGCCCAGGACUUCAAGACCGACCUCCGCUUCCAGUCCUCCGCCGUCUCCGCACUGCAGGAGGCCGCCGAGGCCUACCUCGUCGGCCUCUUCGAGGACACCAACCUCUGCGCCAUCCACGCCAAGCGCGUCACCAUCAUGCCCAAGGACAUCCAGCUCGCCCGCCGCAUCCGUGGCGAGAGGGCCUAGGCUGCUCCGUGCGCGUCGUCGUGUGUUAGAUCCACCUUAGCCGUUGUUCAGCGGUCGAGAUGUGCGUGCUCGUAGUGUUUGUUUGUGCCAUGGUGGAUGUAGUGUGCCUGAUCUGAUGUCACCAUCUUGCUGUCAUCAGUAAUUUAAAUGAAAAUGUUGGCGGUCUGUUCUAAGAUCUGUUCAUUUUGAUGCCUGUUUUUGCUUGUUUGUGAGCCUGUCAGUGAAUGUGAUUCACCAAAUUGUGCAUUAUAUUAUUCCAACUCGUGAAAUUUUCUGCCAGUUUAAUCUACUGUGUCUUAAAUUGCUUCAAGUUUUUAGCUUAAUUGAUGCCUUUGACUAUUAAAUUUCGUCAUCAGUAGUAAUUUUGUUGACUGCCUCUGAACCUGAAUGAACAGCCGCAGCUGUUUUAUCAUGUUAUUACUUUUUACUCCCUGUGACUGUAAAUAACCCUCACCUGUACCAUGAUGCUAACAACGGGUAAAAUAGGAUAUAGACAAGAGAUUUUUAUAUUUUGCACUGCUCAUAGAGUACAUACUGUUUUUGAUACAACUGUAUCAAAUUUGAUGUCGCAUGCCAUGAUCCAUCUGAUGGAUUUCUUGCACCUGCAAAUGACCGCGUCAUGAUAUUGUCAACAGUGUGGUCGAAGUAGAAGGUGCAAUUAGAGAUGAUGCAGUGAAACUGCUGCAGAUCAGUAAGGUGAACAUAUGUUGGGCGAUAUUUUCAGUAAUUUAAUGCUGGAAUGAUAUCCUGUAGCGAAAGAGGAUUAUAGUCUGUCUAUAACUGCUUUGAUCUUGUCCAUAAUGCUUCCCCUGCAGAGCAAAAAGGUGUGCCAGAUUUCUUGUUGAAUGCAACGAAGAACUAUGAAAUACUAGCAAAGGUGAGAGAGAGACCGCAUGUUUUUGCAAUUGAAAUUCCUUCUUUGAACUGCAGAACGUGUUUUUGUUCUAACCUGUCUUAAGAUCCAUUUGCCUAUGAUUCUGUUGGCAUCUAGUUUAUGGUUUACAUGUAUCCACAGACCCGAGAGGGAUGAUGAAGCUCUUGAUAUCAGAUGGUACAUAAUUAAUGUUAUCAAAUGGUCACUGCAAAAUUGAGCUAAUGGGUUCUAAAAUGCUUUGAUUUAUAUUUUAGCUUAAAUGUUGCCCUGGCUGCUUCAAACCACGUAUUCAGUAAUCUGGUUUGCUGCCUCUGAACCUGAACGAACAGCAUGCUAAUAUUCUCGUCUUAACAGUAUCAGUACUUUUUAUGUUUGGUGCACAGAUUCAUGUUGAAGUCAUCCCUCUUUUCUAAUGAUACAACAAUUGUCUUAACCCUAUUGCAAUAUCUGCUGCUCAUGCAUUACAUACUGUUUUUAAUACUUCCAUGGACGCCUGCCAUUUCGCUAAUCGUAGCAUGCAGCAUUACUAGCCCUUUUAUCAUAGGAAAAUAGUGGAGUGACUUGUGAAUUUUGUGAUGAAUCGCUGUUUCAUUGGCAUCUUGUCUGGCACUUCGACUCGAUCCCCUGCUUAUUCGGCUUUGGGGAGGAGUUCCCUUAACUUCUGCUGCCGGUAUUGCUUUCUCCUUUGCGUUUCCUUGGUUUUGUUAUGAUAGUGUGCUGUUCCUUUUCGAGACUAGGGUAACACAUCACCAUUGGCAACGUCUCGAGUCUCUUGGCUAGAUGGCAGCGGGCAGUGCCAGGUGAGUGUAUUUAUUACUCCUGGCCCUUCACUUGUGCUGUGUGAUGUUUGACUGAACUAGAAUGGGCUUGCUUGUUUACUGAUUCUUAUACCUUGAGUUGAGUAUCACGUACACGAAGCUGACUGCUGCUGCUUCUUUUUAUUCAGGAGUUCAGGGUGUAUUUCUGAGGGGGUCGUAUUACGUACUUCUGAUUGAGUUGAGUUUCUUCUGCUGUAUUAUUGAUGUAACUUCAAGUCCCUGCUUGAGAUGUAUGUUUGUAGAACUUUUGAUUGAUCAUUUACAUCCAAGUAUGAUUAAACUUUACAAAGUUCUGUAAUGGCAUGGAAUUAGCUUGUUACAAGGAUAUAAAUCAAAAAAUCAUGUAAGUAUCAUCAUAAAUAAGAAACAUGUUAUAUAGAUGGUACAUUCCUAAAUCUAGUAGACCGACGAACGCCCCAUCUUAUAGCUAAUACUUCACCCAAGGUGCUCAAAACCCUCAUGAAUUCACCCCAACAAGAAGUCAAAUAGGGAAUUCCGUUAAACAAGAUGGCAUAUCGUUGAAAGAAAUCCAUCUCACAAACCGCAGUAGAAACCUUUUGUACUUAGUGCGAGUCUAAGCUUUUCCUCUCAUUGCCACUGAGAGCUUGUCAUAAAUCAGGGACCUACUCCAUCUACUGACCUAUCAUCUAACCAAGUCAACGAAUAUUCUAACGAAUAUGAUAACAAUAUGCAUCUAUAAAUUAUUCAAUAAAACAUCAUUGAUCUGAUCAUAAAUUAAUUAUUCAUCACAUAGUAAUAAGGAUUUUUAAGUGGGAAAUCACUUGUGGAAAAAAUCCACUCAUGUGAUAUUUGUAUUGAAGGAUGGAGAGACGAUAUGCUAGAUAACAGCAACUACGAACGGGGGGAGCAUUGGAGGAUUAUAUUUUAGUAAGAUGGAGGUGAAUUGCCCCUCAGCUAGUGUAAAUGCGCAGGGUUGCAGAUGAGUUUCACCUCGGAUCACGAAAUGGCGACGGUGGGAAAUUGGAAGAUAAAUCAUGGAAGGGUUUUAGUGUUGGGAAUCGUUGCAUGGAAAACAAAUUUUUUUCUACGCACACGCAAUGACCUAUCCAUGGAGAUGCAUAGCAACGAGGAGGAGAGUAUGUCUACGUACCCUCAUAGACCGUAAGCGGAAGCGUUUGACAACGCGGUUGAUGUAGUCGAACUUUCUUCACAAUCCAACCGAUCGAGUACCGAACGUACGGCACCUCCGCGUUCAGCACACGUUCAGCUCGGUGACGUCCGCGCCUUCUUGAUCCAGCAAGAUGGCGAGGUAGUGGAUGAGUUCCGGCAGCACGACGGCGUGGUGACGGUGAUGGUGAAGUUAUCUCCGCAGGGCUUCGCACUACGAAAAUAUGACCGGGGGUGUAAACGGUGGAGGAGGGCGCUACACACGGCUAGGCAAUUGUCUGUUGUGUGCUAGGCGCCCCCCUCCCACAUAUACAUAGGUGGGAGGGAGGGAGGAGCAGCCAAAGGAGGCGCCCAAGUAGGAGGAAUCCUACUUGGGGUCCCUCCCAAGCCGCCCCCUGCCAUAUAUAAACAAGGGGGAAGGAAAGAGGGGGGGGGGGAGGGAAGGAAGGGGGAGUCCUACUCCACACUUUUCUUUCCCUCCCCUCUUUCCUUCUCCUACUCAUACAGCCGGCCUCUAUAGGGGCGCACCAGCCCCUUGUGGGUUGGUGUGUUCCCUCACUGGGCCCAUAAGGCCCAUAUCUUUGCCGGGGGUGCCCGAAACUCCUUUUCGGUGACUCGAUAAGUACCCGGUACCCCCGAAACACUUCCGGUGUCCGAAUACCACGUUCUAUAUAUCAAUCUUUACCUCUCGACCAUUUAGAGACUCCUCGUCCGGGACUCCGAACAACAUUCGGUCACCAAAACAUAUAACUCAUAUAAUACUAUAUCGUCAACGAACGUUAAGCGUGCGGACCCUACGGGUUCGAGAACUAUGUAGACAUGACCGAGACACCUCUCUGGUCAAUAACCAGUAGCGGAACCUGGAUGCCCAUAUUGGCUCCUACAUAUUCUACGUAGAUCUUUAUCGGUCAAACCGUUAUGACAACAUGCGUAAUUCCCUUUGUCUAUCGGUAUGUUACUUGCCCGAGAUUCGAUCGUCGGUAUCUUCAUACCUAGUUCAAUCUCGUUACCGGCAAGUCUCUUUACUCGUUCCGUAAUACAUCACCUCGCGACUAACUCCUUAGUCAUUUGCUUGCAAGCUUAUGAUGUGUAUUACCGAGAGGGCCGAGAGAUACCUCUCCGAUACUCGGAGUGACAAAUCCUAAUCUCGAUCUAUGCUAACUCAACAAACACCUUCAGAGAUACCAGUAGAGCAUCUUUAUGAUAUCCCAAUUACGUUGUGACGUUUGAUAGCACACAAGGUAUUCCUCCGGUAUCCGGGAGUUGCAUAUGUUGGAGAUCGUUGCAGAAAUUAAAAAAAUUUCUACGCAUCACCAAGAACAAUCUAUGGAGUCUUCUAGCAACGAGAGGGAAAAGAGUGCAUCUACAUACCCUUGUAGAUCGCGCGCGGAAGCGUUCAAGAGAACGAGGUUGAUGGAGUCGUACUCGUCGUGAUCCAAAUCACCGAUGAUCCUAGCGCCGAACGGACGGCACCUCCGCGUUCAACACACGUACGGAGCGGGGACGUCUCCUCCUUCUUGAUCCAGCAAAGGGGAAGGAGAAGUUGAUGGAGAUCCAGCAGCACGACGGCGUGGUGGUGGAAGUAGCGGGAUCCCGGCAGGGCUUCGCCAAGCGCAAGCGGGGAGGAAGAGGUGUCACGGGAGGGAGGGAGGCGCCAGGGCUUGGGGUGCUGCUCCCAUGCGCCUCCCCACUAUAUAUAGGGGUGGAGUGUUGGGAAUCGUAGCAUAAUUUUAAAAUUUUCCUACGCUCACCAAGAUGCAUCUAUGGAGUCUACUAGCAACGAGGGGAAGGGAGUGCAUCUACAUACCGUUGUAGAUCGCGAGCGGAAGCGUUCCAAUGAACGUGGAUGACGGAGUCGUACUCGCCGUGAUCCAAAUCACCGAUGACCGAGUGCCGAACGUACGGCACCUCCGCGUUCAACACACGUACGGUGCAGCGACGUCUCCUCCUUUCUUGAUCCAGCAAGGGGGGAGGAGAGGUUGAUGGAGAUCCAACAGCACGACGGCGUGGUGGUGGAUGUAGCGGCUCUCUGGCAGGGCUUCGCCGAGCUUCUGCGCGCGAGAGAGAGGUGUUGCAGGGGAGGAGGGAGGCGCCAAAGGCUGUAGUGUCCUGCCCUCCCUCCCCCCCUUUAUAUAGGCCCCCUGGGGGGUGCGCAGCCCUAGGAGAUGGGAUCUCCAAGGGGGGGCGGCGGCCAAAGGGGGGAAGGGGUUGCCUUGCCCCCCAAGGCAAGGGGGAACUCCCCCCUAGGGUUCCCAACCCUAGGCGCAUGGGGGGGGAGGCCCAAGGAGGCGCCCCAGCCCACUAGGGGCUGGUUCCCCUCCACUUUCAGCCCACGGGGCCCUCCGGGACAGGUGGCCCCACCCGGUGGACCCCCGGGACCCUUCCGGUGGUCCCGGUACAAUACCGAUAACCCCCGAAACUUUCCCGGUGGCCGAAACUGGACUUCCUAUAUAUAAUUCUUCACCCCCGGACCAUUCCGGAACCUCUCGUGACGUCCGGGAUCUCAUCCGGGACUCCGAACAACUUUCGGGUUUCCGCAUACAUAUAUCUCUACAACCCUAGCGUCACCGGACCUUAAGUGUGUAGACCCUACGGGUUCGGGAGACAUGCAGACAUGACCGAGACGCCUCUCCGGUCAAUAACCAACAGCGGGAUCUGGAUACCCAUGUUGGCUCCCACAUGUUCCACGAUGAUAUCAUCGGGUGAACCACGGUGUCGAGGAUUCAAUCAAUCCGUAUGCAAUUCCCUUUGUCAAUCGGUAUGUUACUUGCCCGAGAUUCGAUCGUCGGUAUCCCAAUACCUUGUUCAAUCUCGUUACCGGCAAGUCUCUUUACUCGUACCGCAAUGCAUGAUCCCGUGACCAACGCCUUAGUCACAUUGAGCUCAUUAUGAUGAUGCAUUACCGAGUGGGCCCAGAGAUACCUCUCCGUCACACGGAGUGACAAAUCCCAGUCUCGAUCCGUGCCAACCCAACAGACACUUUCGGAGAUACCCGUAAUGCACCUUUAUAGUCACCCAGUUACGUUGUGACGUUUGGCACACCCAAAGCACUCCUACGGUAUCCGGGAGUUGCACGAUCUCAUGGUCUAAGGAAAAGAUACUUGACAUUGGAAAAGCUCUAGCAAACGAAACUACACGAUCUUUUAUGCUAUGCUUAGGUUGGGUCUUGUCCAUCACAUCAUUCUCCUAAUGAUGUGAUCCCGUUAUCAGUGACAUCCUAUGUCCAUAGUCAGGAAACCAUGACUAUCUAUUGAUCAACGAGCUAGUCAACUAGAGGCUUACUAGGGACAGUGUGUGGUCUAUGUAUUCACACAUGUAUUACGAUUUCCGGACAAUACAAUUAUAGCAUGAAUAAUAGACUAUUAUCAUGAACACAGAAAUACAAUAAUAACCAUUUAUUAUUGCCUCUAGGGCAUAUUUCCAACAGUCUCCCACUUGCACUAGAGUCAAUAAUCUAGUUACAUUGUGAUGAAUCGAACACCCAUUGCGUCCUGGUGUUGAUCAUGUUUUGCCCUAGGGAGAGGUUUAGUCAACGGAUCUGCUACAUUCAGGUCCGUGUGUACUUUACAAAUAUCUAUAUCUCCAUUUUGAACACUUUCACGAAUGGAGUUGAAGCGACGCUUGAUAUGCCUGGUCUUCCUGUGAAACCUGGGCUCCUUCGCAAGGGCAAUAGCUCCAGUGUUGUCACAGAAGAGAGUCAUCGGGCCCGACGCAUUGGGAAUCACCCCUAGGUCGGUAAUGAACUCCUUCAUCCAGACUGCUUCCUGUGCUGCCUCCGAGGCUGCCAUGUAUUCCGCUUCACAUGUAGAUCCCGCCACGACGCUUUGCUUGCAACUGCACCAGCUUACUGCUCCUCUAUUCAAAAUAUACACGUAUCCGGUCUGUGACUUCGAGUCAUCCGGAUCUGUGUCGAAGCUAGCGUCGACGUAACCCUUUACGACGAGCUCUUCGUCACCUCCAUAAACGAGAAACAUAUCCUUAGUCCUCUUCAGGUACUUCAGGAUAUUCUUGACCGCUGUCCAGUGUUCCUUGCCGGGAUUACUUUGGUACCUUCCUACCAAACUUACGGCAAGGUUUACAUCAGGUCUGGUACACAGCAUGGCAUACAUAAUAGACCCUAUGGCCGAGGCAUAGGGGAUGACACUCAUCUCUUCUAUAUCUUCUGCCGUGAUCGGGCAUUGAGCCGUGCUCAAUUGCACACCUUGCAAUACAGGCAAGAACCCCUUCUUGGACUGAUCCAUACUGAACUUCUUCAAUAUCUUGUCAAGGUAUGUACUCUGUGAAAGACCAAUGAGGCGUCUUGAUCUAUCUCUAUAGAUCUUGAUGCCUAAUAUAUAAGCAGCUUCUCCAAGGUCCUUCAUUGAAAAACAUUUAUUCAAAUAGGCCUUUAUACUUUCCAAGAAUUCUAUAUCAUUUCCCAUCAAUAAUAUGUCAUCCACAUAUAAUAUGAGAAAUGCUACAGAGCUCCCACUCACUUUCUUGUAAACACAGGCUUCUCCAUAAGUCUGUGUAAAUCCAAACGCUUUGAUCAUCUCAUCAAAGCGAAUGUUCCAACUCCGAGAUGCUUGCACCAGCCCAUAGAUUGAGCGCUGGAGCUUGCAUACUUUGUUAGCAUUCUUAGGAUCGACAAAACCUUCCGGCUGCAUCAUAUACAACUCUUCCUUAAGGAAGCCGUUAAGGAAUGCCGUUUUGACGUCCAUCUGCCAUAUCUCAUAAUCAUAGUAUGCGGCAAUUGCUAACAUGAUUCGGACGGACUUCAGCUUCGCUACGGGUGAGAAAGUCUCAUCGUAGUCAGCCCCUUGAACUUGUCGAUAACCCUUAGCGACAAGUCGAGCUUUGUAGAUGGUCACAUUACCAUCUGCGUCCGUCUUCUUAAAGAUCCAUUUGUUUUCUAUGGCUCGCCGCUCAUCGGGCAAGUCACUCAAAGUCCAUACUUUGUUUUCAUACAUGGAUUCUAUCUCGGAUUUCAUGGCUUCUAGCCAUUUGUCGGAAUCUGGGCCCGCCAUCGCUUCUUCAUAGUUCGAAGGUUCACCGUUGUCUAACAACAUGAUUUCCAAGACAGGGUUGCCGUACCACUCUGGUGCGGAACGUGUCCUUGUGGACCUACGAAGUUCAGUAACUUGAUCUGAAGUUUCAUGAUCAUCAUCAUUAACUUCCUCCCCAGUCGGUGUAGGCACCACAGGAACAUUUUCCCGCGCUGCGCUACUUUCCGGUUCGGAAGGGGUGACUAUCACCUCAUCAAGUUCCACUUUCCUCCCACUCAAUUCUUUCGAGAGAAACUCCUUCUCUAGAAAGGACCCGUUCUUGGCAACGAAGAUCUUGCCUUCGGAUUUGAGGUAGAAGGUAUACCCAAUAGUUUCCUUAGGGUAUCCUAUGAAGACGCAUUUUUCCGAUUUGGGUUCGAGCUUUUCAGGUUGAAGUUUCUUGACAUAAGCAUCGCAUCCCCAAACUUUUAGAAACGACAGCUUAGGUUUCUUCCCAAACCAUAAUUCAUACGGUGUCGUCUCAACGGAUUUAGAUGGUGCCCUAUUUAAAGUGAAUGCGGCAGUCUCUAAAGCAUAACCCCAAAAUGAGAGCGGUAAAUCGGUAAGAGACAUCAUAGAUCGCACCAUAUCCAAUAGAGUGCGAUUACGACGUUCGGACACACCAUUUCUCUGAGGUGUUCCAGGCGGCGUGAGUUGUGAAACUAUUCCACAUUUCCUUAAGUGUGUACCAAAUUCGUGACUUAAAUAUUCUCCACCACGAUCUGAUCGUAAGAAUUUUAUUUUCCUGUCACGUUGAUUCUCGACUUCACUCUGAAAUUCCUUGAACUUUUCAAAGGUUUCAGACUUGUGUUUCAUUAGGUAGACAUACCCAUAUCUACUCAAAUCAUCAGUGAGAGUGAGAACAUAACGAUAUCCUCCGCGAGCCUCAACACUCAUUGGACCGCACACAUCGGUAUGCAUGAUUUCCAAUAAGUUGGUUGCUCGCUCCAUUGUUCCGGAGAACGGAGUCUUGGUCAUCUUACCCAUGAGGCAUGGUUCGCACGUGUCAAAUGAUUCGUAAUCAAGAGACUCCAAAAGUCCAUCUGCAUGGAGCUUCUUCAUGCGUUUGACACCAAUGUGACCAAGGCGGCAGUGCCACAAGUAUGUGGGACUAUCGUUAUCAACUUUACAUCUUUUGGUAUUCACACUAUGAACAUGUGUAACAUCACGUUCGAGAUUCAUCAAAAAUAAACCAUUGACCAGCGGGGCAUGACCAUAAAACAUAUCUCUCAAAUAAAUAGAACAACCAUUAUUCUCAGAUUUAAAUGAGUAGCCAUCUCGAAUUAAACGAGAUCCAGAUACAAUGUUCAUGCUCAAAGCUGGCACUAAAUAACAAUUAUUGAGGUUUAUAACUAAUCCCGUGGGUAGAUGCAGAGGUAGCGUGCCGACGCGAUCACAUCGACCUUGGAACCAUUCCCGACGCGCAUCGUCACCUCGUCUUUUGCCAGUCUCCGUUUAUUCCGUAGUUCCUGAUUUGAGUUACAAAUAUGAGCAACCGCACCGGUAUCAAAUACCCAGGAGCUACUACGAGUACUGGUAAGGUACACAUCAAUUACUUGUAUAUCACAUAUACCUUGGGUGUUGCCGGCCUUCUUCUUGUCCGCUAAAUAUUUGGGGCAGUUCCGCUUCCAGUGACCACUUCCCUUGCAAUAAAAGCACUCAGUCUCGGGCUUGGGUCCAUUCUUUGACUUCUUCCCGGUAACUGGCUUACCGGGCGCGGCAACUCCCUUGCCGUCCUUCUUGAAGUUCUUCUUACCCUUGCCCUUUUUGAACUUAGUGGUUUUAUUCACCAUCAACACUUGAUGUUCUUUGCUGAUCUCUACCUCAGCUGAUUUCAGCAUUGAAUAUACCUCGGGAAUGGUCUUUUCCAUCCCCUGCAUAUUGUAGUUCAUCACAAAGCUCUUGUAGCUUGGUGGAAGCGACUGGAGGAUUCUGUCAAUGACCGCGUCAUCCGGGAGAUUAACUCCCAGCUGAGACAAGCGGUUGUGCAACCCAGACAUUCUGAGUAUGUGCUCACUAACAGAACUGUUCUCCUCCAUUUUACAGCUGAAGAACUUGUCGGAGACAUCAUAUCUCUCGACCCGGGCAUGAGCUUGAAAAACCAGUUUCAGCUCCUCGAACAUCUCAUAUGCUCCAUGUUUCUCAAAACGCUUUUGGAGACCCGGUUCUAAGCUGUAAAGCAUGCCGCACUGAACGAGGGAGUAAUCAUCAGCACGCUGCUGCCAAGCGUUCAUAACGUCUUGGUUCUCAGGGAUUGGUGCUUCACCUAGCGGUGCUUCUAAGACAUAAUCUUUCUUGGCUGCUAUGAGGAUGAUCCUCAGGUUCCGGACCCAGUCCGUGUAGUUGCUGCCAUCAUCUUUCAGCUUGGUUUUCUCUAGGAACGCGUUGAAAUUGAGGACAACGUGGGCCAUUUGAUCUACAAUACAUAAUGUAAAGAUUUUAGACUAAGUUCAUGAUAAUAAAGUUCAUAUAAUCAAAUUAUUUAAUGAACUCCCACUCAGAUAGACAUCCCUCUAGUCAUCUAAGUGAAACAUGAUCCGAGUUCAACUAGGCCGUGUCCGAUCAUCACGUGAGACGGACUAGUCAAGCUCGGUGAACAUCUCCAUGUUGAUCGUAUCUUUUAUACGACUCAUGCUCGACCUUUUGGUCCUCCGUGUUCCGAGGCCAUGUCUGUACAUGCUAGGCUCGUCAAGUAAACCUAAGUGUAUUGCGUGUGUUCCGAGGCCAUGUCUGUACAUGCUAGGCUCGUCAACACCCAUUGUAUUCGAACGUGAGAAUCUAUCACACCCGAUCAUCACGUGGUGCUUCGAAACGACGAACCUUCGCAACGGUGCACAGUUAGGGUGAACACUUUCUUGAAAUUAUUAUAAGGGAUCAUCCUACUUGCUACCGUCGUUCUAAGCAAAUAAGAUGCAAAAACAUGAUAAACAUCACAUGCAAUCAAAUAGUGACAUGAUAUGGCCAAUAUCAUCAUGCUCCUUUGAUCUCCAUCUUCGGGGCACCAUGAUCAUCUUCGUCACCGGCAUGACACCAUGAUCUCCAUCAUCAUGAUCUCCAUCAUUGUGUCUUCAUGAAGUCGUCACGCCAACGAUUACUUCUAUUUGUAUGGCUAACGCGUUUAGCAACAAAGUAAAGUAAAUUACAUGGCGUUAUUCAAUGACACGCAGGUCAUGCAAAAUAAUAAAGACAACUCCUAUGGCUCCUGCCGGUUGUCAUACUCAUCGACAUGCAAGUCGUGAUUCCUAUUACAAGAAUAUGAUCAAUCUCAUACAUCACAUAUAUCAUUCAUCACAUCUUCUGGCCAUAUCAUAUCACAUAUAUCACUUGCUGCAAAAACAAGUUAGACGUCCUCUAAUUGUUGUUGCAAGUUUUUACGUGGUUUGUAGGUUUCUACCAAGAACGUUUUCUUACCUACAUAUGACCACAACGUGAUUUGCCAAUUUCUAUUUACCCUUCAUAAGGACCCUUUUCAUCGAAUCCGUUCUGACUAAAGUAGGAGAGACAGACACCCGCUAGCCACCUUAUGCAACUAGUGCAUGUCAAUCGGUGGAACCAGUCUCACGUAAGCAUACGUGUAAGGUCGGUCCGGGCCGCUUCAUCCUACAAUACCGCCGAAACAAGAAACGACUAGUAGCGGCAAGAAGAAUUGGCAACAUCAACGCCCACAACUUCUUUGUGUUCUUACUCGUGCAUAGUAACUACGCAUAGGCCUGGCUCAUGAUGCCACUGUUGGGAAUCGUAGCAUAAUUUUAAAAUUUUCCUACGCUCACCAAGAUGCAUCUAUGGAGUCUACUAGCAACGAGGGGAAGGGAGUGCAUCUACAUACCGUUGUAGAUCCCGAGCGGAAGCGUUCCAAUGAACGUGGAUGACGGAGUCGUACUCGCCGUGAUCCAAAUCACCGAUGACCGAGUGCCGAACGUACGGCACCUCCGCGUUCAAUACACGUACGGUGCAGCGAUGUCUCCUCCUUUCUUGAUCCAGCAAGGGGGGAGGAGAGGUUGAUGGAGAUCCAACAGCACGACGGCGUGGUGGUGGAUGUAGCGGCUCUCUGGCAGGGCUUCGCCGAGCUUCUGCGCGAGAGAGAGAGAGGUGUUGCAGGGGAGGAGGGAGGCGCCAAAGGCUGUAGUGUCCUGCCCUCCCUCCCCCCCUUUAUAUAGGCUCCCCUGGGGGGUGCGCAGCCCUAGGAGAUGGGAUCUCCAAGGGGGGGGGCGGCGGCCAAGGGGGGGAAGGGGUUGCCUUGCCCCCCAAGGAAAGGGGGAACUCCCCCCUAGGGUUCCCAACCCUAGGCGCAUGGGGGGGAGGCCCAAGGAGGCGCCCCAGCCCACUAGGGGCUGGUUCCCCUCCACUUUCAGCCCAUGGGGCCAUUCGGGACAGGUGGCCCCACCCGGUGGACCCCCGGGACCCUUCCGGUGGUCCCGGUACAAUACCGAUAACCCCCGAAACUUUCCCGGUGGCCGAAACUGGACUUCCUAUAUAUAAUUCUUCACCCCCGGACCAUUCCAGAACCUCUCGUGACGUCCGGGAUCUCAUCCGGGACUCCGAACAACUUUCGGGUUUCCGCAUACAUAUAUCUCUACAACCCUAGCGUCACCGGACCUUAAGUGUGUAGACCCUACGGGUUCGGGAGACAUGCAGACAUGACCGAGACGCCUCUCCGGUCAAUAACCAACAGCGGGAUCUGGAUACCCAUGUUGGCUCCCACAUGUUCCACAAUGAUAUCAUCGGGUGAACCACGGUGUCGAGGAUUCAAUCAAUCCGUAUGCAAUUCCCUUUGUCAAUCGGUAUGUUACUUGCCCGAGAUUCGAUCGUCGGUAUCCCAAUACCUUGUUCAAUCUCGUUACCGGCAAGUCUCUUUACUCGUACCGCAAUGCAUGAUCCCGUGACCAACGCCUUAGUCACAUUGAGCUCAUUAUGAUGAUGCAUUACCGAGUGGGCCCAGAGAUACCUCUCCAUCACACGGAGUGACAAAUCCCAGUCUCGAUCCAUGCCAACCCAACAGACACUUUCGGAGAUACCCGUAAUGCACCUUUAUAGUCACCCAGUUACGUUAUGACGUUUGGCACACCCAAAGCACUCCUACGGUAUCCGGGAGUUGCACGAUCUCAUGGUCUAAGGAAAAGAUACUUGACAUUGGAAAAGCUCUAGCAAACGAAACUACACGAUCUUUUAUGCUAUGCUUAGGUUGGGUCUUGUCCAUCACAUCAUUCUCCUAAUGAUGUGAUCCCGUUAUCAGUGACAUCCUAUGUCCAUAGUCAGGAAACCAUGACUAUCUGUUGAUCAACGAGCUAGUCAACUAGAGGCUUACUAGGGACAGUGUGUGGUCUAUGUAUUCACACAUGUAUUACGAUUUCCGGACAAUACAAUUAUAGCAUGAAUAAUAGACUAUUAUCAUGAACACAGAAAUACAAUAAUAACCAUUUAUUAUUGCCUCUAGGGCAUAUUUCCAACAUGGAGGGGGCUGGUUUCUUGCCCUCCAAGUCCAUUGGGGCGUUGGCAAAGGUGGGGGAAAGAAAUCCCAUCAUUUCCCUUCCGCACCGAUUGUUAUCCCCCUUUUUUAGGGAUCUUGAUCUUAUCCCUUCGGGAUAUGAUCUUAUUCCUUCUAAGGUAGGAUCUUGGUGCGCCUUGACCAGGGGUGUGGGGCCUUGCCCCCACUACCCACGUUCAUGUGGGUCCCCCCAUGCAGGUGGGCCCCACUUCGGAACCUUCUAGAUCCUUCCCGGUACAAUACGGAAAGAUCCUGAACAUUUUCCGGUGGCCAAAAUAGGACUUCCCAUAUAUAAAUCUUUACCUCCGGACCAUUCCGGAACUCCUCGUGAUGUCCGGGAUCUCAUCCGGGACUCCGAACGACUUUCGGAUUUCCGCAUACUAAUAUCUCUACAACCCUAGCGUCACCGAACCUUAAGUGUGUAGACCCUAUGGGUUCGGGAGACAUGCAGACAUGACCGAGACGACUCUCCGGUCAAUAACCAACAGCGGGAUCUGGAUACCCAUGUUGGCUCCCACAUGUUCCAUGAUGAUCUCAUCAGAUGAACCACGAUGUCGAGGAUUCAAUCAAUCCCGUAUACAAUUCCCUUUGUCAAUCGGUACGUUACUUGCCCGAGAUUCGAUCGUCGGUAUCCCAAUACCUUGUUCAAUCUCGUUACCGGCAAGUCACUUUACUCGUACCGUAAUGCAUGAUCCCGUGACCAAACACUUGGUCACAUUGAGCUCAUUAUGAUGAUGCAUUACUGAGUGGGCCCAGAGAUACCUCUCUGUCAUACGGAGUGACAAAUCCCAGUCUCGAUUCAUGCCAACCCAACAGACACUUUCGGAGAUACCUGUAGUGCACCUUUACAGCCACCCAGUUACGUUGUGAUGUUUGGUACACCCAAAGCAUUCCUACGGUAUCCGGGAGUUGCACAAUCUCAUGGUCUAAGGAAAUGAUACUUGACAUUAGAAAAGCUCUAGCAAACGAACUACACGGUCUUGUGCUAUGCUUAGGAUUGGGUCUUGUCCAUCACAUCAUUCUCCUAAUGAUGUGAUCCCGUUAGCAAUGACAUCCAAUGUCCAUGGUCAGAAAACCAUAACCAUCUAUUGAUCAACGAGCUAGUCAACUAGAGGCUUCCUAGGGACAUGUUGUGGUCUAUGUAUUCACACAUGUAUUACGGUUUCCAAUUAAUACAAUUAUAGCAUGAACAACAGACAAUUAUCAUGAACAAGGAAAUACAAUAAUAACCAUUUUAUUAUUGCCUCUAGGGCAUAUUUCCAACAGCAUAAUCUCAUAGUCGAAGGAAUAAGUAUUUGAUAUGUGAUACGUCUCCAACGUAUCUAUAAUUUUUGAUUGUUCCAUACUGUUUUAUUACCAAUCUUGGAUGUUUUAUAAUCAUUUCAUAGUCAUUUUAUAUCAUUUUUUGGUACUAACCUAUUGACAUAGUGCCAAGUGCCAGUUGCUAUUUUUCCAUGUUUUUUACAUCACAGGAAAUCAAUAUCAGACGAAGUCCAAAUGCAACGAAACUUGACGAUGAUUUUUUAUGGACCAAAAGGAAGAAGUUGGGCCCUAGUUGCACCUGGGGGGAGUCCCGAGGAGGGGCAACCCACCAGGGCGCGCCAGGAGGCCCAGGCACGCCCUGGUGGGUUGUGCCCACCUCGGGUGCCCCCCGGACCGCCUCUUUGCUCUAUAAAUACCGCAAUAUUCCAGAAACCCCAAGGGAGUCGACGAAAUAUUCAUCCAGCCGCCGCAGAGUCUAGACACCAUCUCGGAUGGGGUUCACCACCUCCAUUGGUGCCUCUCCGAUGAUGCGUGAGUAGUUCUUUGUAGACCUUCGGGUCCGUAGUUAGUAGCUAGAUGGCUUUCUCUCUCUUGCUGAAUUCUCAAUACAAUGGUCUCUUGGAGGUCCAUAUGAUGUAACUCUUUUUGCGAUGUGUUUGUUGGGAUCUGAUGAACUUCGAGUUUAUGAUCAGUUAUAUCUUUUUAUAUCCAUAAAAGUUAUUUGAGUUUCUUUGAUCUCUUAUAUGCAUGAUCUCUUAUAGCCUUGUAUUUCUUCUCCGAUAUUUGGGUUUUGUUUGGCCAACUUGAUCUAUUUAUCUGUCAAUGGGAAGAGGUGCCUGGUAGUGGUUUCAAUCUUACGGUGCUUGAUCCCAAUGACAGAAAGGGAACCGACACGUAUGUAUCAUUGCUACUAAGGAUAAAUAGAUAAACGGAUCUUGUCUGAAGGAAAUAUGCCCUAGAGGCAAUAAUAAAGUUGUUAUUUAUAUUUCCUUAUAUCAUGAUAAAUGUUUAUUAUUCAUGCUAGAAUUGUAUUAACCGAAAACUUAGUACAUGUGUGAAUACAUAAACAAACAGAGUGUCCCUAGUAUGCCUCUACUUGACUAGCUUGUUUAUCAAAGAUGGUUAUGUUUCCUAGCCAUAGACAUGUAUUGUCAUUUGAUGAACAUGAUCACAUCAUUAGAGAAUGAUGUGAUGGACAAGACCCAUCUGUUAGCUUAGCAUUAUGAUCAUUGAGUUUUAUUGCUAUUGCUUUCUUCAUGACUUAUACAUGUUCCUCAGACUAUGAGAUUAUGCAACUCCCGAAUACCGGAGGAACACCUUGUGUGCUAUCAAACGUCACAACGUAACUGGGUAGAUGCUUUACAAGUGUCUCCGAAGGUGUUUGUUGGGUUGGCAUAGAUCGAGAUUAGGAUUUGUCACUCCGUGUAUCGGAGAGGUAUCUCUGGGCCCUCUCGGCAAUGCACAUCACUAUAAGCCUUGCAAGUAAUGUGACUAAUGAGUUAGUUGCGGGAUGAUGCAUUAUGGAACGAGUAAAGAGACUUGCCGGUAACGAGAUUGAACUAGGUAUGGUGAUACUGACGAUCGAAUCUCGGGCAAGUAACAUACCGAUGACAAAGGGAACAACGUAUGUUGUUAUGCGGUUUGACCGAUAAAGAUCUUCGUAGAAUAUGUAGGAGCCAAUAUGAGCAUCUAGGUUCCGCUAUUGGUUAUUGACUGGAGAUGUGUCUCGGUCAUGUCUACAUAGUUCUUGAACCCGUAGGGUCCGCACGCUUAACGUUCGAUUACGAUUUGUAUUAUGAGUUAUGUGAUUUGAUGACCGAAGUUUGUUCGGAGUCCCGUAUGAGAUCACGGGCAUGACGAGGAGUCUCGAAAUAGUCGAGACGUAAAGAUCGAUAUAUUAGAAGGUACAUUCGGACAUCGGAAAGGUUCUGAGUGGUUCGGGUAUUUUUCGGAGUACCGGAGAGUUACGGGAAUUCGCCGGGGGAAGUAUUGGGCCUUCAUGGGCCUUAGUGGAAAGGAGAGAAGGGCCACAAGUGGAGGCCGCGCGCCCCCCAUGGGCUGGUCCGAAUUGGACUAGGGAGGGGGUGGUGCCCCCCUCUUUCCUUCUCCCUCUCCUACUCCUUCCCUCUCUCCCCUCUUGGAAAAGGAAGGGGACUCCAACUAGGAUUGGGAAUCCUAGUUGGACUACCCCUAUAGGCGCGCCCCUCCUAGACCGGCCUCCUCUUCCCCCCUCCUUUAUAUACGUGGCCAGGGGGCACCCCAUAGACACACAAGUUGAUCUUUUAGCCGUGUGCGGUGCCCCCCUCCACCGUUACACACCUCAGUCAUAUCGUCGUAGUGCUUAGGCGAAGCUCUGCGCUGGUAACUUCAUCAUCACCGUCACCACGCCGUCGUGCUGAUGAAACUCUCCCUCGGCCUCAACUGGAUCUAGAGUUCGAGGGACGUCACUGAGCUGAACGUGUGCAGAUCGCGGAGGUGCCGUACAUUCGGUACUUGGAUCGGUUGGAUCGCGAAAACGUUCGACUACAUCAACCGCGUUACUAAACGCUUCCGCUUUCGGUCUACGAGGGUACGUGGAUACACUCUCCCCGCUAUCCCCAUAAACAAUACCUUGACAAAUGUGUGGAGUAAUAAUAGUAGAUGCAGGCAGGAGUCGGUCUACUAAUCUUGGAUGUGAUGCCUAUGUAAUGAUCAUUGCCUGGAUAUCGUCAUAAUUAUUUGAAGUUCUAUCAAUUGCCCAACAGUAAUUUGUUUACCCACCGUUUGCUAUUUUUCUUGAGAGAAGCCACUAGUGAAACCUACGGCUCCCGGGUCUUCUUCCUCAUAUAUUUUCUUGCGAUCUAUUUUUCCUUUGCAUUUUUAUUCAGAUCUAUUAAACAAAAAAUACAGAAAUACUUUGCUGCACUUUAUUUUAUUUGCGAUCUAUUAUUUCAAUCUACUACAAUUUUCUGGCAUCAUUACCAGAAAGGGAUUGACAACCCCUUUAACAAGUCGGGUUGGGAGGUGUUGUUAUUUGUGUGCAGGUGUUGUUUACGUUGUGUUGCUUGGUUCUCCUACUGGUUCGAUAACCUUGGUUUCUUCACUGAGGGAAAUACCUACCGUCGCUGUGCUGCAUCAUCCCUUCCUCUUUAGGGAAAUACCGACGUAGUCCUAGCAGACAAGAGCUUUUCUGGCGCUAUAGUCAGAGAGCGAUCAGCAUGAAGAAAGCAAUAGCAAUAAACUGAAUGAUCAUUAUGCUAAGCUAACGGGUGGGUCUUGUCAAUCACAUCAUUCUCCUAAUGAUGUGAUCCCGUUAUCAAAUGACAACACAUGUCCAUGGUUAGGAAACCUUAACCAUCUUUGAUCAACGAGCUAGUCUAGUAGAGGCUUACUAGGGACACGGUAUUUGUUUAUGUAUUCACACAUGUAUUUAAGUUUUCGAUCAAUACAAUUCUAGCAUGAAUAAUAAACCUUUAUCGUGAAUAAGGAAAUAUAAAAUAACAACUUUAUUAUUGCCUCUAGGGCAUAUUUCCUUCAGUCUCCCACUUGCACUAGAGUCAAUAAUCUAGUUCACAUCGCCAUGUGAUUUAACACUAAUAGUUCACAUCGUCAUGUGAUUAACACCCAUAGUUCAGAUCGCCAUGUGACCAACACCCAAAGGGUUUACUAGAGUCAAUAAUCUAGUACACAUAGCCAUGUGAUUAACACCCAAAGAGUACUAAGGUGUGAUCAUGUUUUGCUUGUGAGAGAAUUUUAGUCAAUGGGUCUGUCACAUUCAGAUCCGUAUGUAUAUUUGCAAAUUUCUAUGUCUACAAUGCUCUGCAUGGUGUACUUUAGCUAAUUGCUCCCACUAUCAAUAUGUAUCCAGAUUGAGACUCCGAGUCAUCUAAAUUGGUGUCAAAGCUUGCAUCGGUGUAACCCUUUACGACGAACUCUUUAUCACCUCCAUAACCGAGAAAUAUUUCCUUAGUCCUCUUAGGUAACUAAGGAUAAUUUUUUUGACCAUUGUCCAGUGAUCCACUCCUGGAUCACUAUUGUACCCCCUUGCCAAACUCAUGGCAAGGUACACAAUAGGUCUGGUACACAGCAUGACAUACUUUAUAGAACCUAUGGCUGAGGCAUAGGGAAUGACUUUCGUUCUCUUUCUAUCUUCUGCCGUGGUCAGGUUUUGAGUCUUACUCAACUUCAUACCUUGCAAUGCAUGCAAGAACCCUUUCUUUGACUGAUCCAUUUUGAACUUCUUCAAAACUUUGUCAAGGUAUGUUCUUUGUGAAAGUCCUAUUAAGCGUCUCGAUCUAUCUCUAUAGAUCUUGAUGCCCAAUACAUAAGUAGCUUUACCGAGGUCUUUUAUUAAAAAUUUCUUAUUCAAGUAUCCUUUUAUGCUAUCCAGAAAUUCUAUAUCAUUUCCAAUCAACAAUAUGUCAUCCAUAUAAUAUCAGAAAUGCUAAAGAGCUCCCACUCACUUUCUUGUAAAUACAAGCUUCACCAUAAGUCAGUAUAAAACCAUAUGCUUUGAUUACCUCAUCAAAUCGUAUAUUCCAACUCCGAGAUGCUUGCACCAGUCCAUAGAUGGAUCGCUGGAGCUUGCACACUUUGUUAGCACCUUUAGGAUCGACAAAACCUUAUGGUUGCAUCAUAUACAACUCUUCUUUAAGAAAUCCAUUAAGGAUUGCAGUUUUGACAUCCAUUUGCUAGAUUUCAUAAAAUGCGGCAAUUGCUAACAUGAUUCGGACGGACUUAAACAUCGCUACGGGUGAGAUAGUCUCAUCGUAGUCAACUCCUUGAACUUGUCGAAAACCUUUUUGCGACAAGUCGAGCUUUAAUAGACAGUGAUAUUACCAUUAGCAUAUGUCUUCCUCUUGAAAAUCCAUUUAUUCUCUAUGGCUUGCAGAUCAUCGGGCAAGUCCACCAAAGUCCACACUUUGUUCUCAUACAUGGAUCCUAUCUCAGAUUUCAUGGCCUCAAGCCAUCUGUCGGAAUCUGGGCUCAUCAUAGCUUCUUCAUAUUUCUUAGGUUUGCCUUGGUAUAAUAACAUGACUUCCGGGACAGGAUUACCAUGCCACUCUGGUGUGGAUCGUGUUUCGGUUGACCUGCGAGGUUCUGUAGUAACUUGAUCCGAAGUUUCAUGAUCAUCAUCAUUAGCUUCCUCUCUAGUUGGUGUAGGCAUCAUGGGAACAGUUUUCUCUGAUGUGCUACUUUCCAAUUCAAGAGAAUGUACUAUUACCUCAUCAAGUUCUACUUUCCUCCCACUCACUUCUUUCGAAAGAAACUCUUUCUCUAGAAAGGAUCCAAACUUAGCAAUAAAGAUCUUGCCUUCGGAUUUGAAGUAGAAGGUGUACCCAAUUGUUUCCUUAGGGUAUCUUAUGAAGACGCACUUCUCCGAUUUAGGUUCAAGCUUUAUCAGGCUAAAGCCUUUUGACAUAAGCGUCGCAUCCCUAAACUUUAAGAAACGCCAGCUUAGGUUUCUUGCCAAACCACAAUUCAUACAGUGUUGUCUCAACGGAUUUAGAAGGUGCCCUAUUUAACGUGAAUGCAGCUGUCUCUAAUGCAUAGCCCCAAAAUGAUAGUGGUAAAUCGGUAAGAGACAUCAUAGAUCGCACCAUAUCUAAUAAAAUACGGUUAUGACAUUCGAACACACCAUUACGGUGUGGUGUUCCAGGUGGCGUGAGUUGUGAAACAAUUCCACAUUGUUUUAAAUGAAGGCCAAACUCGUAACUCAAAUAUUCGCCUCCGCGAUCAGAUCGUAGAAACUUUAUUUUCUUGUUAUGAUGAUUCUCAACUUCACUCUGAAAUUCUUUGAACUUCUCAAAUGUUUCAGACUUGUGUUUCAUCAAGUAGAUAUACCCAUAUCUACUCAAAGCAUCUGUGAAUGUGAGAAAAUAACGAUACCUGCCGCGUGCUUCAACACUUAUUGGACCACAUACAUCGAUAUGUAUUAUAUCCAAUAAGUCAUCAGCUCGUUCCAUUGUUCCGGAGAACGGAGUGUUAGUCAUCUUGCCCAUGAGGCAUGGUUCACAAGUAUCAAAUGAUUCAUAAUAAAGUGAUUCCAAAAGUCCAUCCGCAUGGAGUUUCUUCAUGAGCUUUACAACAAUAUGAUCAAAACGGCAGUGCCACAAGUAUGUUGCACUAUCAUUAUCAACUUUGCAUCUUUUGGCAUCAAUAUUAUGAAUAUGUGUAUCACUAUGAUCGAGAUUCAAUAAACCAUUUACAUUGGGUGUAUGACCAUAGAAGAUUUUAUUCAUGUAAACAGAACAACAAUUAUUCUCUGACUUAAAUGAAUAACCAUAUUGCAAUAAACAUGAUCCAAUCAUACUCAUGCUCAACGCAAACACCAAAUAACAUUUAUUUAGGUUCAACACUAAUCCCGAAGGUAGAGGGAGUAUGCGAUGGUGAUCUUUUCAACCUUGGAAUCACUUCCAACGCACAUCAUCACCUCGCCCUUAACUAGUCUCUGUUCAUUUUGCAACUCAUGUUUCGAGUUACAAAUCUUAGCAACUGAACCGGUAUCAAAUACCCAGGGGCUACUAUGAACACUAGUAAAGUACACAUCAAUAACAUGUAUAUCAAAUAUACCUUUGUUCAAUUUGUCAUCCUUCUUAUCCGCCAAGUAUUUGGGGCAGUUCCGCUUCCAGUGACCAUUUCCUUUGGAGUAGAAGCACUCAGUUUCACGCUUGGGUCUAGCUUUGGGCUUCUUCAUGGGAGCGGCAACUUGUUUGCUAUUCUUCUUGAAGUUCCCUUUCUGUCCCUUGCCCUUUUUCUUGAAACUAGUGGGUUUUUAACCAUCAACACUUGAUGCUCUUUCUUCAUUUCUACCUGCGUUGAUUUCAACAUCGCCAAGAGCUUGGGAAUUGUUUUAGUCAUCCCUUGCACAUUAUAGUUCAUCACGAAGUUCUAGUAGCUUGGUGAUAGUGGCUAGAGAACUCUUGUCAAUCACUAUCUUAUCUCGAAGAUUAAGUCCCGCUUGAUUCAAGCGAUUGUAGUACCCAGAUAUUCUGAGCACAUGCUCACCGGCUGAGCUAUUCUCCUCCAUCUUGUAGGCAAAGUACUUGUCAGAGGUCUUAUACCUCUCGACAUGGGCAUGAGUCUAAAAUACCAAUUUCAGCUCUUGGAACAUCUCAUAUGUUGGGGAACGUAGUAAUUUCAAAAUUUUCCUACGCACACGCAAGAUCAUGGUGAUGCAUAGCAACGAGAGGGGAGAGUGUUGUCCACGUACCCUCGUAGACCGACAGCGGAAGCGUUAUCACAACGUGGUUGAUGUAGUCGUACGUCUUCACGAUCCGACCGAUCAAGUACCGAACGCACGGCACCCCCAAGUUCUACCCACGUUCAGCUCGAUGACGUCCCUCGAACUCCGAUCCAGCCGAGUGUUGAGGGAGAGUUUCGUCAGCACGACGGCGUGGUGACGAUGAUGAUGUUCCACCGACGCAGGGCUUCGCCUAAGCUCCGCAACGGUAUUAUCGAGGUGUAAUAUGGUGGAGGGGGGCACCGCACACGGCUAAGAGAUCUCAAGGAUCAAUUGUUGUGUCUCUGGGGUGCCCCCCUGCCCCCGUAUAUAAAGGAGCAAGGGGGAGGCAGCCGGCCAAGGGGAGAGGCGCGCCAUAGGGGGGAGUCCUACUCCCACCGGGAGUAGGACUCCUCCUUUCCUUGUGGGAGUAGGAGAAGGGAAGGGGGAAGGAGAAAGAAGGAAGGGUGCGCCCCCCUUCCCUAGUCCAAUUCGGACCAGAUCAUGGGGAGGGGUGCGGCCACCUUUUGAGGCCUUUCUCUCCUUUCCCGUAUGGCCCAUUAAGGCCCAAUACGAAUUCCCGUAACUCUCCGGUACUCCGAAAAAUACCCGAAUCACUCGGAAGCUUUCCGAAGUCCGAAUAUACUCGUCCAAUAUAUCGAUUUUUACGUCUCGACCAUUUCGAGACUCCUCGUCAUAUCCCCGAUCUCAUCCGGGACUCCGAACUCCUUCGGUACAUCAAAACUCAAUAAAACUGUCAUCGUAACGUUAAGCGUGCGGACCCUACGGGUUCGAGAACUAUGUAGACAUGACCGAGACACGUCUCCGGUCAAUAACCAAUAGCGGGACCUGGAUGCCCAUAUUGGCUCCCACAUAUUCUACGAAGAUCUUUAUCGGUCAGACCGCAUAACAACAUACGUUGUUCCCUUUGUCAUCGGUAUGUUACUUGCCCGAGAUUCGAUCGUCGGUAUCUCGAUACCUAGUUCAAUCUCGUUACUGGCAAGUCUCUUUACUCGUUCCGUAAUACAUCAUCCCGUAACUAACUCAUUAGUCACAAUGCUUGCAAGGCUUAUAGUGAUGUGCAUUACCGAGUAGGCCCAGAGAUACCUCUCCGACAAUUGGAGUGACAAAUCCUAAUCUCGAAAUACGCCAACCCAACAAGUACCUUUGAAGACACCUGUAGAGCACCUUUAUAAUCACCCAUUUACGUUGUGACGUUUGGUAGCACACAAAGUGUUCCUCCGGUAAACGGGAGUUGCAUAAUCUCAUAGUCAGAGGAACAUGUAUAAGUCAUGAAGAAAGCAAUAGCAACAUACUAAACGAUCGAGUGCUAAGCUAACGGAAUGGGUCAAGUCAAUCACGUCAUUCUCCUAAUGAGGUGAUCUCGUUAAUCAAAUGACAACUCAUGUCUAUGGCUAGGAAACAUAACCAUCUUUGAUUAAUGAGCUAGUCAAGUAGAGGCAUACUAGUGACACUCUGUUUGUCUAUGUAUUCACACAUGUAUUAUGUUUCCGGUUAAUACAAUUCUAGCAUGAACAAUAAACAUUUAUCAUGAUAUAAGGAAAUAAAUAAUAACUAUUAUUGCCUCUAGGGCAUAUUUCCUUCAGUCUCCCACUUGCACUAGAGUCAAUAAUCUAGUUCACAUCGCCAAGUGAUUUAACAUCAAUAGUUCACAUCACCAUGUGAUUAACACCCAUAGUUCACAUCGUCAUGUGACCAACACCCAAAGGGUUUACUAGAGUCAAUAAUCUAGUUCACAUCGCUAUGUGAUUAACACCCAAAGAGUACUAAGGUGUGAUUAUGUUUUACUUGUGAGAUAAUUUUAGUCAACGGGUCUGUCACAUUUAGAUCCGUAAGUAUUUUGCCAAUUUCUAUGUCUACAAUGCUCUGCACGGAGCUACUCUAGCUAAUUGCUCCCACUUUCAAUAUGUAUCUAGACCGAGACUUAGAGUCAUCUAGAUUAGUGUCAAAAACUUGUAUCGACGUAACCCUUUACGACGAACCUUUUGUCACUUCCAUAAUCGAGAAACAUAUCCUUAUUCCAGUAAGGAUAAUUUUGACCGCUGUCCAGUGAUCUACUCCUAGAUCACUAUUGUACUCUCUUGCCAAAAUCAGUGUAGGGUAUACAAUAGAUCUGGUACACAACAUGGCAUACUUUAUAGAAUCCUAUGGCCGAGGCAUAGGGAAUGACUUUCAUUCUUUUUCUAUCUUCUGCUGUGGUCGGGCAUUGAGUCUUACUCAAUUUCACACCUUGUAACACAGGCAAGAAACUCUUUCUUUGACUGUUCCAUUUUGAACCACUUCAAAAUCUUGUUAAGGUAUGUAUUCAUUGAAAAAACUUAUCAAGCGUCUUGAUCUAUCUCUAUAGAUCUUGAUGCUCAAUAUGUAAGCAGCUUCACCAAGGUCUUACUUUGAAAAGCUUCUUUCAAACACUCCUUUAUGCUUUGCAGAAUAAUUCUACAUUAUUUCCGAUCAACAAUAUGUCAUUCACAUAUACUUAUCAGAAAUGUUGUAGUGCUCGCACUCACUUUCUUGUAAAUACAGGCUUCACCGCAAGUCUGUAUAAAACUCUAUGCUUUGAUCAACUUAUCAAAGCGUAUAUUCCAACUCCGAGAUGCUUGCACCAGUCCAUAGAUGGAUCGCUGGAGCUUGCAUAUUUUGUUAGCACCUUUAGGAUUGACAAAACCUUCUGGUUGCAUCAUAUACAACUCUUCUUUAAUAAAUCCAUUAAGGAAUGCAGUUUUGUUUAUCCAUUUGCCAGAUUUCAUAAAAUGCGGCAAUUGCUAACAUGAUUCGGACAGACUUAAGCAUAGAUACGAGUGAGAAACUCUCAUCGUAGUCAACACCUUGAACUUGUCGAAAACCUUUUUGCGACAAUUAUAGCUUUGCAGAUAGUAACACUACUAUCAGCGUCUGUCUUCCUCUUGAAGAUCCAUUUAUUUUCAAUGGCUUGCCGAUCAUCGGGCAAGUCAACCAAAGUCCACACUUUGUUCUCAUACAUGGAUCUCAUCUCAGAUUUCAUGGCCUCAAGCCAUUUUGCGGAAUCUGGGCUCACCAUCGCUUCUUCAUAGUUCGUAGGUUCGUCAUGGUCUAGUAACAUAACCUCCAGAACAGGAUUACCGUACCACUCUGGUGCGGAUCUUACUCUGGUUUACCUACGAGGUUUGGUAGUAACUUGAUCUGAAGUUACAUGAUCAUCAUCAUUAACUUCCUCACUAAUUGGUGUAGGAGUCACAGGAACAGAUUUCUGUGAUGAACUACUUUCCAAUAAGGGAGCAGGUACAAUUACUUCAUCAAGUUCUACUUUCCUCCCACUCACUUCUUUCGAGAGAAACUCCUUCUCUAGAAAGGAUCCAUACUAAGCAACGAAUGUCUUGCCUUCGGAUCUGUGAUAGAAGGUGUACCCAAAUGUCUCCUUUGGGUAUCCUAUGAAGACACAUUUCUCCGAUUUGGGUUUGAACUUAUCAGGAUGAAACUUUUUCACAUAAGCAUCGCAACCCCAAACUUUAAGAAACGACAACUUUGGUUUCUUGCCAAACCACAGUUCAUAAGGCGUCGUCUCAUCGGAUUUUGAUGGUGCCCUAUUUAGCGUGAAUGUAGCUGUCUCUAAUGCAUAACCCCAAAACGAUAAUGGUAAAUUGGUAAGAGACAUCAUAGAUUGCACUAUAUCCAAUAAAGUAUGUUUAUGACGUUCGGACACACCAUUAUGCUGUGGUGUUCCAGGUGGCGUGAGUAGUGAAACUAUUUCACAUUGUUUUAACUGAAGGCCAAACUCAUAACUAAAAUACUCUUCUCCAUGAUCAAAUCGUAGAAACUUUAUUUUCUUGUUACGAUGAUUUUCGCUUCACUCUGAAAUUAUAUGAACUUUUCAAAUGUUUCAGACUUCUGUUUCAUUAAGUAGAUAUACCCAUAUCUGCUCAAAUCAUCUGUGAAGGUCAGAAAAUAAUGAUACCUGCUACGAGCCUCAAUAUUCAUCGGACCACAUACAUCUAUAUGUAUGAUUUCCAACAAAUCUGUUGCUCUCUCUAUAGUUCCGGAGAACGGCGUUUUAGUCAUCUUGCCCAUGAGGCACGGUUCGCAAGCAUCAAGUGACUCAUAAUCAAGUGAUUCCAAAAGUCCAUCAGUAUGGAGUUUCUUCAUGCGCUUUAUACCGAUAUGACCUAAACGGUAGUGCCACAAAUAAGUUGCACUAUCAUUAUUAACUUUGCAUCUUUUGGUUUCAAUAUUAUGAUUAUGUGUAUCACUACGAUCGAGAUCCAACAAACCAUUUUCGUUGGUGUGUAUGACCAUAGAAGGUUUUUAUUCAUGUAAACAGAACAACAAUUGUUCUCUAACUUAAAUGAAUAACUGAAUUGCAAAAACAUGAUCAAAUCAUAUUCAUGCUCAACGCAAACACCAAAUAACACUUAUUUAGUUUCAACACUAAUCCCGAAAGUACAGGGAGUGUGCGAUGAUGAUCAUAUCAAUCUUGGAACUACUUCCAACAUACAUCGUCACCUCGCCUUUUACUAGUCUCUGUUUAUUCUGCAACUCCCGUUUCGAGUUACUACUCUUAGCAACUGAACCAGUAUCAAAUACCGAGGGGUUUCUAUAAACACUAGUAAAGUACACAUCAAUAACAUGUAUAUCCAAUAUACCUUUGUUCACUUUGCCAUCCUUCUUAUCCACCAAAUAGUUGGGGUAGUUCCGCUUCCAGUGACCAGUCCCUUUGCAGUAGAAGCACUUAGUCUCAGGCUUAGGUACAGACUUGGGCUUCUUCACUUGAGUAGCAACUUGCUUGCCGUUCUUUUGAAGUUCCCCUUCUUCCCUUUGCCCUUUUCUUGAAACUAGUGGUCUCGUCAACCAUCAACACUUGAUGUUUUUCUUGAUUUCUACCUUCGUCGAUUUCAGCAUCACGAAGAGCUCGGGAAUUACUUUCGUCAUCCCUUGCAUACUAUAGUUCAUCACGAAGUUCUACUAACUUGGUGAUGGUGACUAGAGAAUUCUGUCAAUCACUAUUUUAUCUAGAAGAUUAACUCCCACUUGAUUCAAGCGAUUGUAGUACCCAGACAAUCUGAGCACAUGCUCACUAGUUGAGCGAUUCUCCUCCAUCUUUUAGCUAUAGAACUUGUUGGAGACUUCAUAUCUCUCAACUCGGGUAUUUACUUGAAAUAUUAACUUCAACUCCUGGAACAUCUUAUAUGUUCCAUGACGUUCAAAACGUCUUUGAAGUCCCGAUUCUAAGCUGGUUAAGCAUGGUGCACUAAACUAUCAAGUAGUCAUCAUAUUGAGCUAGCCAAACGUUCAUAACGUCUGCAUCUGCUCCUGCAAUAGGUCUGUCACCUAGCGGUGCAUUAAGGACAUAAUUUUUCUGUGCAGCAAUGAGGAUAAUCCUCAGAUCACGGAUCCAAUCCGCAUCUUUGCUACUAACAUCUUUCAACAUAAUUUUUCUCUAGGAACAUAUCAAAAAUAAACACAGGGAAGCAACAACGCGAGCUAUUGAUCUAUAACAUAAUUUGCAAAAUACUAUCAGGACUAAGUUCAUGAUAAAUUUAAGUUCAAUUAAUCAUAUUACUUAAGAACUCCCACUUAGAUAGACAUCCCUCUCAUCAUCUAAGUGAUUACGUGACCAAAUCAACUAAACCAUGUCCGAUCAUCACGUGAGAUGGAGUAGUUUCAAUGGUGAACAUCACUAUGUUGAUCAUAUCUACUAUAUGAUUCACGCUCGACCUUUCGGUCUUCGUGUUCCGAGGCCAUAUCUGUUAUAUGCUAGGCUCGUUAAGUUUAACCUGAGUAUUCCGCGUGUGCAACUGUUUUGCACCCGUUGUAUUUGAACGUAGAGCCUAUCACACCCGAUCAUCACGUGGUGUCUCAGCACGAAGAACUUUCGCAACGGUGCAUACUCAGGGAGAACACUUAUACUUUGAUAAUUUAGUGAAGGAUCAUCUUAUAAUGCUACCGUCAAACAAAGCAAGAUAAGAUGCAUAAAGGAUUAACAUCACAUGCAAUCAAUAUAAGUGAUAUGAUAUGGCCAUCAUCAUCUUGUGCUUGUGAUCUCCAUCUCCGAAGCACCGUGCUUGUGAUCUCCAUCUCCGAAGCACCGUCAUGAUCACCAUCGUCACCGGCGCGACACCUUGAUCUCCAUCGUAGCAUCGUUGUCGUCUCGCCAACUUAUUGCUUUUACGACUAUCGCUACCGCUUAGUGAUAAAGUAAAACUAUUACAUGGCGAUUGCAUCUCAUACAAUAAAGCGACAACCAUAUGGCUCCUGCCAAUUGCCGAUAACUCGGUUACAAAACAUGAUCAUCUCAUACAACACAUUAUAUCACAUCAUGUCUUGACCAUAUCACAUCACAACAUGCCCUGCAAAAACAAGUUAGACGUCCUCUACUUUGUUGUUGCAUAUUUUACGUGGCUGCUACGGGCUUAGCAAGAACCGUUCUUACCUACGCAUCAAAACCACAAUGAUAGUUUGUCAAUUUGGUGCUGUUUUAACCUUCGCAAGGACCGGGCGUAGCCACACUCGGUUCAACUAAAGUGAGAGAGACAGACACCCGCCGGUCACCCUUAAGCAACGAGUGCUCGCAACGGUGAAACCAGUCUCGCGUAAGCGUACGCGUAAUGUCGGUCCGGGCCGCUUCAUCUCACAAUACCGCUGAACCAAAGUAUGACAUGCUGGUAAGCAGUAUGACUUAUAUCGCCCACAACUCACUUGUGUUCUACUCGUGCAUAACAUCAACGCAUAAAACCAGGCUCGGAUGCCACUGUUGGGGAACGUAGUAAUUUCAAAAUUUUCCUACGCACACGCAAGAUCAUGGUGAUGCAUAGCAACGAGAGGGGAGAGUGUUGUCCACGUACCCUCGUAGACCGACAGCGGAAGCGUUAUCACAAUGCGGUUGAUGUAGUCGUACGUCUUCACGAUCCGACCGAUCAAGUACCGAACGCACGGCACCCCCGAGUUCUACACACGUUCAGCACGAUGACGUCCCUCGAACUUCGAUCCAGCCGAGUGUUGAGGGAGAGUUUCGUCAGCACGACGGCGUGGUGACGAUGAUGAUGUUCCACCGAUGCAGGGCUUCGCCGAAGCUCCGCAACGGUAUUAUCGAGGUGUAAUAUGGUGGAGGGGGGCACCGCACACGGCUAAGAGAUCUCAAGGAUCAAUUGUUGUGUCUCUGGGGUGCCCCCUGCCCCCGUAUAUAAAGGAGCAAGGGGGAGGCAGCCGGCCAAGGGGAGAGGCGCGCCAUAGGGGGGAGUCCUACUCCCACCGGGAGUAGGACUCCUCCUUUCCUUGUGGGAGUAGGAGAAGGGAAGGGGGAAGGAGAAAGAAGGAAGGGUGGGCCCCCCUUCCCUAGUCCAAUUCGGACCAGAUCAUGGGGAGGGGUGCGGCCACCUUUUGAGGCCUUCUCUCCUUUCCCGUAUGGCCCAUUAAGGCCCAAUACGAAUUCCCGUAACUCUCCGGUACUCCGAAAAAUACCCGAAUCACUCGGAAGCUUUCCGAAGUCCGAAUAUACUCGUCCAAUAUAUCGAUUUUUACGUCUCGACCAUUUCGAGACUCCUCGUCAUAUCCCCGAUCUCAUCCGGGACUCCGAACUCCUUCGGUACAUCAAAACUCAAUAAAACUGUCAUCGUAACGUUAAGCGUGCGGACCCUACGGGUUCGAGAACUAUGUAGACAUGACCGAGGCACGUCUCCGGUCAAUAACCAAUAGCAGGACCUGGAUGCCCAUAUUGGCUCCCACAUAUUCUACGAAGAUCUUUAUCGGUCAGACCGCAUAACAACAUACGUUGUUCCCUUUGUCAUCGGUAUGUUACUUGCCCGAGAUUCGAUCGUCGGUAUCUCGAUACCUAGUUCAAUCUCGUUACUGGCAAGUCUCUUUACUCGUUCCGUAAUACAUCAUCCCGCAACUAACUCAUUAGUCACAAUGCUUGCAAGGCUUAUAGUGAUGUGCAUUACCGAGUGGGCCCAGAGAUACCUCUCCGACAAUUGGAGUGACAAAUCCUAAUCUCGAAAUACGUCAACCCAACAAGUACCUUUGGAGACACCUGUAGAGCACCUUUAUAAUCACCCAUUUACGUUGUGACGUUUGGUAGCACACGAAGUGUUCCUCCGGUAAACGGGAGUUGCAUAAUCUCAUAGUCAGAGGAACAUGUAUAAGUCAUGAAGAAAGCAAUAGCAACAUACUAAACGAUCGAGUGCUAAGCUAACGGAAUGGGUCAAGUCAAUCACGUCAUUCUCCUAAUGAGGUGACCUCGUUAAUCAAAUGACAACUCAUGUCUAUGGCUAGGAAACAUAACCAUCUUUGAUUAACGAGCUAGUCAAGUAGAGGCAUACUAGUGACACUCUGUUUGUCUAUGUAUUCACACAUGUAUUAUGUUUCCGGUUAAUACAAUUCUAGCAUGAACAAUAAACAUUUAUCAUGAUAUAAGGAAAUAAAUAAUAACUUUAUUAUUGCCUCUAGGGCAUAUUUCCUUCAUCAUAUGCUCCGUGGUGUUCAAAACGUUUUUGAAGUCCUGGUUCUAAGCCGUAAAGCAUGGCGCACUAAACUAUCAAGUAGUCAUCAUACCGAGCUUGUCAAACGUUCAUAACGUCUGCAUCUGCUCCUGCAAUAGGUCUGUCACCUAGCGGUGCAUCAAGGAUAUAAUUCUUCUGUGCAGCAAUGAGGAUAAUCCUCAGAUCACGGACCGAGUUCGCAUCAUUGCUACUAUCAUCUUUCAACUUUAUUUUUCUCUAGGAGCAUAUCAAAAAUAGGGGAGCUAUAUCGUGAGCUAUUGAUCUAUAACAUAGAUAUGCAAAACUAUUAAGACUAAGUUCAUGAUAAAUUAAGUUCAAUUAAUCAAAUUACUAAUGAACUCCCACUUCAAUAAACAUCCCUCAAGUUUUCUAAGUGAUACAUGAUCCAAAUCAACUAACCCAUGUCCGAUCAUCACGUGAGAUGCGGUAGUCAUCAAUGGUGAACAUCUCUAUGUUGAUCAUAUCUACUAUAUGACUCAUGUUCGACCUUUCGGUCUCCAGUGUUUCGAGGCCAUGUCUGUACAUGCUAGGCUCGUCAAGUUAACCCAAGUAUUCUGCAUGUGCAAAGCUGUCUUACACCUGUUGUAUGUGAACGUAGAGUCUAUCACACCCGAUCAUCACGUGGUGUCUUGAAACGAUGAACUUUCGCAACGGUGCAUACUCGGGGACAACACUUAUAUCUUGAUAUUUAGUGAAGGGAUCAUCUUAUAAUGCUACCGUCGUUCUAAGCAAAAUAAGAUGCAUAUAAGAUAAACAUCACAUGCAAUCAAAAUAUGUGACAUGAUACGGCCAUCAUCAUCUUGUGCUUUUGAUCUCCAUCUCCAAAGCAUCGUCAUGAUCACCAUCAUCACAGGCUCGACACCUUGAUCUCCAUCGUGCGUCAUGGUCGUCUCGCCAACUAUUUCUUCUACAACUAUUGCUAAAUCACAGCGAUAAAGUAAAGCAAUUACAUGGCGUUUGCAUUUCAUACAAUAAAGAGACAACCAUAAGGCUCCUACCGGUUGCCUGAUAUCUUACAACACAUGAUCAUCUCAUACAAAAACGUAUAUCACAUCAUGUCUUGACCAUAUCACAUCACAACAUACCCUGCAAAAACAAGUUAGAUGUCCUCUACUUUGUUGUUGCAAGUUUUACGUGGUUGCUACGGGUUUCUAGCAAGAACCGCUCUUACCUACGACAAAAAACACAACGGUGAUUUAUCAAGUUUGCUGUUUUAACCUUCUUCAAGGACCGGCCGCAGUAAAAUUCGAUUCAACUAAAGUAGGAGAAACAGACACCCGCCAGCCACCUUUAUGCAAAACUAGUUGCAUGUCAGUCGAUGGAACCGGUCUCACGUGCAGGACAUGUAAGGUUGGUCCGGGGCGCUUCAUCCCACAAUACCGCCGAAUCAAAACAAGACAUUGGUGGUAAGCAGUAUGACUAUCACCGCCCACAACUCUUUGUCUUCUACUCGUGCAUAUCAUCUACACAUAGACCUGGCUCAUGAUGCCACUGUUGGGAAACGUUGCAUGGAAAAGAAAAAAAUUUCUAUGCACACGCAAUGAUCUAUCCAUGGAGAUGCAUAGCAACGAGGAAACAUUCAGUACACCGUGAAGAAGAUGGACUUGCAGCCGCACCAAAAGACUUGGCUGAGGAGUGAUGUCUACUAUACAACCUUCUUCUUGUAGACGUUGUUGGGCCUCCAAGUGCAGAGGUUUGUAGGACAGUAGCAAAUUUCCCUCAAGUGGAUGACCUAAGGUUUAUCAAUCCGUGGGAGGCGUAGGAUGAAGAUGGUCUCUCUCAAGCAACCCUGCAACCAAAUAACAAAGAGUCUCUUGUGUCCCCAACACACCCAAUACAAUGGUAAAUUGUAUAGGUGCACUAGUUCGGCGAAGAGAUGGUGAUACAAGUGCAAUAUGGAUGGUAGAUAUAGGUUUUUGUAAUCUGAAAAUAUAAAAAUAGCAAGAUAACAAGUGGUAAAAGUGAGCGUAAACGGUAUUGCAAUGCGUCGAAACAAGGCCUAGGGUUCAUACUUUCACUAGUGCAAGUUCUCUCAACAAUAAUAACAUAAUUGGAUCAUAUAACUAUCCCUCAAUGUGCAACAAAGAGUCACUCCAAAGUCACUAAUAGUGGAGAACAAAUGAAGAGAUUAUGGUAGGGUACGAAACCACCUCAAAGUUAUUCUUUCCAAUCAAUCCGUUGGGCUAUUCCUAUAAGUGUCACAAACAGCCCUAGGGUUCGUACUAGAAUAACACCUUAAGACACAAAUCAACCAAAACCCUAAUUUCACCUAGAUACUCCAAUGUCACCUCAAGUAUCCGUGGGUAUGAUUAUACGAUAUGCAUCACACAAUCUCAGAUUCAUCUAUUCAACCAACACAUAGAACCUCAAAGAGUGCCCCAAAGUUUCUACCGGAGAAUCAAGACGAAAACGUGUGCCAACCCCUAUGCAUAAAUUCAUGGGCGGAACCCGCAAGUUGAUCACCAAAACAUACAUCAAGUGAGUCACGUGAUAUCCCAUUGUCACCACAGAUACGCACGACAAGACAUACAUCAAGUGUUCUCAAAUCAUUAAAGACUCAAUCCGAUAAGAUUACUUCAAAGGGAAAACUCAAUCCAUUACAAGAGAGUAGAGGGGGAGAAACAUCAUAAGAUCCAACUAUAAUAGCAAAGCUCGCGAUACAUCAAGAUCGUGCCAAAUCAAGAACACGAGAGAGAGAGAUCAAACACAUAGCUACUGGUACAUACCCUCAGCCCCGAGGGUGAACUACUCCCUCCUUGUCAUGGAGAGCGCCGGGAUGAUGAAGAUGGCCACCGGUGAGGGUUCCCCCCCUCCGGCAGGGCGCCGGAACAGGGUCCCGAGUGGUUUUUGGUGGCUACAGAGGCUUGCGGCGGCGAAACUCCAGAUCUACUCUGUUUUCUGAAGUUUUUAGGGUAUAUGGAGAUAUAUAGGCGGAAGAAAUAUGUCAGGGGAGCCACGAGGGGCCCACUAGGGUGGAGGGCGCGCCCUAGGGGAGUGGGCGCGCCCCCUACCUCGUGGCUCCCUCGUUUCUUUCCUGACGUGCACUCCAAGUCUAUCAGGUUGCUUUCCUUCCAAAAAUAACUUCUCCAGAAGGUUUCAUUCCGUUUCGACUCCGUUUGAUAUUCCUUUUCUUCGAAACACUGAAACAAGGAAAAAAACAGGAACUGGCACUGGGCUCUGGGUUAAUAGGUUAGUCCCAAAAAUAAUAUAAAUGUGUUUAAUAAAGCGCAUAAACAUCCAAAAUAGAUAAUAUAAUAGCAUGGAACAAUAAAAAAUUAUAGAUACGUUGGAGACUAUCAAGGAGCUCGCGUGCGUCAAACGGGUUGGUGAAGGUGACCAUGAGCAGUAGGAGGAUGCCGGCACGGUUGAUACGUCUCCAUCGCAUCUACUUUUCCAAACACUUUUGCCCUUGUUUUGGACUCUAACUUGCAUGCUUUGAAUGGAACUAACCCGGACUGACGCUGUUUUCAGCAAACUUUCCAUGGUGUUAUUUAUGUGCAGAAACAAAAGUUCUCGGAAUGACCUGAAACUCCACGGAACAUAUUUUUGGAAAAUAUUAAAAAUACUGGAAGAAGACCCACACUCUGUCCACGAGGGCGGGGGGCGCGCCUGCCCCCCCUAGGCACGCCCCCUGCCUCGUGGGCCCCCUGACGCUCCACCGACCUCAACUCCAACUCCAUAUAUUCAUGUUCAGGGAGAAAAAAAUCAGGGAGAAGGAUUCAUCGCGUUUUACGAUACGGAGCCACCGCCAAGCCCUAAUCUCUCUCGGGAGGGCUGAUCUGGAGUCCGUUCGGGGCUCCGGAGAGGGGAAUCCAUCGCCAUCGUCAUCAUCAACCUUCCUCCAUCACCAAUUUCAUGAUGCUCACCACCGUGCAUGAGUAAUUCCAUCGUAGGCUUGCUGGACGGUGAUGGGUUGGAUGAGAUUUACCAUGUAAUCGAGUUAGUUUUUUUAGGGUUUGAUCCCUAGUAUCCACUAUGUUCUGAGAUUGAUGUUGCUAUGACUUUGCUAUGCUUAAUGCUUGUCACUAGGGCCCGAGUGCCAUGAUUUCAGAUCUAAACCUAUUAUGUUUUCAUGAAUAUAUGUGUGUGCUUGAUCCUAUCUUGCAAGUCUAUAGUCACCUACUAUGUGUUAUGAUCCGGCAACCCCAAAGUGACAAUAAUCGGGACUACUCCCGGUGAUGACCGUAGUUUGAGGAGUUCAUGUAUUCACUAAGUGUUAAUGCUUUGGUCCGGUACUCUAUUAAAAGGAGGCCUUAAUAUUCCUUAGUUUCCAAUAGGACCCCGCUGCCACGGGAGGGUAGGACAAAAGAUGUCAUGCAAGUUCUUUUCCAUAAGCACGUAUGACUAUAUUCGGAAUACAUGCCUACAUUACAUUGAUGAAUUGGAGCUAGUUCUGUGUCACCCUAUGUUAUAACUAUUGCAUGAGGAAUCGCAUCAGGCAUAAUUCUCCAUCACUGAUCCAAUGCCUAUGAGCUUUUCACAUAUUGUCCUUCGCUUAGUUACUUUAUGUAGCGACCCGACCUCAAACGGUCAAGUCUCUGUGCUUCAGUGUCAUCCCUGGAUCGGUAAUGCUGACACACACAGUACUCGAAGGAUUUAUAACAGAGUAGCAAUCACACACUUAUUACAUCGAAUGUAUCAGAAGAGAACUUAUUACAAUAAAUAUGGCUUAAGGCCAUCUAAUACGAUAACAGCGGAAGGCUUGGAAGAUAAAGUGAGUCCAUCAACUCCAACGGCAUAGCUGAGCUGCACGGCAACGACCAAACGAACCUUACUCCUCGUCUGAAAAGUCUGCAACAUAAUACGUUGCAGCCCGGAAAUGGGUGAGCACAUGGAAUAUGCUGGCAAUGUAACACAAUAGAGCGGAAACAGAAAUAAUGCUAUCACUACAUGCAUAUGUGGCUGGUGGAAAGCUCUAUGGUUAUAGUUUUUGCGAAAAGGCAAUUUUUCCCUACAACGAAGAAAUAAAUUUUAUUUUAACUAUCAUGGUGGUUGAAACAUCAUUGAGAAGGUUCCUCCAACUCAAUCCCAAUUAAAGUAAUUAUCCACCCAACAAUAUUAAAUUAGAGUGAUGAGAUACUUAUGAUAAUCCAAGUACUAGAUACUCAAGAUGUCCAUAACCGGGGACACGGCUAACCAUCAUUAGAUUGUACACUCUGCAGAGGUUUGCGCACUUUUCCCCACAAGACUCGAUCUCCUCCGUUGGAUUUCUCGCACUACAGGGUGUUUGAGAAACGGAUGAUCGAGACACAGUCUUUCAGAAACAUUAACUCUUUACUCCGGGCAGACCAUACCAAACCUACAACCCUCUACCUGCUGAUCCACCUCUUCAAGAACUCAUGUAACUUACUCAACUAUGCUAGAGCCCAUAAUAGCUUGUGGCUGCAUACGAAAGUUUCUAGCAUGAAUAAUCUUAUGAUCCCUUUGAGCCUGGGUGGCGGACCUUAGGAUGAUCACACGGGUACUCCGGGAUAUCCUAGGACAACACUGGAUUCUCCAGGUGCCCGACAAGCAAUCCACCCAGAUGUGUAUUAAAGUUGCCACCUUAAGUUGAACCAUUAAUUAACAAUCUCACAUCUGUCAGGGAUUCACUCACCCAUACCACGUCUACGAGCAUAGCAUAGCAAUAUAAGCAAUAUUAGAAGUAACUCCCAAGGGUUUGAUAAUAACAGGGCAAUAGGUUCUACCUCAUCAACUACUUCCCAAUACCCACAAGUUAAAAUCACAUCCUAAUCAUGCAGUGUUUGAGGAUUGGAGCUAAUGCAUAAAAACUGGGUAUGAAAAGAGUAUGAUCAAUGUGUUACUUGCCUUGCCGACGAUCCGCAAAACCUAGGGACUCGUAGUAGCAUGCUUCACACUCCGGGAAUUCUAUCGCAAACAAACAAGAGCAUACAUAAGCAAUCAAGCAAACAAGCAUGGGUAAAACUCAAAUAAGAAGAUCUAACCAGAAAGUUCAACUUAAGAACUCCGGUUUGCAAAGAAUCAAAUCAAACGGAGCAAUGAAACUCAAACUGCGAAAGAAACAAGAUCCAUUUACUAAUCUGAACUAAAGUCAAAUUUUACAGCACCAAAAUCUUGUUCAAGUUGAUUAAACAGAAAGAGGGUUUCGAGACGAAGAUCUAGGCGCUUGCAUCGCCUGAUUUCGAUAAACGAGCGAAAAGAUAAACUAAAACGAAAAUCGGAUCAGAAAUCGCGAUCGAAAAUAAUCGCGGAAAAUCCGAGAAAAAGAAAAACUGACGAACAGGCUAACGAACGAACGUUCAUUGUCUGUAACGAGCGAAAACCGUUCGUUAAAACGAAUGUACGGAUGAACGUCCGCUAAAUAAACUAAACUGAGAAAACGGCGAACCGAUCUAAAAAAACAAAACUAGGGUUUUAUAAAAAAACCGACGGUUUUUACCUAAACCGAAAAAAAACCGAGCGGCUCCGGAUCGGAUCGGAACGGCGGCGGCGGCGGGGAAGUGCGGCGACGGCGCGGCAAGCGGCGGCGGGCGGCGGCGGUGUAGCGACCAGACCUCAAACAGUCUGUGCUCUGUGCUUUAGUGUCAUCCCUGGAUCAGUAAUGCUGACACGCACAGUACAAAUGGAGGAUUUAUAACAGAGUAGCAAUCACACACUUAUUACAUCGAGUAUCUCAAAAGAGAAAUAAGUAUGACAAAUACGGCUUAAGGCCAUCUAAAUACGAUAACAGCGGAAGACUUGGAAGAUAAGUGAGUCCAUCAACUCCAACGUCAUCACUGAGUAUAAGACCAUGACCUAAGGCACCUUACUCGUCGUCUGAAAAGUCUGCAACAUAAAACGUUGCAGCCCGAAACGGGUCAGCACAUGGAAUAUGCUGGCAAUGUAACACAUAGAGAGUAAUGAACAUAAUAAUGCUAUACUACAUGCAUAUAUGGCUGGUAGAAGGCUCUAUGGUUACAGUUUUGCGAAAAGCCAAUUUUUCCCUACUGCAAAGGAAUAAAUUUUAUUUAACUAUCAUGGUGGUUGUGAAACAUUGAGAUGGUUGACAGCAUCUCAAUCCCAAUUAAGUAUCAUCAUUAACCCAACAAUAUUAAUUAAAGUAACAUGGUGGUGAGAUUCACAUGAUAAUCCAAGUACUAGAUACUCAAGAUGUCCAUAACCGGGGACACGGCUAACCAUGAUUAGUUUAUACACUCUGCAGAGGUUUGUGCACUUUUCCCCACAAGACUCGAUCUCCUCCGUUGGGAUUCUCGCACUUCAUGGUGUUUGAGAAUCGGAUGACCGAGACACAGUCUUUCAGAAGCGUUAACUCUCUACUCCGAGUAGACAGUACCACCUACAACCCCUACAUCUGCUAGUCUACCUCUUCAAGAUCUCACACAACUUAAUCAACUAUGCUAGAGCCCAUAAUAGCUUGUGGCUGCACACCGAAGUUUCUAGCAUGAAUAAUCUCAUGAUCCCUUUGAGCCUGGGUGGCGGUCCAUAGGAUGAUCACACGGGUACUCCGGGAUAUCCAAAAAUACAGGCAGCACUGGGUUCUCCAGGUGCCUCAAUCCACCCAGAUGUGAGUUUUAGUUGCCACCUUAAGUAAACCAUUAAUUAACAAUCUCACAUCUGUCGUGAAUACCUCUCAAACCCAAUCCACGUCUACUAGCAUAGCAUAGCGAUAUAAGCAAACGUAGAAGUAACUCCCAAGGGUUUGACAAUAAACAGGGCAAUAGGUACUACCUCAACUACUUCCCAAUACCCACAAUUUAAUUAGAUCCUAACCAUGCAAUGUUUGAGGGUUGGUCUAAUGCAGUAAAACUGGGUAGUAAAAGAUAUGAUCAAAGUGUUACUUGCCUUGCUGAUGAUCCGUGAAACUUAGAGAUUCGAAGUAGCAAGCGGCGCACUCCGGGUACUCUAUCGCAAACAAACAAGCAUACAAUAAGCACUCAUCAAAUGCACAGGUAAAACUCAAAUAAUGAUCUAACCAGAAAGUUCAACUUAAAAACUCCGGUUUGCAAAAAGAAUCAAAUCGAACGAAGCAACGAAAAUCAAGCGGCGAAAGAAACAAGCUUCGUUUACUAAUCUGGAUCUAGGUCAAAUUUUACAGUAGAAAAAACUUGUUUGAGUGGGUUAAACGGAAAGAGAAUUUCGAGACGAAACUCUAGGCGCUUGAAUCGCCUGAUUCCGAUAAACGAGCGAAAAGAUAAACGAAAACGAAAAUCUGAUCGGAAAUCGCGGUCUGGAAUAACCGCGGAAAAAUCCGACGAAAAAGAAAACUGACGAACAGUUAAACGAACGGACGUUCGUUAACAGCGACAAUCCGAUGAACACGUUCGUUAAAACGAACGGGUCAGUGAACGUUCACUAAUUAAUAAAACCAAAAAAAUAAACCGACCUAUAUAAAAAAAACUAGGGUUUCGAAAAAAAUAAACCGAAUCGGUUUACAAAAAACCGGACUCGGUGGCGGCGGCUUCGGUUACCUCCGGCGAGGCUACUCCGGCGGGGCUUCGGGGUGCGGCGGCGGGGUGCGGGGAGGCGGCGGGUGGCGACGGGGUNNNNNNNNNNNNNNNNNNNNNNNNNNNNNNNNNNNNNNNNNNNNNNNNNNNNNNNNNNNNNNNNNNNNNNNNNNNNNNNNNNNNNNNNNNNNNNNNNNNNNNNNNNNNNNNNNNNNNNNNNNNNNNNNNNNNNNNNNNNNNNNNNNNNNNNNNNNNNNNNNNNNNNNNNNNNNNNNNNNNNNNNNNNNNNNNNNNNNNNNNNNNNNNNNNNNNNNNNNNNNNNNNNNNNNNNNNNNNNNNNNNNNNNNNNNNNNNNNNNNNNNNNNNNNNNNNNNNNNNNNNNNNNNNNNNNNNNNNNNNNNNNNNNNNNNNNNNNNNNNNNNNNNNNNNNNNNNNNNNNNNNNNNNNNNNNNNNNNNNNNNNNNNNNNNNNNNNNNNNNNNNNNNNNNNNNNNNNNNNNNNNNNNNNNNNNNNNNNNNNNNNNNNNNNNNNNNNNNNNNNNNNNNNNNNNNNNNNNNNNNNNNNNNNNNNNNNNNNNNNNNNNNNNNNNNNNNNNNNNNNNNNNNNNNNNNNNNNNNNNNNNNNNNNNNNNNNGCGGCGGCGGCGGCGGCUUCGGGCUCCGGCUCCGGCGUCGGCGGGGUUCGGCGGCGGGCGAGGUGAGGGAGGUGGCGGCGGGGCGGGGUAUAUAUAUAGGUGGGGCGGGGGGCUACUCCGGCUUGGGGAAGGGGGCGCCGGGGAGGCGUGGCCGUCCCGGACUCGGGCGGCGGCGGCGUGCUCGUCCCGGUCUCCAGGAGGGAGACGGCGACGCGGGAUGGGCCGGCCUGGCUCGGCUGGGCCUCGGCCCAGUCGGGCGCGGGGAUUUUUUUUAAAAAAAAUAUUCCGCCGAGCUAAAAACAAUCGUAGAAAAAAAAAUAAAAAUCCAAAAAUGCCACAACAAAUUUUCACCGUCUAAUUAAAAUAAUUAGGACGACGUGAACAUUUUCUUGGCCCGAAAUUUGCAGUUUUGAAAACGUGAAAUUUUUCUAAUGCAAUAAAAAUUGCAAAUAAAAAAUCUGAAUAAAAUCAAAUAGUUGAUUUUAAUAUUUUUCCUCCAAUAUUUCAAUUAUUUUGGAGAAGUCAUAUUUUCCCCUCUCAUUUAUUUUAAUACGAAAUAUUUUUCGGAGAGAAAAAUAAUUAAAAAAUCCUCGUUUUAUUAUUUGAUAAAAAUCAAAUAUGAAAAUCGGUAAAAAAAAUCCCCAACUCUCUCCGAGGGUCCUUGAGUUGCUUAGGAUUUUCGAGGAUUUGCCAAAAUGCAAUAAAAUAUGCUAUGCAAAUGAUGAUCUAAUGUAUAACAUUCCAAAUUGAAAAUUUGGGAUGUUACAAACCUACCCCCUUAAGAUGAAUCUCACCCUCGAGAUUCGGGUUGGCUAGAAAAUAGGUGAGAGUGGUUCUUUCGUAGAUCUUCCUCUCGCUCCCAGGUGGCUUCAUCCUCAGUGUGGUGACUCCACUGAACUUUGCAGAACUUGAUAACCUUGCCGCGGGUGACUCGGCUGGCAUACUCAAGAAUCUUAACUGGUUUCUCCUCAUAGGUCAAGUCACUUUCCAACUGAAUCGCUUCCAGGGGCACUGUAUCUCUCAGUGGUAUCUCAGCCACUCUGCGUGGCACUUCUUUAACUGGGAAACGUGAAAUAUAUCAUGAACUCCUGACAAUCCUUCAAGCAAUUCCAGCUUGUAAGCAACUUCUCCCAUACGCUCCAAAACUCUGUAUGGUCCGAUAAAACGGGGCGCUAACUUUCCUUUAACUCCAAAGCGCUUCACUCCUCGAAGUGGUGAUACUCGAAGAUAAAAUCUGUCUCCGACUUCGUGAACUGUCUCCUUACGUUUAGAAUCCGCAUAACUCUUCUGCCUGGACUGGGCUACCUUGAGCCUAUCGCGAAUCAACUUCACCUUCUGUUCUGAUUCCUUAAUCAAAUCUGGUCCAAACAACUGAGGGUCUCCAACUUCGUCCCAUAACAAUGGUGUCCUACACCUCCUUCCGUACAAAGCUUCGAAAGGGGCCAUCUUCAAACUAGUUUGAUAGCUGUUGUUGUAAGAAAACUCUGCAUAUGGCAAAUUGUCGUCCCAACUAGAUCCAUAAUCUAGCGCACAAGCUCUCAACAUGUCUUCUAAAAUCUGAUUGACUCUCUCGGUCUGUCCAUCUGUCUGUGGGUGAAAAUCUGUACUGAAUUCUAACAUGGUUCCCAAAGUUUCAUGUAACUGAUUCCAGAACUUCGACGUAAACUGGGUUCCUCUGUCUGAUACAAUGGUCCUCGGAACUCCAUGCAAACAUACGAUUCUGGUCAUGUAUAUCUUUGCCAACUUAGCACUGGUGUAAGUGGUCUUCACUGGGAUGAAAUGAGCUACUUUCGUCAAACGAUCGACUACAACCCAUAUUGAGUCAUAGCCUGAACGAGUCCUGGGCAAUCCCGUGAUAAAAUCCAUGCCUAGUUUAUCCCACUUCCAUUCGGGUAUCGGCAAUGGCUGUAGCAAUCCUGCUGGCUUCUGAUGCUCUGCCUUCACUCUCUGAUAUACAUCACAAACUGCUACAUACUCCGCAAUAUCCUUCUUCAUUCCGGUCCACCAGAAAGUAUCCUUCAAAUCCAAAUACAUCUUGGUAUUUCCUGGGUGAAUCGAAUACGGUGAAUCAUGGGCCCCUUGCAAGAUCAACUUCCUGAUCUCCGGAUCAUUGGGCACAUAAACGCGGUCCUCAAACCAUAAGGUAUCGUGCUCAUCCUCACAAAAUCCCUUGGCUUUUCCUUUGCUCAUCUUUUCCUUUAUCUCGUGAAUCUCCUUGUCUGUCUUCUGAGCUUCUCGGAUCUUUUCCAUCAAGGUAGACUGAAUCUCCAACGUUGCUAAAUAGCCUCUCGGUACUAUCUCCAAACAUAGCUCGUGAAGAUCCUCGGCUAAUACUUUCGGUAACUCUCCAGUCAUGAGUGUGUUGACAUGGCUCUUGCGGCUCAAUGCGUCUGCUACUACGUUAGCCUUUCCGGGGUGAUAAUGCAACCUCAUAUCAUAAUCCUUUAUGAGUUCCAACCAUCUCCUUUGCCUGAGAUUCAACUCCUUCUGCGUGAAAAUGUACUUCAAACUCUUGUGAUCCGUGUACACCUCACAAUGGUUUCCGAUGAGAAAAUGUCUCCAUGUCUUCAACGCAUGCACUACGGCUGCUAACUCCAAAUCAUUCGUGGCAUAAUUCUUCUCAUGGGGUUUAAGUUGCCAUGAAGCAUAUGAAACAACUCUUCCUUCCUGCAUAAGCACUGUUCCAAGUCCUCGACGUGAAGCGUCGCAAUAUACUUCAUAAUCCUUGCGUUGAUCUGGCAGAAUCAACACUGGUGAUGUAACCAAUCAUUUCUUCAACUCUUGGAAACUAGCUUCACAUUCCUCAGUCCAAUUGAACUUGGUGUCCUUCUUUAAUAGCUCUGUCAUGGGCUUAGCAAUCUUCGAGAAAUUCUCGAUGAACCUCCGGUAGUAUCCUGCAAGUCCAAGAAAACUCCGGAUCUCUCCAACUGACGUGGGUGAUUCCCAGCUUGUUACUGUGUCAACUUUGGUGGGGUCUACUGCUAUUCCUUCUCCGGAUAUAACAUGUCCGAGGAAUCCAACUUCCUUCAGCCAAAAUUCACAUUUGCUGAACUUGGCGUAUAACUGGUGUUCUCUGAGCUUCUCAAGUACCAAACGCAAAUGCUCCUUAUGCUCUUCUUCAUUCUUGGAGUAGACUAAAAUAUCAUCAAUGAACACCACGACGAACUUAUCCAAAAACUCCAUAAACACUUUGUUCAUCAGGUUCAUGAAAUAGGCAGGUGCGUUAGUCAGACCAAAUGACAUAACGGUAUACUCAUAUAGCCCAUACCUGGUGGUAAAAGCCGUCUUAGGUAUAUCCUGCUCUCGAAUCUUUAACUGAUGGUAUCCUGAUCGUAGAUCGAUCUUGGAAAAUACCUUAGCUCCUUGUCAUCGGUCAAACAGAUCAUUGAUCAUCGGCAGUGGGUACUUGUUUUUGAUGGUCACUUCAUUCAAUCCACGAUAAUCAACAACCAUCCUCAACGAUCCAUCUUUCUUCUCUACUAGAAGUACUGGUGAUCCCCAAGGUGACGAACUUGGGCGAAUAUAGCCUUUAUCCAGUAACUCCUUAAUCUGCUUCUUAAUCUCCUCCAAAUCUUUUGCGGGCAUCCUGUACGGUCUCUUAGAUACUGGCCCUGUGCCUGGCAAAAGUUCAAUCAAGAACUCAAUGUCUCUAUCCGGUGGCAUGCCUGGCAACUCUUCUGGAAAUACAUCUGGGUAAUCCUUCACCACUGGUACUUCCUCCUGUACAACUCCUGAUAAGGAAUUCACCUGAGUCCUCUUCGGCAUAUGUCGGGAUACAUACUUAAUCCUCCUUCCUUCUGGGGUGGUAAGCAAAAUCGACUUACUGGCGCAUUCAAUGUUCCCUUCAUACUUUGAUAACCAAUCCAUGCCUAAUGUCACAUCCAAUCCUUGCGAUUCCAAUACUAUUAGGUCCGAGGGAAACACGUAGUUACCAAUCCUUAAUGGUAACCGAUCACACCAUAAACUAGCCAUAUACUAUGCUCCUGGCGAGGUUACUAAUAUGGGUGAUCUAAGGGCUUGGGUUGGCAGUUUAUACUUAUCCACAAAUCCCCUUGAUAUGUAUGAAUGCGAUGCACCAGUAUCAAAAAGAACGAGUGCAGUAAAUGACUUAACCAAAAACUUACCUAUUACUGCAUCAGGCUGUGCUUCAACCUCCUCCACGUAAACGUGGUUCACUUGUCCUUUGUUGAAAGGGUUCGGCUUCUUCCCAGAGCUUCCAUUGCCAUUUCCAUUCUGGGCUUCAGGACAGUCAGUUGCAUAAUGUCCAGUCUUCUGGCACUUGAAACAAGUAACGUGACUUAGAUCCCUCUUGGCUGGGGUAGAUGGGUUAUUACGGUUCUGCCUGUUGCUUCCUCCAUUCCCAUUACCAUUCUUGGGUCCACUAUGGUUGUGCGAACUACCUCCUCCAUGGGUAUGCUGAAACUGUCCUCCCGAUUUCGGGGUAAAACGUGGCUUCUGCUGAGUUCCAGAAUUGUACUUCCCUUGUCCAUACUUCCUCUUACGGUUUUCAAUCUGCUGUUGCUUCCCUUCAAUCAUGAGAGCUCUAUCUACCAACUCCUGGUAGUUGUUGAAGGUUGCUACCAUCAACUGCAUGCUCAGCUCAUCAUUCAAUCCUUCGAGAAACUUCUCCUGCUUGGCUGCAUCUGUAGCAACGUCAUCGGGAGCAUAACGUGCUAACUUACUAAAGUCCUCCACAUACUGGCCUACGGUGCGUCCUCCUUGGCGUAGGUUGCGAAACUCACGCUUCUUCAUAGCCAUAGCUCCUGCUGAAACAUGGGCAGUACGGAAAGCUUGCUGAAACUGGUCCCAUGUGACAGUGUCAAUAGGGUGUGUGGCUGUGUAAUUCUCCCACCAUGAUGCUGCGGGUCCAUCAAGCUGAUGUGCGGCAAAACGCACUUUCUUCGCAUCCGUGCAUCCUACAGUGGUCAACUCCCUUCCAAACUUGCAGAGCCAAUCAUCUGCAACAAUCGGCUCGGUGCUGCUGGAAAACACCGGCGGAUUUAGCCUCAAGAAACGGGCUAAGUGAUCAACAGGUGGUGGGUUGUUGUUGUUGCCUUGGUUCUGUACUAACACUUGCAUCAGGGCAUUCUGCUGCUGAAUCAACUGAGUGAUCUCCGGUGGGAAAACAAAUCCGGUGUCGUGUCUCGGAGGCAUCUGAUAGGUUUAGAAAAGAUGAGAAUUUAGAAUAGAAUGAGGUCUAGAGAGAAAACACUACCCAUAUGCUCAUGAGGCAAACACAAUCAAUAUCACUCCAUCAAAAUCAAACAAGGCAUACAAUCGAUCUAACUAUCGUUACAAAAAAAAAA
This 165973-nucleotide long non-coding RNA is filed under the name Triticum aestivum (bread wheat). Its description in RNAcentral is "long non-coding RNA (TAES_LNC019700)". The record is from RNAcentral. Lineage: Eukaryota; Viridiplantae; Streptophyta; Magnoliopsida; Poales; Poaceae.